UUUUUUUUCCUUUUUCCUUUUAAAUUUUUUGCUUCAAAUUUUAUUAAUUAUUUUUAAAAAAAUGAUAAUUUAAAUACUCACAUAUUUUAUUUAUUUAAAAUAAAAUAACUGUAAUUAUUAAUAAAUGUUGCUAUCUCUCUUCACCAACAGAAGAGAACCACCACCAAAGGCGGCCGAAGGAAAGGAUGUUCCACAUAUCGAAAUGUAAAGAGCAAAAGCGGCAAAUUUAAAAAUUGAGGUGUUGGAAAAGGUGGUGGAUUUUGAAAAGUCCGACGAAGAGGUGUCGAAAUGGGGGUUAAGGUUUGCAAAAUGCUAAGAACAGUUAACACUGCCAUGAAUAUUUUACUACUAGUGAUAGUUAUUAGUCUUUAUUCGUGUGUGUUAAAUACUUACAUAUUUUAUUUGUUUUAAAAAUUUGAUAAAUUAAAUAACUAAGUAAAUAAAAUUUAAAGCAAAAAUUAAAAUGAAGAAAGAAAAACAUUUGAUGUUGUGGUGGCAUGCCACGUGAUAUACACCUCAUCUAAAUGUCAGGUCACAUGGCUCAUACUUUGUCAUGGUGGAGAAGUGUUAAAAAAAAAAUUAAUAACUUGAGAAAAUUAGGUGGGAAGUGACAAAAAAGUCGUUAAAUUAAAAAUGAUGAUAACUUUGACCAACUAAGGUUGAAGCUUCAUUUAAAUUCUGAUUAAGUUAAUUGGAGCGUAAUUUUUAAAAACUUUUUAAUUUUUUUAAAAGGGUAACUUACAUAAAUCCCUGAAUCUUUAAGUGAUAUUACAUAAAAUCUCGAUUAUUUUGCUAAUUACAUCUUAUCUCGAAUUUUUGAAAUGGUGAUACAUAUAUUAAGUGGUGAUACAUAUAAAAAAAGUGAUACAUAUGAAAUAGAUCAGUUCUUUAUUUAAGGAAGUAACGGAUUUUCUCUGAUUUCAACAAUGCAAAUCACGACAAAACUGUUACAAGCGCUAAAAACGCAAUUACAUUCAACAAGAGCUCAAAAUUGAAGCAAACCAAUAUUUUUUAAAGCAUACCGGAUUAUAAGGUCAAUUUUUUUGAAUUUUGGGGAAAAAAUCGAUCGUCUUUCUAAAAUUUCUGAUUAUUUUCAAUGGAACUCGUGACAGUGUUGUUGCGUCAUUCCGAAAAAUGAGUUUCAAAAAUAAGGUACGAUAACUAUCGAGUCAAUGGUAUUGUAAUUCAUGAAAAAAUAUCGUACCACGAUUUAAUGGACGUCAUAUCAAUUCAAUUGAAAAUUAACGUAUCUCUGAAAAGAAUUCAUGUCAAAUACGUUGUUCAGGACAAUUUAUCAGCAUUGGAGAUUCAUAAUGAUAUGGUUGUGAAACUUUUUUUCAGAUUUUAAAAGCUGAAACUAUAUUCGGGAAGUAUCCAUUGUGUAUUACAACGAGUGAUAUCGUAACUGACCAUGAUGAUUUUGACGCGGAUGAUAUGACAAUUGAGUGUUAUGAUUUUGUUGAGCCGUCUGAACUUGCAGUAGUUGUAAUUGGUAACGUUGAAUCCCUGCCAGUUGUGAAUAUGGGUGGUGAAGAACUAAUAAGUGAUUGCUACAACAGUGUUGUAAAGGUGAACUAAAAGUAUAAAAACAAAGCUACACUUGUCUUGGUAAUGCGUAACUAUGCAAUCAAGCACAGGUUCAAGUUCAAAGCUGAGAGAUCUAACAAGCAAAGGAUUGAUUUUAAUUUUUUAACGAUAAUUUCUGAUUUAUUUCGCAAUUUGAUACAUUCGGAAUUUGUAGUGAUACAUUUGCAUAAUAGUUAAUUGAUGAUUCAUAUAAUUGGUGAUUAACUAAUGAUUCAUUCCAUCUAAGGAUUCAUAUGUCAACGAAACUGGUGAUUAAUUGGUGAUUCAUAUAUCCGGUGAUUCAUAUAACUGGUUAUUCAUAUUAGUAAUGCAUAUAACCGGUGUUUCAUAUAAUUGGUGAUUCAAAUAACUGGUUCAUGUAAUUGGUGAUUCACAUUCGUGAUGCAUAUAAAUGGUGUUUCAUAUAAUUGGUGAUUCAUAUAACUGAUUUAUAUAACUGGUGAUUCAUAUAUGUGAUGAAUAUAACUUGUGAUUUAUAUUGGUGAUGCAUAUAAAUGGUGUUUCAUAUAACUGAUUCUUAUAACUGGUUAUUCAUAUUGGUGAUGCAUAUAACUGGUUAUUCACAUGUUAAAUGGCUUAAAUUUUGAUAUAACUGGUGAUUCAUAUGGUAUUUGCUGAUUCAUAUAAAAAUCGAUUAACGUAACUUUAUAUUGGUGAUAUAUUUUUUGGCAUUUAUUUCAGUUAUGUCUUGCUGUGCAAAUCUCCGGAAUGUUGUUGGUUAUUCAAGGCAUCCUAUAAGCUUAGUACUGAUACAUUCAUAGUACGUACGUUCAACGAUGAACACACUUGUCCCAUAAUGGGUAGAGUUUUUGAGCAACAACAUGUAACAAUUGCUUUUUUAGAGGGAAUAACAGCUCCAAAGUUGGUGAAUCACAAAAGAAUAAUCACCCCAAGUGACAUUAUUGAAGAUAUUAAAAGGGAACUUGCUUUGAACAUAGAUUACAUGAAGGCGUGGUGUGCUAAAGAACGUGCUUUAAGGAUAUUGAGAGGGCGACCAGCUGACGGAUAUAAGAAAAUGCCUACCUACGUAUACAUGUUAAAUUCUGUUUAUCCAAAUUCAAAUAUAAGGAUGCAUAAGUCUUCGGAUAAUUGAUUCAUGUAUUUAUUCGUAGCACUGCAUUCUUUUAUUAGGGGAUAUGGUUAUUGUAGGCUUGUUGUGGUAGUAGACGGUAGUCACAUGAAUGGACCAUAUAAGAAAACAUUCAUUUCAGCUAGCACACUUUAUGGAGCGGGUAUUGUACGUAGUGAUUCUUUUAUAUUUUUCUUACAGAUAUCGGUAAUUGUUAUAUAAAUUUUACAUAGUAAAUGGUUGAUGUUAUAUAUCAGGACAUAUAUUGCCCCUUGUGUGAGGGGUUGUAGAUUCUGAGAAUGAUUCAUCCUGGACGUGGUUUUUCCAGCAUUUUAAGUGUGCUUUCGAUGAGCGCGAUAAUAUGUGUGUUGUCUCUGAUAGACAUGAAAGCAUAAUCAAGGCGGUUAGUGUGGUCUAUUGCACGAAUUAUAGAAAGAGUAAGGACAAGCUGACCAGGGAGUUUUUCGCCAUGGCUAAAACGUACAAAUUGGAUGAUUUUGAUGACUUUAUGUGGAAAUUGGGAAAGAUUGACAAUAGAGUAAAGGUAUAUCUGAAAAAUGCUGGAUUUGAAAAGUGGUCACGAGUUCAUGCUCCAAUAAAUAGGGGGAGGAUGAUGACUUCCAACAUUGCAGAAUGUAUCAACUCUCGUCUUGUUGAGGUACAUGAAUUACCAAUUUUAGAUUUUCUUAAACAGGUCAGAAUCUUAUUUGAUAUGUGGAGCCGCAAAAAUAGAGACUGGUCUAGUUUUCUUGCUAAAAACUCAUUGGGAGGUAGGUUUCAACAAAUUCUUCAACUGAACAAGGCAAAGUCAUCGGGUAUGAUGGUAAGUUAUUUAAUAUUUAUUAUACUUAUGUAAGUUGAUUUGUAGACCUUUUCAACUAUCUGAUAACAGAUGUAUCAUAGUGAUACAUCUCGAACUCAUAUGUAUCACUUUGAUACAUCUGCACAAAUAUGCCUCCACUUGAAAUCUAGUUCAUUAUAUUUAAUUAUCUGUAAUAUUUAUGAUUCAUAUAAUAUAUUGAUUAACAUAACUCUUUAUGAAAUAAUAUUUUCAAAUUAGGGAAUCAACUAACUACAUAUACAGAGUGUAUGAAGAAGGAAGAAAAUACAUUGUUCGGUUGGAUAAUGGAACAUGCAAUUGCGGUAGAUUUCAGCUUGAUGAGAUACCAUGCAUGCACGCUAUUGCUUUUUUGAAAAGCAAACAUGUAAAGAAAAUGAAGUCAUACUGUUAUGAUUGCUACAAGAAGGAGACACUUGUGAAGACUUAUGAAAUGCCACUGUGUUCAAUGCCCGAUAAACGAGAUUGACAUGUACUACCGAAGGUGUUAGAAGAUGUGAUUUUGCCUCCAAAAUAUAAGCGCCAACCAGGAAGACCGAAGAAAGGAAGAAAAAAGAAAAACAGUGAAAAUUUUUCAUCAACCUUAAAUCGUUAUGGCAAGUGUGGGUAUGAGGGUCAUAAUAGACGCACUUGCAAUUUUUUUCAAUAGAGAUGUGGCAUUUUUCUUUGAAGUUUACUCAGACUUGUUUACUUUGUUCAAUGAUUUGAAUUCAAUAAUUUGAGUUAAAUACUCAAAAAUUUAUUGCUUGAGAUACUCUGUUUACAAUGGAUAGAGAAAUAUUUAUUUUAAGAUCACUAUUAAUAAUUAAUUAAAACUAUUAUAUUCAGCAGAUAUGUUAGAGUUCAUGAGGAAUGUUAGUGAUACAUUUCCUACAUGAAAUUAUAAAGUGAUACUUAUUAAAAAAUUUAAUAUUGUUAUAUGAUUCAUAUUAACUGUUCGAGAAAAUUAUAUGAUUUAUAUUAGUAAUUAAACUGAAUAGGUUAAUUGGUGAUAUAUUUUCAAAAUAUUGUUUUAAGUUGAUUCAGUAUUAAAAAUUUAAUACUUUUAUAGGACUUUUUAUUAACCGUUCGUUAAAGAUAUGUGGUUCAUAUUAUUAAUUAAGCUCAACAGGUUAAUUGGUGAUAUAUUUUCAACAUAUUUUUUUAAGUUGAUAUAUAUUAAAAAUUUUAAUACUGUUAUAUGAUUCAUAUUAACCGUUCGAGAAAAUUAUGUGAUUCAUAUUAGUAAUUAAAUUGAACAGAUUAAUUGGUGAUACAUUUUCGACAUGUUGUUUUCAGUUGAUUCAGUAUUAAAAGUUUUAAUACUGUUAUAUGAUUUAUAUUUACCGUUCGUCAAAGUAAUGUGCUUCAUAUUAGUGAUGCGUGAUUUAUUGUUAAGACUAUUAAACAAAAUUAAUGAUACAUUUUUGUAAAUUAAACUUCCAGCAACAGUUCUAAUACCACACCAGCUGUUAAAUAAAAUGUCAUGACACUAAAAACAAAAAUACUGAAAACUUAAUACAUAAAAUACGUCAUGAAAUAUCAAGAAAUCCCCAACCAUUUGUCAACUAAGAAAAAAAUCAAUAUCCUUUUGUCACACAACAAAUACUAGACAACUACGACUCAACAUCAAUCAUCUUUGUAUCCUCAUAUGGAAUAAAUAUACGUUUAGAUCCAGGCGAAUCCUGAUUGUCACUAACAUAUUUAUUGCAUGCCUGGUUCACACCAUAAUCCCAUAAAAAGGAUGUAUAUCUUGUAUGAUGCUUUUCUGGAUCAAAAUCUGAAGAAGGUAUUUGAUGUCGAUCACUUAGAUAUUCAGCAUAUGUUGCAACAAACAAGCCACAAUCACUGAAAAAUAAAAAUAAUAUGUAUUUUAUGAAUUUCUGUGAGCUGUUAUGUAAAAGAAUAAAUGAUACUUACAAUGUGCCGCUCGAUUGUUGCACAAUUUCAUCAACAAAUUGAACAUCAAAUGCAUCCUGGUCUGUCUUUUCCUUGUAUGCUUCUAGUAGGGACCAAUCUGUACGCUUUUUUUUCCCACAAAAAUCGGAUAUUGUCAAAUAAGUUGACAACAUUUCAACAAGCUCAUUUAUCUCAUCACCAUGACCUCUAUGGCCUUUCAAGGAGUCAUACACACGAAUGCAUCUUUCCUUGAGUCCUAUGACUGCCAACACCCAGUGAAACGAUCCCUUAGAAUUUAUUAGAACAUACACCUCGUCAAUCAAAUGCCAUGAAAUACUGAUUGGAAUGCAUAGUCCUUGAAUAAUCUCACAAAUUGAUCUCUCCAUCGAAGUCACUUUAUUUGAUCGAACAUUUUCGUCAUGUGAGCUAAGAUCAAUAUCCGAAUGACUUCGGUGAUAAUGAGUGUAUGUUUCAUGGAUGUAGUUUAUGAACAUGCAAUUCACAGUGGUAUAUCUAUAUUCACUGAUUUUGUCCAGUUUUGCUUUCUUUAUAAGAUAGUAAAAUACCAUAUCGAUGUGUUGUAAUAUAAAAUUAAAAUGUGUAAGAACAUGUGAUUCAUAAAAUCCAUACACAAUACUAAGUGUAAAACAAUUGAUACUUAUGAAUUUAAAAAACAUCGACUGAAAAAUACUUAAAAAUAUAAAUUUAUGUUGGUUAACAUCUGUAUCAUAAUGAUGCAUAUUAUUGUCAGAUAUAUCACUGUGAUGCAUGUGUUACCAGAAAAACUAUAUGCAGAUAGCAAAUAUCAAUUAGGUUGGGUAAUGUAAUAAUAUUCAGCUUGUGCUUAUAUAAAUAAAAUCAAUAAAACUAUUAAUUGCUAUAAAUAUUUCUUGACGGUAUACCUCAUCAUUCUAACAAUUACUUGAUUGGGUCAUGUCAUAAAACGAACUUUUUUUCACCGAGUGUACAACUAUAAAAUCAAGCUUUGAUUUUAGAUCAGCGUAUUAGGCCAUGUAGUACUCAUCUUGUCCUUUCAUGCAUUCAAAUUAUGAUUUCAAUAAGUGUUGAUACUAGUUUUUGUGUUGUACAGGCCAACUGACAUCCAAAGAGAGAACUUAGAGAAGACAUCUUCGGCAUAUGAUCCAUUAAUGUUGUGACCUUCAAACGGGUAGUUCAACUUUUUGCACGACUGGAUAACUUCUUUAUCUUUUGACACAGAAUCAAAAACACUUACAAAUGGUGAUUGAUAUAGUUUUGAAGGCUGUCUAUUUCUCUUAGAAGGUUUCUUUCUAACAUAUGUCAGAUUAGUCUUGCAGACAGGGACCUAAGAAAUAGCUGCAAUAGCUUUGUUGCUAAUAUAACACUGACUAUCAGUGUUGUCUUGCCGAUCGCAUGUGUCAAUAGCUGCAACAGUAAUAUCAGUGAUCCCUGUUAGAUAGGCAACAAUCGAUGGUGGUACGUACAAAGUAAUAGCUUUAGAUAAAUCUUCAUCUGUAUUGUGAAGGGCUUCUUCAGAAUCAUGUGUGCCAUAUGUAAAAAAUGAACUUAGUGUACAAUGAAGUUUAGAAUUAAAGUGCCUAAACUAUCUAUAUGUAUCAUAAUGAUACAUAUGGACAAAUAUGUAUCAUUCUGAUACAUCUGAAAAACUUAAAUAACAGAUAACCAAUUUUUGAUACUUGAAACUUCAAUCAUCUUUAAAUAAGAUUAAAAUAUUUUUACUGAAAAAUUAUUAUACCCUAGAAAAACUAAAAAUAAGGUUGUGACCAUUAUAAUGAACAACUUCAAUGUACCAAAUAAUUAAAAAUAAAUAUUUGUGAGAAAUUACAAAACAAAAUUCGUUAUAAAUAAAUCGAUAUUACCUUAACGCGUUUGUCCCUUAUGCCUUCAUCUACUUCCACAGUUGUAUUAUGCCUAUCUUCUUUUUGGACCUUUUCUGUUUAUUUUGUGGAAAUUUUGUCUUUUAAGAGUCACCACUUAAUUUAUUUGAAAAGAAAUUAAGAAAACCUUUGAAAGUUACUUAAACGAUCCAAAACAAAAAAAAAAAUCAUUUAAGUUUGAAGAUUCUGAGUAAGCGGUUCCUAUCUCUUGGAAGGUUGUUAAGGCAUCAAGAGUAUCCUCUAACUUGCGGUUAUCCAGACUAUUUGAAAAUAUCUUUUGACUAACUUCAAAAAGAAAGAUUGAUUGUUGAAAAGUAAUUGACUUUAGGAAAAGACUAGAGUAAAAUAGAUUUGGACGACUUAGCAGGGAUUUUAACUAAGUCUAAAUAAAUUAAUAACAAAACAUGUAAAAGGAAAAGGGGAGAAAAUAAAAGACUUAGGCCAUUGGGCCCAAAUCAAUAGAUCAUGUACUAAUCUAAUUGAGUUUUUGGCCCAUUUGCACCUGUCCUAAUCUAAAUAUUGGUCUUUUGGCCCACAACCUGUCCUAAGCUAGUUUUCAGACCUUUGAGGUCCAAAAUCCGCUUCACCUCUAUUUAUUUACAACUUUGGAUUCGAGACCCCGAAUAAAUGAAUAAGUAAAUGAUUAAAUGAAUAAAUAAAAAGAAGACAAUAAAAAUCGAGACUUUACAAGUCUCUUAGUGACCUCAUCAAUAGAUUUUGACUCAUUUCCCUUCUUCGUCUAUCUUCUAGCACCCGCACGCCAUAUAGUCGACCUAGGAUUUAAACUUCGAACUUGACUCGAAGAGGUGGGCCUCAUUGGUCCAUUACGAAAUGCAAGAGGAGAGAAGUCCAUUUAAACUCGAGAUAUUUUUUGCAUACAAAGAAAAGAUAAAGAAAUUAAUACACGUCCAAGGCAUAAAAGUGACAUAUUUCAAAGUAAAAGAUACUAUCAAGAACCAAUUUUUGAAUGACAAUGAUAAGCACACUUGCACAAGAAUGAGAGUCAACAAAUAAAAUGCGAAGAAAAGACACCCACUUACAUGCCUCAUGACUUAUGUUCAUAUAAAAAUGAAUAAAGGUAAAAAGAAGAAGAUCAUAUUCAAUGAAUUAAUGCGAGAACAAAUAACGCAAGUUUGCAAGAGUAAAGGGAUGGGGAGAUAAGAAAAAUACCCAUGACUUCUAAAAUUGAACAAACAUAGAAACUAAUUCAUAUAACAAAAGAAAAUAAAAGCUACUUUUCAAGAAAGUGAAUCUUUAAAUUUCAAUUAAGGAGAAAUUAACGAAAAUUAAUACAUCUAAGUCAUGGCCAACUUUAGGAAAAACAUGUAACGACAUAUGAUUUAUCGUUCUAAGACAUCGUUGAUUCUCUUUUGACAUUAUGACUCAAAGAGAGACAUGAAUCAAGUCUUUACACACACAAAGAACACGUAUAACAAUCCAAAGGGAGUAAGAAAAUUUGAAUAAAUGUUUAGCAUCUCUAAAAGUGAAAUAUCUUUCAACAAUCAUACUGUGCACGAGUCAAAAAUAUCCAAAUAAUUCUAUUUAGCCACAAAAAUUCAAACUUUCUCAUUAUUUUGACAAGACAACAAGCGAACAAAAGAGGAAUAAACAUCUUGGAUGGAAAAUAAAGCUAACACUUCAUCUCUUAUAUGAGGAUUUUGAAAUCCAUUAAAAUAAUUAGCAAGCAAAUGACAAAUUCUUGACUUAACUAAUUACUAUUUUUACGAAGGCAAAACAAACAAUAAUAACUAUUUUUUCAACAUAAAAGAAACAACUUUACAUGCUAAAACAAACAUAUCCGCCAACAAUAAAUUUAAAAAAGGCAUGAGUUCGUCUUUUGAGCAAAGAUCAAAACUUUAUACAUAACAAUCAAAGAAUAAAGAUAAAAGGCAAAACAAUCAAUAUUAACUAUUAUUUUCAACAUAAAAAAAAUAACUUUACAUGCUAAAAACAAACACAUCUACCAACAAUGAGUUUAAACAAGACAUGGGUAUGUUUUUUAAGCAAAGAUCUAAACUUUAUCCAAAAUAAUUAAAGAAUAAGAUCAAAAGGCAAAAUAAUCAAUAUUAACUAUUUUUUUCAACAUAAAGAAAAUAACUUUACAUGCUAAAAACAAACAUAUCCACCAACAAUGAAUUUAAACAAGACAUGAGUAUGUUUUUUAAACAAGGACCUAAACUUUAUCCAAAAUAUUUAAAGAAUAAGGUGAAAAGGCGAAGCAAUCAAUAUUAACCAUUCUUUUCAACAUAAAGAAAAUAAUUUUACAUGCUAAAAACAAACAUAUCCACUAACAAUGAGUUUAAACAAAGUAUAAGUACAUUUUUUAAGCAAAAAUUGAAACUUUAUCUAUAAUAAUUAAAGAAUAAAGUCAAAAAAAGGCACAUACAACUAUUGUUAGCUCUUUUUUAUAUCAUGAACAUGAAGAUAAUUAAAAUAUUGAUACCACAACCUUCAAGGCCAUAAACAACAAACAAUCCCAGCAAACAAAAUUAUAACUACGAACUAUGAAAAAGAUGAAGAAGAAAAUGAUACUAAAACUAAAAAAAAAAAAAAGGUGUGUUUACCUUUUUUGGGGCAAGAAAACGAGACUACGAGUUUCGUCGGAAUCAACCACCACCGAAAAACGUCACUGGUAACUCAAAAAUUUUGAUUAACCGACCAACUUUAUGAAAUAAGAAUUUUUACUAAAUAAAAAUAACUAUUUUGCCCAAAAGGAAUUUUUCACCUUUCUAGCCUCUUUUAUUUAACUUCUCCACCCCUCUUUUCUACCAAAGUAGUGAUAAUAUUUAUAGGGGAGAAUGGAUUUUUUCUUCCUUUUCUCCACCAAUGUGGGAGAAAAAUAUUUAUAGGAAAGGAUGAAGAUUUAUUUCUUGUCAUCCAUCAAUGUGGGAGAAAAGAUAUUUUGGGGUGUUUUUUUGGAAUUUUAAAAUUAAAGAUAAGAUGAGGUGGGAGAUAAUGUGGGGGGAAUUGUACCAUAUAGUACAAUUUUUGAAUUUCAAAAUUGUGAAAGGACAAAGUUGGGGGGAAAUAGUACAAUGUAGUACAAUUUACAAUUAAUUUUUGGUGGAAAUUGGGUAGAAGUUAUGAAAGUUUUUGGAAAUUUUAGGGUUAUUUAAAAUAUAACCCCAAUAGGGAUUUAAAAUUUAGCCAAAUUUAUUUAAUUUUGAUCAAAUUAAAAAUCAAUUGGCGCAUUGCAUUGCAAUUAUGAUCAAUUUUAUUUCAAUUAUGGACAAAUCUAAUAGAUUGGCUAAAUUAAAUUAAAAUUUGAUACGAAUUAAUACUUCUUUUAAUUCCGAGCUUCUUGAUUUAAUAAAAUCAAACACAUAUUUAUCCAAAUAAAUUAUUUUUGAGAAUAAAUUAUAUUUAAAUCAAGAUUUUAAUCCUUUGAAUUUAUUUCAAGACAAACCUUGAUUAAAAUCCGAUAUUUAUAAAAAUGGAUAUUUAAGUAAUAAAAUUAUAUAAUUUCGUGUAAUUGAAUACGAUAAUAUAUAAUCGCUACUUAAAAUGAUAAACUUAUCCAGAUAAAUAUUUUGAAAAGCUUUUUAUUCGGAUAAAAUAAAUAUUAUAAUUUUAUUUAAAAAAUUGAAGAAACUUGUAAUUAAACUUAGUUAUGGAGGACAAAAAUUAGGUGUCAACACUAUUUACGAACUCUCAGCCUCCUAUUUGACACAUGUCAAAUUUAAUUUUGUGUGACAUUUAAUUUAUGAUAUAAAUCGAUUUAAUUAUUUGUAUGUAUCAAAUUGAUAAAGGUUGAAACAAAUGUAUGAAAAUGAUUCAUUUUGAAAACAUAAGGAACACAUAACAAAUGUGUGUUACUGAAAAUCUUGAUUAAAUUGUCUAUAUGUAUCAAGGUGAUACAUAUGAUGUCUGAUGUAUCACGUGAUACAUAUGAGUAACUUAAUCAAUACAUAUACACCGAUAUAUUAACAGUUUCAACAUUUCAAAAAAUAACAUUUAAACUAUUUGAGGCUAGUAUUUUGAGCAAGUUGUAACAAAUCGAUCAUAUACUUAAGUCAAUUUAACUACCUUUAAGCAUUCCUCAGCUCCUCCUUCAUUGCCACCUACUUUAGAUGAUUGACCGACAUCAUGUACGACAUUGUCACUUUUAGCAUCCAUUUUGUGCUCAUUAAGAGAUUGAGGAGGAUCCCCUUCUCUAUCCGGGAUACCUUUUUUCACUUUCAUAUAGUGGAUAUUGAGCAACCUGCAAUAUCACAAAUUUGAAUAAUAUGAAAACAUAUUGAUAUUAAUGACAAAUUAUGAAUACCUUGCCAUAUGAAGCAAAACCUUUUUUCACAACUCCAAAAAAUCCUGUAUAAUGGUCCACCAUUAACUUUUGAAGAUCAUUGAAUUUCAUGUCAAUCUACAUUGUGAAUAACAUUUUGAAUUUCAUGUCAACUAAUUCUUGUUUCUUCAUAGGAGGGUGUGAAGAUGGACCAGCAUCAAACCUCAUCUUUUUGAGAAAAUCUACAUUUGGAGUAGUACUGAAAUCAUCAAAUUCAUCUCCAAAUUCAGUAGGAGCAGUCCUUUCAGAUUAUUGUUGUACAGAUACUGCCUGUGCUAUAUUUGCAUCAUGAUUUGUUGGACCAAACAUCAAAGGAUUGGGCAACUCAAGAUGGUUCAAUUCCUGUGGUGAUGGGGUUAGAUUCCUGUAUACAAGCUGCAACAAAAAUAACACACAGGAUCAAAAAUUAAAAGUACCUUAAAAAUUAAAAAUAGACAUACAAAAGUAUCACGGUAAAAAAAACACUAUCUUACUAAACAUAUCAUCCAUCAGAUCCUUGUAUCUAGGCUUAGGUUUAACCACCUUCCAAUUCACCAUCCUUGGGAUUAAAUUGUGAACAUGAAAGACAAGUGAUUCAUCAACUGUGGCACAACAUUCGUACCACCAAAUCUGAAGCGCGUAUGGCAUGCCACUUAGACGGUAAACUUUUGGACAUCAUUCAUCGAUCGACUAAUAGAAACCAUCAGUUUCUCAAGAGCCAUUUUUCCCUAUGGAAAAUGACUAGAACUUUCAUCAUCCACCAUGUGAAAGUCUCAGGCAGGGAUAUUGGUUUUAUCUAAUUGGGAGAACACAAAUGUGCGUAUGAAGUACAAUAUCCCAAUUUUUAUUGCAUCUUUCACAUUUUCCCCACUUGUUAUUCAAAGAAAGCUUGACCAACUCACCCUUUUUCACAUUUGCUGUCGAAUUUGAAAAAUAUUUUUUCUGUAGUCGACAUGGUGGAAGGUCUGAAUAAUUAAAAUCAUCUACGUUGCCGAUGCAUUUCAAUCCUGUAACGAUAGCAAACUUGUACAGUAAAAAUCAAAGAAUUGUAUUGUUGACCAACGCCCUUAGUUGAUCCUGAUAUGAGUGUUGGACCUCUAAGAUCAUCAAGAACCUUGCUAUCAAUCCUUGAAAGUUACAAUUAGGUAGGUUCAGAAAUGACCCAAAACAAGUACUUCUGAAAAUUCUGAUUUCUUCAUCCUUCAAAAUCACGUUAAGCAUAUCUACUACAUUAAUGUUAUGUGCACUACCAAUCCUUACGUUGUGGGAAGGUCAUUCUUUCACAAUCAAACUAACAUUCUGCCAACAGAAAAAAAAGAAGUUGAUUCAUAUGUCAAAUGAAUCACAUGUUUAUAAAUUACAACAACAAUAAAAUGAGAAUAGAAAGUGUUAUCACAUAUGUAUCACAAAAAAAAUGAUACACAGAGAAUCGCUCUUAUUCUAUAUGAAAAAUGUGUAGCUGUAACGCCAAUAUGAAUCACCAGCACAAUAUAUGUAUCACCAAUUAAAAUAUCAUUUUAGUGUAACACCCAUAUGAAUCACCAGCACAAUAUAUGUAUCACCAAUUAAAAUAUUAUUUUAGUGUAACACCCAUAUGAAUCACCAGAACAGUAUAUGUAUCACCAAUUAAAAUAUCAUUUUAGUGUAACACCCAUAUGAAUCACCAAAAAAAUACGAAUCACCAAUAUGAAGUUAGACUGUUAAUCUGUUAUUAUAUGAAUCACCAAUAUGAAUCACAAGGUAUUUGAAUCACUAGUUAUGAAUCACUUGCGAUAACAAUACUUGCUCCGACGGAGAUUUGGGGAUAUGUUCAAUUUCAUCCUGAUGUUUCAUUUGUUUGUCGGAAUCUCGAUUUUUAGCAACAAAAGCUUCUAGGGUCAUUUCGCUGCUUUGAAUGAUUUUCACUAAAACCUAACUUGGUGUAAUUAAAUUUGCCCGAAGUAAAGCCCAGAACUUGAUUACUAUCAUGAACACCUUUUUGUGUUUCAAUUUGUGAAAUUCCCAAACUGAAUGAGGGUAAAUCUUCAUUAGCUAUUGAAGAUUCAACAAAUUAACACAAAGAAAUUUAAAGAAUAUAUAGAUAUUGACUUCUCUUGUUAAAAACUAACUUAAAACCCACAUAAACAAAAAAUUAACCUCUUUGAAGUAAUUGACAAAUUUUAAAAUUUAAUGCUGAAAGAUUACGUUUAAUUAGUUGAAGUAGUGGAGAAAGAAGUUGACUCAAAAUAUGCUAAAAUGAGAGAGAUUUAAUGGGAGUAAUUUGUGGAAAAAAAGAAGAAGAAGAUGCGUAUAAAGAUGAGAGAGAAAGACGUUAAUGGAGGAGAGAAAAUAGAGUGUGAAAGUUAAAGCAAAUGUAUCACCAUAAAUAUGCAAAAAAGGAUUUUAUGUAAUUUUUAAAAUAUUAAGGGAUAUUUGAUAAUAUGGUGCCUUAAGUUUGGAGUUUUUGUAAUUUAUCCUUUUUAAAAAGUCCUCAACUCCAAAUUUCAAAUUUUAGAAUUUCCCCCUUUUUCUUAUCUUUCAAUCUUUCUUAAUUUUUUUUCUUUCUAUCUCCAAAUUUCUUUAUCCCCAUCUUCUUCUUCUUAUUUUUUUUUCUCUCUAGAUUUUCCUCUUCUUUCAUCUUCUCUUCUUUUUUUUCUUUCUCUUUUCAUUUCAUUCUUCUUCCUUUUUAAAUUUUCAUGGAUAUUUUUUAAAAAAACAAUUGAGAAGUUUGAAAAGAAUUUUUUUGAUUUCUUUUAAAAAUAAAUAAAGAAAUAGUUUAGCAAAUUCAGCAACUACCAUAGUUGCUACAACAGUUACGGUAAUUGCUGCAACAACUACUAUUAGUUGUUGUGUUACAACAAUUAUCGAAAUUGCUGCAGCAACUUCAAUACUUAAUUUCUGAAAAAAGAUGUGGUUGGAGGAUGAGCUCACAAAAAAGUGAUAUUUUUGAUAAAAAGGAAGGUGAUGGUGCUGAUGGUGGUGAUGUCGAAUGAGAAGAUGACAUUUGUUAUGGUGUUGAUAGCGAUGGUGGUGAAGGAGAAAGAAGAAAAAUAGGCGAUAGUUAUGUAGAGGGAGAAGAUAAUGGUGAAUCUGAAAGAGGUGACAAUGGUAGUAAUAGUGAUAGUGGAGGAAGAGGAGGCAGCGGCGACAACAAAAAGGGUGUGGAAGAGGAUUGAUGGUGAUGGUGUAGGGAUCUUUGUGUAAAUAUAAUAUAGGGAUCUUUGUGGAAAUAAUAAAACUUGAGGAUUUUAAAAUUAAUGUUAUUAAUACUAAUCUUAAAAUUAUCACCUCUACUCACUCAAUAUUUAAGACUUGUGUCACUCUUUUUAGUUUUGAAAUUUAUUUGUCACCCUUAAUUAAUUUGCCUUAAUAACUUUACUAAUAUGGAUAUAUUUGGCCCAAUAAUUUAACUAGGUGUAAAUUUAGUUAAUUUAUCAAAAUAUUGGUUAUUUUUGACGAAGUUAUUCAUUCAAGAUAUACACGAAGGAAGAACAACAAAAACGGAAGAUCAAAUCAUUUACUAGUCGAUGAGCAAAUUUUCUCCAGGGAAUUAGUGGCACCAUUAAAACAGGUUCUUCUUCUUCCUUCUUACACCAUUUUUUUGUUGCUAUAAACUGUGAAUCUUGUAGUGGAAAAUUUGAUGGACAUGUUUCUAUUAACCUGUUGACAUAAACAUAUGUAACCAACAAUAUUCGUAGCCGACAAAAAUAUCUCCACAGGCGACAAUAUUAUGAAUAAACAGUAACUUUAUUUUGCUUGAUACACUUUGUAUAUAAUAGUAUUCAAUUUGGUAAUUGAAUUUUUGUCACACCAAGGCUGUAACCUAGCUGUAGAUGUUGGAAUUUGUUUGUCCAAUAGUUAUUUUAUUUUAUAUUUUGCGAAAAUCUAGUGACAGCUUGCUGUUAUGAAUUGUUAUGCUGAUCAUUUCUCAUUUGAUCUGAGAGUUUGGUGUAGUAUUGUUUCAUGACGCAUUCAUAGAGGAGAUCAUUUUUAUCAUAAUCUGUAAUGACAGUAAUGUAGUUCAAUGUUAGCCUAGUAGAAGCAUGUUCAAGCUUCCUCUUCUCAAUCCCAAAUUCCUUUAACGUUUCAUGGAAGGUUUGAGCAGUUUUACGCUAAAACUAAUUGAUGUUCGAGAUGCUUAUUUCUUUUCUUUUUGGAACGAAAGUUUGAGUGUUUGAUUAAUACGUGGGUUUAAAAAAUGAAAAUUCAGGACUAGACAAUCAUUGGAAUACAUGAAAAAUCCACUCUAUUAUCAGCUCAUUCACAACCACCUUACAACGACAUCAAACUAUGAAAUUUUGAGAACAUUAUGAUAUUCACUUUCCAGGAACAAAGUUUGUGGCGUAGGCCCAGGCAUUGUUGUUUACUGGAUCUGCAAGGUGAUCAGCAAGGUUCUCCAAUGGGCCCUUACCGGUAACAAUUGCCUGAACAAAGAAUCCAAACAUAGAGAACAUAGCAAGUCUACCAUUCUUAAUCUCCUUUACCUUGAGCUCAGCAAAUGCCUCUGGAUCAUCAGCAAGACCUAAUGGGUCAAAGCUGCCACCAGGGUAGAGUGGGUCAACGACUUCACCAAGAGGCCCACCAGCAAUACGGUAUCCCUCAACGGCUCCCAUCAAGACAACUUGGCAAGCCCAGAUGGCCAAGAUGCUUUGUGCAUGGACCAAGCUUGGGUUGCCCAAGUAGUCAAGUCCACCCUCGCUGAAUAUCUGGGAUCCAGCCUUGAACCACACAGCCUCACCAAACUUGACACCGUUACGGGCCAAGAGCUCAGGGAAGACACAUCCAAGAGCACCAAGCAUAGCCCAUCUGCAGUGGAUCACCUCGAGUUCUCGGUUCUUGGCAAAGGUUUCGGGGUCUGCUGAAAGUCCAGCAGUGUCCCACCCGUAGUCACCAGGGAAUUCACCGGUCAAGUAGCUUGGGGCCUCACCGGAGAAUGGGCCCAGGUACUUAACACGGUCUGGGCCAUACCAUGGGCUGCCAGAUGAGGCAGGCUUGGAGACAGCCUUUCUCAUAGAGAUCCUUCCAUUUCCAGUGAUUUCUGAGGGAGAGGGUGAGAGUUUCACUGCCUGUCCAGCAAAAGAAGGGGAAGAAAGAGCCAUUGUAGAAGCUGCCAUGGCUUAUCAAGAGAAAAGUAAGUGUUUGAUGGUAUGAAAUAUUGUUGAAGCUGGUUGUCAUGAAGCUGAAGUUAGUUGGGUUUCAGAAUAUAUAGUAGUAAGUAGAGAGAAAGAAUCCUCUUAUCUAGUGAUGUCUAUAGCUAAAAUCUCAUUGGGUAUCAAGAUCCCAUGUAUAGCAAGUAAUGCACUCUUGGCAAUUCCAAUCCAUCAAUUUUCCAAGAUGUUCACUAAGGGGGACCCAACCAAUUUUGUCCUCCUAUAUGUGGCUGCAAGGCUUGAAAUCUAUUCUAUGAAUUCUCGAGCUUCAAUAUGAUAUCUUUUAUCCAUUGGGAAUUUCUCAAGAUUUUAUCCACCAUGACUAUAGCUCAUUCAGUGUAGAACUAUGGUUUGGCAUUUCACUAAGUAAAUUGAGGAAAAACUGAAAUUCACUUGUAUUAGAUUAUCAAUUACUGAUGUUUGUCAAAAGAUUAACCUGUAAUGGCUUAAUGAGCAAAGGUGGAUCAAGAUUUGAAUUUUAUGAGUUUUUAAUCUAGGACUAGACCUUAAGUAGUAUAUCCGUUGUCCCAAUUUGUGUGGCACAAUUGCAAUUUCGAGAGCCAACCAAGUUUUUCUUUGAUGGAAAUUUGUUUACAUGUCUUUUAAAUAUUUCAAGUUAUUAAUUAUUGUGAUUUAUAGUAGUACUUUUUAUUUUUAGAUAACCGUGGUAUCCAGUGUUUGCCACCUCCCACCAACAUGGGAUUUGAACCUAAGAUCACUAAGGUUCUCAACCCACUUCAUUGACCAUUAGCCCAUAACCUUGAGUGCAUUGUGAUUUAUAGUAUUGUUUACAUAGUUUCCAAGUACAUAGAUUUUAUUUCAAAAAAAUUAAAACUUUUGUGUCCAAAUUGACUGUCAAAGUUUAAAAGUUUGAAUUUCAAAAUUCUAAAACAGAGGGAGUAGUAAAUAGAUUCUGAAUUUGAUUACAUACAUAUUUAAUGAUUAUUGUAACACAUACAUUAUUUGGGCAAAAGCUAAUUGGUUCUGUCAAACAGUAUGCGGAAGACUACCUCUGUCCCUGUUAAUAAGUGAUAUGAUUGUAUUAGUAUUUUUAUAAUGUCAAUGCAUAGAACUUAAUUGCCUUUCUAGUAAGUGUCAUGUAUAGCUUACUUUUAUCUUCUUCUUACUAUGUCCUUUUGGCUCUGGUCAUUACUAUGUGCCAUGUUUCGAAGGAUGCCUGCCUCUGUUAAAUAAGCCGUCACACAGGCAUGCAAGGAAGGAAGGAAGAGUAUACAAGAAAUUUAUGAAUUUGUUCAAAUUAAAGAUGCUAAUUAAAUUAACGUACACGUAAACCUAAGUAUUAUGACCUGGAAACUCAUAUAGCAGUACUUGCUACAUUCAGACUACAAAACAUAUUGGUUUUCCCUUUUUAACUGAAAUGUCAUUGGUCUAGUAGUAAAAUAAUAUGAUGACCCUAUUUACUUUUGAAAGAAAAAUGAGGAAUCAUGUAAUAACAUCAUAUCGUUCAGCAUUAUUAUUUGCACUGAUUUUGAGUAUUGCUUCUUGAGAAUUAAUUGAAUUCCAUAAGUUUCUCCGGUCUGUAAAUUUAAGUUUUAAGCUUUUAACAGCUUUCUAGUUUUUCUAGUUACCAUAUCCCAAAUGCAGCUUCGGUCUUUUUGCUAUGCUCUUCUUUUUUUCCCUUUGGUAUGAAAAUUGAAAAUGGCAAUAUAUGAUUCAUGUCUUUGAAAAGUGAAACUCAGAACUACAUCAUCAUUGAGAUAUAACAAACAUUUAUUCUAUUGUCAACUCACUCACAACAACUUUACAAGGCCAUCAAGCAAUCAAAUUUUAAGAAUUAUAUUAUGAUAUUCAUUUUCCGGGAACGAAGUUUGUGGCAUAGGCCCAGGCGUUGUUGUUAACUGGAUCUGCUAGGUGGUCAGCAAGGUUCUCCAAUGGACCCUUUCCUGUAACAAUGGCCUGAACAAAGAAUCCAAACAUAGAGAACAUAGCAAGUCUACCGUUCUUAAUCUCCUUUACCUUGAGCUCAGCAAAUGCCUCUGGAUCAUCAGCAAGACCUAAUGGGUCAAAGCUGCCACCAGGGUACAGUGGGUCGACAACCUCACCUAGAGGCCCACCAGCAAUACGGUAUCCCUCAACAGCUCCCAUCAAGACAACUUGACAAGCCCAGAUAGCCAAAAUGCUUUGUGCAUGGACCAAGCUUGGGUUGCCCAAGUAAUCAAGUCCACCCUCGCUGAAUAUCUGGGAUCCAGCCUUGAACUACACAGCCUCACCAAACUUGACACCAUUACGGGCCAAGAGCUAGGGGAAGACACAUCCAAGAGCACCAAGCAUAGCCCAUCUGCAGUGGAUCACCUCAAGUUCACGGUUCUUGGCAAAGGUUUCUGGGUCUGCUGAAAGUCCAGCAGUGUCCCACCCGUAGUCACCGGGAAAUUCACCGGUCAAGUAGCUUGGAGACUCACCUGAGAAUGGGCCCAAGUACUUGACACAGUCUGGCCCAUACCAUGGGCUGCCAGAUGAGGCAGGCUUGGAAACAGCCUUUCUCAUAGAGAUCCUUCCAUUUCCAGUGAUUUCUGAGGCAGAGGGUGAGAGUUUCACUGCCUGUCCAGCAAAAGAAGGGGAAGAAAGUGCCAUUGUAGAACUUGCCAUGGCUUAUCAAGAGAAAAGUAAGUGUUUGAUGGUAUGAAUAUUGUUGAAGUUGGUUGUGAUGAAGCUGAAGUCAGUUGGGUUUCAGAAUAUAUAGCAAGUAAGAGGGAAAGAAUACUUAUCUAGUGAUAUCUAUAUCUAUGAUCUCAUUGGGUAUCAAGAUCCCAUGUACAACAAUUAAUGCACUCUUGGGAAUCUCCAAUCCUUCAAUUUUCCAGGAUGUUCACUAAGGGGACCCAACCAAUUUUGUCCUCCUAUAUGUGGCUGCAAGGCUUGAAAUCUAUUCUAUGAUUUCUUGAGCUUCAAUAUGAUAUCUCUUAUCCAUUGGGAAUUUCUCAAGAUUUUAUCCACCAGGACUAUAGUUCAUUCAGAGUAGAACUAUGGCGUAGCAUUUCACUAAAUAAAUUGAGGAAAAGCUGAAAUUCAUUUGUAUCAGAUUAUCAAUUACUGAUGUUUGUCAAAAGAUUAACCUGUAAUUGCUUAAUAAGCAAAGUGGAUCAAGCUUUGAACUUUAUGAGUUUUGAAAUGUAGGACUAGACCUUAAGCAGUAUAUCCUCCGUCCUAAUUUAUGUGGCACAAUUGAAUUUCGAGAGUCAACCAAGUUUUUGUUUGAUGGAAUUUCUUUAUAUGUGUUUUAAAUAUUUCAAGUUGUUAAUUAUUGUGAUUUAUAGUAGUACUUUUUAUUUUUAGAUAACCAUGGUGUCCGAUAUUCGCCACCUCCCACCAACAUGGGAUUUGAACCUAAAACUUCUGAGGUUCUCAACCCACUUCAUUGACCAUUAGACCUUGGGUUCAUUGUGAUUUAUAGUAUUGUUUAAUAGUUUCCAAGUACAUUGAUUUUAUUUCAAAAAGCUUAAAACUUUGGUGUCCAAAUUGAUGUUGACACCUAAUUUUUACCCCCCCACCCCCCAUAACUAAGUUUAAUUUCGAGUUCUUCGAUUCUUAAUAAGAUUACAACAUUUAUUUUAUUGAAUAAAGGAAAUUUUCAAAAAUAUUUAUUGGGGUAAUUUCGUCACUUUAAGUAGCAAUAACAUGUUAUCGUGCCCGACUAUAUGAAAUUAUAUGCUUUGGUUACUUAAAUGGCUAUUUUCUAUAAAAUAAUCAAAGUUUGUCUUGAAAUAAUUUCGAAUGGUUAAUCUUGGUCUAAACAUAAUUUAAUCUCAAAAAUAAUUUGUAUUUAAUCUCAAAAAUAAUUUGUUCAUAUAAAUAUUUGUUUAAAUUUUAUUAAAUCAAGAAGCUCAGAAUUAAAGGAAAUAUUAAUUGAUUUCGAAUUUUGAUUCAAUUCGGCCAACCUAUCAGCUUCGACCACAAUUGAAAUUAGAUUGGCCAUUAUUGCGAGCAAUUGGCCAAUUGAUUUUAAAUUUGGCCAAAAUUUGAAUAAAUCAGCCAAAUCCCUAAUUACAUAAUCCACCCAAUUAAAUCAAUAUUGUCUCAUUUUAUAAACUACAAAUAGCAGCCCACUUUCUUAAUUUAGCUUACUAGCCUUGCCAACCUAAUAGUUAAGAUCAGCCCUUUCCCCUUUCAGUUGGGCCGUUAGUCCAAAACUUUCAGAUGACCCAACAAUUUUCAAAUGACAGCAAACCCAACCCAUUUUCUCAGCAAUCUUUUUCUUUAAUUAUAUUGACCGCCCCAGCCCAACAACAACAUCCGAUUCAUAACCAGGCGCAAUUUCAGCAUCCCCACCAGCCUAUUUUCCUUUUUCCUAUUUUCCUUUUUUUUCUCAAGCAGGCCUAAAUCAACCACCUGUGACCCGAUCCAACCCAAUUCCCUUUACCCCCUUUAUGUUCUUUCUCUUCAAACCAAGGGAAAACCAAAAACAGCUGUAAUACUACAACACCACCACCUUCAUCGACAACACAAGCAACCAACAACGGCGAAAAACCCGAAUCCAUCAACCCGAUAACCCGACUCCACCAGCCCCAACCCUUUUGUUUGCUCUCCACAAGCAUAUCACGCGUUAGAAAGAUGAGAAAGGAAUCCAAGAAAAAAUCAGUCCCAAACCUUCUAGAACGAGCCUACGUGUCAUCCCCAAAGGUUCAAUCCCGUGUUUCUCGGAUAAGAUUGUACGAUUUCGUACAGAGUUGGAUGAUUUUCAUUGGUUCUUGGAAAGAGUCCGUUUUUCCUAAAUGGUAUUAGUCUACCUGUCGCAAAUUUCUCCAAAAAAAUCCAAAGUUGGUAUGUUUUGGGCUAAAAAAUGAGGUUGUGGGAGGAUGGGAUUCUGAAUUUCGAAUUUCUCUUUUUUUUUAAUCCCUAGAUUACCCCCAAUUCAUCCCAUAUAUAAGGAUCCAUCGGGUCACUGUGAUGGGGGGAUUUUUUUUUAGAUGGGACUCUCCUCUUUUUUUCUAGGUUCACAACUUUAGAGGUAAAGGGAUUCCAACUGGGAGGUUUGGAAAAUUUCGCAAAAGUAUCGAGGGUUUUGGGGUCGAAAAAUUUUAGGAAAAAAUUUCUUAAAUUAGGAAAUUGAUAGAGAGGGCUAAGUUCAGAAACCAAGGAGGAAGUUUCUAGAGAAAGGAAACAAAAUUUUUAAUAUAGGUGUCUUUGGUCGACGAUUACUUCGAGCUUUCGUGGUCACCGUGUUAAAAUUUCUAGUGGUGUUGCAAUCCUGUCGUCAGCUCAACAACCCAUUUUGCUGCUCUGAAACAGGUAAACGCGUCUUUUCCUUUGAGUUUGUUUUGCUUCUUCAUCUCAUCCUUCAUAGUUUUGUAAUUAUAGUGAUAGUGGGAUGGUUUGUUGUAGAUGGUUGUUAUGGCCAUAGGAUUUUCUUGAAAAGAUUGCCGUUAUGUUGGUCGUUGCAUAAAUGUCUACACUCCAAUCCUUCGCUCCACUUUCGAUUUCGUAUGUUUCGGUUCGAUCGUUUUGACUCACCAUAUUAUUUUCAUGCUGUUAGUUAGUUUCAAUCCAUUCUUAAUAGUAAUCAAUGUUGUCAUGGUGGUGUUUUUUUUUAGUAUAAAUGUUGCUGAUUUUUUCAGUUUAAAUAGUAUUACUUUCAAUCUAGAAUAUUGUUAUUUUCUGAGUCUAAGUAUUGUUGGGUUUCAACCCCAAAUAUUAUUGUGUUUUUUAGUCCAAGUAGUGCUGUUUUUAGGCCUGAUUAUUGCUGUUUUUUAGCCUAAAUAUCGCAGGUUUUUAGCCUGAAUGAUGUUUCGGAACUUAAAUAUUUUUCCCAGACCUUGAACAUCGUCGUUGAACUCUUUGGUUUUGUUUUGUUGCGUCAAACAUGUAAAAUUUUCUUAAGUAGCAUACAGUUGAGUCGGAUCUUAUUUGGUUGUCUUUAGAAUCGAUCAAUAACAUGUUGGUUGUUUUGUUUCGAUUUAAAUCGGUCUUCCUUUCGAAUUAUAGAUGACCAAAAUAGAUAAUGUGCUUCUUUCUUCUUGAAAAUGACGUUCAAAACUGUUUGUGCUUGAGGCGUUGAUUUAUUUUUGCUUUCCCCCUUUGUUAAAAAUAUGUCCAAUUCAUCUUUUUGUGUCGAUUAGAACAGUGGCUUGUCAAUAUCCUAUUCUUACGUUGGUCUGAUUUUCGCUCAUAGGCUUAAAACUCUUAAGGUUUUGCAAAGCUAUUAUGUAGAAAACAACGAUUCUAUUGUCUUUUGGAUACGAAUCUGCAUCCUCAAUAUUUCUUCCGAUAAAUUGUUUCGGAGUCUAUCGUUUUCUCUUUUUGUCUUUGUUAAUAUGUGUCAUUUGCUACUACUUGUUGAUUCUUUGUUUGUAAUACUUGUUUUUCGGUUAUCUUCUACCCUGUUUAAUUAUCUGGUUCAAUAUAUUAAUUUUUUUUAGCUUCAAGAAUCUUGUGAUGAACUAUCACUUGUUGGUCAUUGAUAUCAAAAUAAAUCAAGAUGUGUUCAAACCAAGCUAUAUAAUUGGUCUUUUCUCUUAAGUUUGUGCUUUCUGGUUGAUAAAUUUUAAGGUGAUAUUUCUAUGGGUGAAAUGAAUCAGGAGCUUUACAUGAUAUUUCUUUUAAUUAGAUCACACUAGUACUGUUUUAUUCAUGCACCAAAUGUAUUCUUUUCCAUGUCAUCACUUAUUUGUUAAGUAACCAACUUUCAAACAUAUAUUAAUUUUCUUACUUUUUACUUUGCAUGUGGAUACGUUUGAGUCCUAAACGGACUCCUUUUCACCUUUGCAUCCUCGCUAUGGGCCCUUGAGGCUCACCUCGUUGAACUAAGCCCAAAAGAAGGUCCAAAAGGCCAUCGUUUGGCGUAUGGAUACGAGAAGACGGGAGGAAAGGAAAUGGAUUAAAGCCCUACAUUUGAAGCGGCUAAGAGACAAAAGUCUCAUUUAUUAUUUCAUUCUAUUUAAUUAUUGUUGCUUUUUUUAUUUAUUUUAUUUGUUUGUUCAUUUUAUUUAUUCAUUCGGAUCACGAAGCCAAAGUUGUAAAUUUAAUACAGGUGGAGCGAGACUCGAGCUAAAGACUCGAAAAACAUAGAAUUAGGAUAGGUGCAAAUGGGUCGAAAUCCUAACUAGAUUAGGAUAGGGUCGACGGUUUGGGCUUAAAAGCCUAAAUCAUUACUUUCCCACUUUUUUCCUUUUUUCUUUUCAUUUACUUGUUUGCUUGUCUCUUUGCGAAGUUAGUUAAAUCCCUAACUAAGUCACUAAAAAAUUGAUUUUGAAAUUUUUUUUAUUUAAUCAACUAUUUUUCUAGCAAAUUGAUUUUCCGAAGUUAAUCAAAAGAAUGUUUUUAAACAGUCCGGAUAACCGCAAGUUAACGGACGUUUUAGGUGCCUAACACCUUCCUAAAAUGUUAAUAGGAACUGCUUACUCAGAAUCUAUUAACUUAAACGAUUUUCCUGUUUUGAAUUGUUUGAUGUAAUUCUCUAAAGGUUUCUUAAUUUCUUUUCAAAAUUAAGUGGCGACUCUCUUUCAAAAGUUAAAAUUUCCGCAAAAUAGAAAUGGCGACUCUGCUGGGGAUUUUUUGAACUAGGUUCUAACCAAAUGUUUGAUUUUGUCUUUUGAUUAAAUGUUUAUGUGUUUAUAUAUUUCAAUUCUAUAAAUAUUAAUUAUCGCAUCUCAUGGCAUAUCCCUGCAUUAUUUAAACUGUUUUGGGAUUUUGUGGAUGUUCGGCCCUUGUUGUUUAAUUUCAAAAUGUGUUGGAAAUACGAACAUCUUAUUUGCACGUGAGUCAUCUGAUGCUGUUCGUAUUUUCAAACUCAAGUUGUCCUUUUGAGAAUCAGUGUUCAAACCACUCUAGACACAGAGGAUAGAACGAAACCAAAAUCCUAUUUUAGGCAUGAGUGUAGGACGAUCCAGUACCCGAGUGGGGUAUUGGGCCCAUUGGAAAACCUACCCUACGUCUAUUGACCCCGAGUUAAUUACAGACGAAUCAUAUUUAUGUGUUGAAAAAAAUACAUGCUUGUCUAAUUCAAUCCAUUAUCCUUUGGGGUCUGGGGAAGGCUUAUCUUUGUCUGCUUUCAUGUAGGAUAUGGCUCAACUACAUUCCCACGAAAAGUUCAAGAUGGUUACUAAACCUGACGAUUUCUUGAAACUAUGGUGGGACCACAUGAGCGCAGGAGAGAAAAAGAUUGUUAGAACACACAUUGGGCAUCUUCCUUCUUUGAUCGAGAUGGACGCUUGGCCCGAAAUUAUCCAUGUACUAAUAACUUUUUGGGAUGAUCAGAAUAUAGUAUUUCGCUUUAGGGAUGUUGAAUUGACUCCUACCAUUGAAGAGGUAUUAUUUGUUACGAGAGUACAGAAAUGUGUUUUAAGAGAAGGGAGACACCUGAUAAGAACAUUUUAGUCCCGAUUGUGUGGGAUCGUCAAAAGAUCAAGGAGGUAUUUUUAACUAACGACGACACCUGGCUAGGAGAACGUGUGGAGAAAAUAUCACUUUUCGUGAGUUGUAUCGUCGGUUCGGGAGAUUCAAUGCUUUUCACAAAUUUGGGCAUAAAUAUGAGUCAGAAGCAAAAUGGAAAGAGUCGAGAGCCUUUGCAUUUGCGGUAGGCCUACUUUGAACCAUGGUGUUCCCACAAGGGGAAAAUGGCACAAUUCAUCCGAGGGUUGUCUCAGUGACCUAUGCACUCUUCUUUGGAAUGGAGUACAAUUAUAAAAAGGUAUUUCACAACUUAGAUCCUAUGAUUGUUGCCGACUUAUAUCGAACUUUGGGAAGGUGUCAAGUCGAUAAUCGUUUCUUUCAAGGCUGCAACCUUAUGUUACAAUGGUGGAUGAUGAUUCAUUUGGUGAAAAAUCCUAGAAUGACACAACCUGACCACAAAACAAGGUGGAAUCUGCUAGAAUCGCACGACAUGUGGUUGUUUUUACACAGGUUCAAAAGGGAAGCAUCUCAUGAAUUUUGGCUUAAGACUCUUGGAGAAUUAAGAGAUGACGAUGUCCAAUGGUCCCUUAACUAUCUUCAUUCAGGGAAAUACAUUAUUCAAGGGGGUGAGUGGCCUUUUCUAGUGCUUCCGGGUAUCAGGGGAACCUGUCCCUACAAUUCUGGUAGAGUUCUUAGGCAAUUUGAGAUCAAGAAGGAGAUGCCUCAAAUCGAUUCUAUGCUCAGAUUCUUCACCGAAUAUGAUGAAACCGAGCCCUCGCUCAAAGACUACAUGAUAAACGAAUUUAGAAGGAGAAGGUGGACGGAAGUCUCUUUCCAUAUAGGGUAUGUACCUGAAGUCAACGAUACUUACAAGGAGUGGGUAAAAAAGAGCCUCAGUGGUGCAUUAAUUUCGGGGCCAAACGUGCCCACUUGGGUCGUGGAUGUAGAAUUCGAGCAUCAGAUCCAACUCCACAGGCUUCAGGAUAAAUUUUAGAAAAAUGAAAUCGCGCACCGACAUCGCAUGUAGAAGAUGCUUUAACAAUACGUAUGUUGAGGGAAGAGUUGAAAAGAGCUAGGCAAGAGGCUGAUGAUGCUAGGCAGUGUUUAAUCGAUUUGGAUGAUAGCAUGGCCUCUCAACUCGAUAGUAUAGGGAAAAUGACUUACCACAGCAAGGCACAAUUAUACGGGAGUCAUCUGAUCAUCAAUAGGUAUCAAAUAGCACAGGAGGUGAACAAGGAAAAGAAGGCAAAGACAGACAAAGGAGCCUCCGUUAGCUAGUUUUUCUAUUUCCCCUGCGCGGGAACUUAUUUUCUUUCAUGUUAUUUCCCUUUUUUCCUAAAGAUUGUAUCCCUCUUUUCUUAUUUUUUUGAAGGCAUCUAUGCCCUUUUUCGUGUCUAUAUAAAUUAGGGGAUAAUGGAUUGACUUUAAGGAAGCAUAUAUUUUCUUCAAAAUCGUUAGGCCUGAACCCUUGGCUCAAAAAGGGUCACCCCAGUUAGGAUACGCAUUAUUAUAAUGUUUUGUGUGAUAUAAUUGUCUUAUGUUCUUAUGUGUGUUUAUUUGGAUCAACGGCAAGUUUAUUCGCUAUACUCCUAUGGAUGAAUUUGGCUAUGACUCAAAAAACUCUAUGUGAUUAUUUCUUGUCAAAUAUUUUGCAUUACUUAUCACAUACGGAAACUAACACAUCUGCCUUUGAGUUGUUUUACUUAACAGAUAGUAGAAACUACUCUGUGUUGAUAUAAGUUGGCAGAACAUCCCUACUUCACCCGGUCAAAAGCGCACAAAAUCCCAUCCUCUGACCAUCAUUUAAUAAUACUAGAAAUAAUGAAGAAAACGCAUUGACCAUCAGGGACAAUCUAAUAGUGGAACAGAAUGAGAUGAUUACGGAACUCGCAAGAAAGCUUGAAAUGCUUCAGGAGGAAAUAAAUUGUACUCGAGAUUUGGCUCACCUGGCCAUCACUGUUAAUGCUCCCGCUCCAGGAGGACACGGGACUCCACUCCAAAUACCUUCCCUUAGUACGCCUAUUCUCGGGGAUCAGCCAAAUAACAUAUCAUCCGUCUCUGCCCCUUCACUUGUCCAAAAUACCAAUCGCGAAAAUAACCCAGAUGCCUACCAUCCACAAAAUCCAUCUCUAACCCCACAAAACCCAUCUACGAAUCUAUUCCCAAAUCCCCAGAACACAUUUUCAAAUCAAGAAAAUUCAUUCCCAAAUCCACAGGAUUCACUUCCAAACCCGUAAAAUCCAUUAAAUCUAUUCCCGAAUCCACCAAAUUCGUUUCCAAAUCCGCAGAAUUCUCCUCCAAUUCCACCAAACCACUCGUAAAUUCCACAAAACCUUCCUAAAUUUUAAAACAUCAUCCCCACCUACCAAUAAACUUCCUUUCAUCUGCAAAAUCAAGCCUCCUUUCCAAAUCUCCCUCAUGCCAUCAUAUCCCCUGACAUCUAUAAUCCCCUACCUAAUUUUGAGAUGGACCAUUACUAAGAGAAGGAGAAAGAGUGGAUGAUCGAGGAUGAAAUUAGGUUGCUAGCUAUGAAUGAAGAGAUCAUGAGGAUCAAAGAAUCUCAUGAAGCGAGGGACCACGACGGUUUAGGGUAUGAUGACUUAUGUGUUCACUCUGGAGUAGAUCUACCAGAAGGGUACAAGGUCCCCAAGUUUGAAGUGUUUGAUGGUGCUGGGAAUCCAAUGGCCCAUCUGAGGAGGUACUGUAAGCAACUGGUAGGGAUCGAGAAAAAUGAGGUGUUAUUGAUGCGCCUAUUCAGCCGAAGUUUAAGCGGUGAAGCCUUAGAGUGGUUCAUGUAUCAGUAGCCAAAAAAAAUGGACUGGUUGGAAAGCAUUGGCUAAGGGUUUCCUCGAAAGGUUCUCAUUCAACAUUGAAAUUAUCCCGGACCGGUAUUCACUAGAUCGGAUCAAACAAAAGAGUGAUGAGAGUUUUCGAGACUAUGUUUUUCGUUGGAGGAAGGAAGCUGCCAAAGUUCAACCCUCCAUGUCUGAGGAAGAAAUGGUAUCCGUAUUCUCUCACGCUCAAGAAGGACAAUAUUAUACCAGGAUGGUGUCCGCUUCAGGGCAACUUUUGCAGAUUUGGUAAAAAUUGGGUAAUCACUGGAAGAAGGUAUUCGUACAGGAAAAAAUUGCCAAGACCCCAACAUCGUUCGAAACUGCUAUGUUCUCGAAGAAGAAAAAAGAGGAUGUAGGCACGGUUUCUGCUGAUUCUAUUGCAAAAACGAAAAAAAGGUUCAACUCUAGGAAUGUUUUCUCUUCUCCACCAUCACCAAACUUUCAGCAUGUAUUCUACACCCAACCCCAAUACCAAGCUUCACUUCCAAAUAUCCAACCUCAGUACCAAACUCCACUCCCAAAUAGUCAACCCCAGUACCAAGCUCCACUCCUAAAUGUCCAAUCCCAAUUCCAAGCUUCGCAGCCAAAUAUUUUUCCCUAAUGUCAAGUUCCACCGCUGAAUUAUCAUCCUAAUAUCCAAUCCACUCUUCCAAACAUCCGAAAAAACAUCCAAGCACCUCUAAAUUAUCAUUAAGUGCUUCCUCCUGCAAAUCAAAAUCAUUAUAACACUCCGCAUCCAAACAUCAAAAAUAAACCUCCCCAAAACUCCACGUUGCUUGCUGAAAGUCGCACCCAACUAUUUGAAAGAUUGAAGAAUAUCGGUCACUUGUAAUCGAUCCAGUUAAAUCUUGUCAAUCCCAACUCUCGAUUUUAUUAUCCUGAUCAAAAUUGUUCUUAUCAUUAAGGAGCAGCAGGGCACAGUACCGAGGACUGUUUUAUCUUGAAACAGAGGAUCCAAGAUCUGAUUGAUCAAAAGGUCAUCACGCUUCAGUCACCGACACCAAAUGUCAAUAGUAACCCAUUGUCUAAUCAUGGGGGAUCUACUAUUAACAUGAUUGAAAUGAAACGAGAAUGGGUGUCUGGCAAGACUAUUACUAAGAUGAAUUCAGAAGAGUGCAAAAGGGCGGAAGAGGUAGAAAAGAUAGAGAGAGUUGUGGCUACCUUAAGUGUCAACGAGAAAGCCCCAUUUAUAGUGAUGACGGCCCCUAUCCAAGUGUACACUCACCCGCCAAGGAAGGAAUUUAUUGUACAGACCGUUGUUGCCUAAGGGAUGAUGCAAUCGGGAUGAUGCUACAUCUCUAAAGAAUUGACCAACAAAAAAAAUUCACAGAAAAGGCCAACCACUAAAGGGGAGGAUGAGGAAUUUUGGAGGCGUAUGCAACCCAAAGAUUAUUCAAUUUUCAAACAUUUAGAGAAGACGCCGGCCCAAAUCUCCAUUUUGGCACUAUCAAUAAGUUCGCAAUACCACCGAUAAGCUUUAUCAAAGGUCUUGGAUGAAGCGUAUGUUCCCGUAGGAACGAGUGUUGAGAACAUGGUUGCGAUGAUAGAAAACAUUGUGGGGAAUCAUCGUAUAUCAUUCAGUGAUGAAAAGUUGCCUUUUGAAGGAGUGAUGCACAAUAAAGCCUUGCAUGUCACUGUCAUUUGCCAAGAUUAUGCGAUUAAUCAGGUAUUAAUAGAUGAUAGAUCUGGUGUGAAUAUUUGUCCCCUCUCCACGUUGGUUCAAAUGGGCUAUAAUUUGGGAAAAAUUCAUCAAAGCCACAUAAAUGUGAGAGCAUUCGAUGGAGGGCAGAGAGAUACCAUAGGAGAAAUUGAUUUGUACAUCCAAAUGGGACCUGCUGAGUUCAAAACUAAGUUUCAUGUUAUGGAUAUUCAUCCUAGCUACAACCUUCUCUUGGGAAGACCAUGGAUACAUGGUACAAAGGCCGUUUCAUCACCCCGUCAUCAACUAUUGAAAUUCAUUUGGGAGGAUCAUGAAGUAGUCAUCCAAGGGGAAGGAAGCCGAGCGGAUCGUCCCAAUGGUUAUGUGCCGGUAAUUGAAGAUGUUCCAAAGGGUAGUAGUUUCUAUACGGUUGAAAUUAUAAAUGCUGUGGAGAAGGAUCUGACGCUCAAAGGGACAAUGCCUUCUUUCUAUAAAAUAAUUGCGACGGUGAUGUUAAGAAAUAGAUUCGAGCCUGGUCGGGGUUUGGGUACGAAUCUACAAGGAAUUAUUGAGCCUAUUAUGAUCCCAGAGAAAGCCUUUAAAUAUGGGUUAGGAUAUCACCCUACCGAGAAGGAUAUGGUUGAGGAUAAGUUAGAGCAGAGUCUGUGUAGGCCCUUUUUGCUUUUAUACCAGUCAUUUCCUAUACGGGAGAUGUCGAAUGAUGAUGGUCUUGAGUAUGGGAUAGGAGAUUUGUUUGAGGGAUGCAAUGCUAUACCAGAAGAUUUCCCAAAGUCCGGCGGGGUGAAGAAGAUUGCGCCAGGGGAGGCCUUGAAAAACUGGACCUCCACUCCAACCCGUCGCCCAUCGUGGUAGAUGAAAGGGCAAUUCAGAAUAGUUUUAAAAUCAGUGAUGAUCUGGAAGAGGCCCCACGAUCCACACUUUAUAUCUCAAAACUUUAUUUUUAUAUUUUACUGCUUUCAAAAAGGCAUGGACUUGUAUUUGCACGAGUCAUGAGCCAUGGUUUUGUAAUUAUCUCGCAAAUUUCAUUGAAAAGGCCUUCAUUCAUUUAAAAAAAAAUUAUUAUUCCUGAAACAUUCCUAUUCGUAUAUUUUAUUAUUAUCUUAUUAUCAUCUAACUUGGUUUGUUUGUCCAUUACAGUAACAGUAACUUAAAAUCUGCCAAUGUCAUGUCAUAUCAAAGCUUAGACGAACAAAAUAAGGGGAAUGAUGAUGAUUGGAAGGACGGUGAUGAGGAACAAUUAGUUGAAGAUAUAGAGGAGUUUGAGAAUCGAGAAAAGCCUAACCUAGAGGAAACUAAAAUAGUCAACCUCGGAGAUCAAGAUGAAAUCAAAGAAAUAAGUGUCAACGUCCACUUGGCGGAAGCACAAAAGAGAGAGCUCAUUCACCUGUUACAGGAAUAUAUUGACGGUUUUGCUUGGUCCUAUGAUGAUAUGCCGAGAUUGAGCACCAAUAUUAUGUCGCGUAAGUUGCCAAUAAAUCCAGAGUUUGAUCCAGUCAAGCAAAAAAUACGGAAAUUCAAGCCAGAUUUAAGUCAAAGAUCAAGGAAGAAGUGACAAAACAAAUCCAGUCUAAGGUUGUGGAGGUCACAAAAUAUCCAACAUGGUUGGCCAACAUUGUCCCUGUGCCGAAGAAGGACGACAAUAUUCAAAUUUGUGUUGACUAUAGAGACUUGAAUAGAGCCAGUCCUAAAGAUAAUUUUUCGUUGCCCAAUAUCCACAUCCUCAUCGAUAACUGUGCAAAGCAUGAAAUUCAGUCAUUCGUUGAUUGUCUUGCCGGGUAUCAUCAGAUAUUAAUAGAUGAGAAAGAUGCAGAAAAGACGACUUUUAUUAAGCCCUGGGGUAUUUAUCAUUACAAGGUAAUGUCGUUUGGUCUCAAGAACGUGGGUACAACAUAUAUGAGGGCUAUGACGAUGAUUUUCCAUGAUAUGAUCCAUAAAUAGAUUGAGGUGUAUGUGGAUGAUGUAAUUAGCAAAUCCUGCGAGAGUUCAGAUCAUCUGACUCAUCUGGAGAAAUUCUUUAACAGAUUAAGAAAGUACAGUUUAAAGUUAAAUCUUGCUAAGUGUACUUUUGGUGUGCCAUCAGGGAAGUUACUGUUCAUAGUUAGCAGAAGAGGCAUCGAGUUAGACCCAUCCAAAAUCAGGACAAUCCAGGACUUGCCAUCGCCGAGGACUAAGAAGAAAGUUAUGAGUUUCAUGGGUCAUUUGAAUUACAUUAGUAGCUUCAUCGCUCAAUCGACAUUCAUAUGCGAUCCAAUUCUCAAGAUAUUGAAGAAAAAUUCAUUGAAUGAGUGGACAGAAGAAUGUCAGAGAGCUUUUGACCACAUCAAAGAAUAUCUAUCUGCACCACCGGUUUUGGUUCCACCAAGAGAAGGAAUUUCAUUAUUGCUUUACCUGUCAGUCCCAAAAAAUGCUUUUGGAUGUGUCCUCGAGCAACAUGAUGAGACCGGUAGAAAAGAGAAAGCCAUUUACUACUUGAGUAAAAAGUUUACGCCAUAUGAAGCCCGUUAUACUCUUGUAGAAAUGACAUGUUGUGCUUUGACUUGGGCUGCACAAAAGUUAAGGCAUUAUCUGUCUUCGUACACGACAUACAUCAUCUCGAGAAUGGAUUCAUUGAAGUAUAUAAUACAGAAGACUAUACCCACAGGAAAGCUAGCCAAGUGGCAAAUAUUGCUAAGCGAGUUUGACAUCAUGUAUGUAACUCAAAAUGCAAUCAAGGGGCAAGCUUUGGCAGAUAAUUUGGCAGAGAAUCCAGUUGAUGAUGAGUAUGAACCACUUCAAACUUACUUCCCAUAUGAGAAAAUUCUAUUUGUGGGAGAAGACAUUACAGAAAUUUACCCUGGAUGGAGGUUAUUCUUUGAUGGAGCGGUCAACUUCAAAGGUUCAGGAAUCGGAGCAGUGUUGGUCUCAGAAAUGGGUCAACAUUAUCCAGUAACUACUAAGUUGCAUUUCCCAUGCACCAACAACAUGGCCGAAUAUGAAGCUUGCAUCCUGGGUCUCAAAUUGGCACUUGAUAUGGGUGUUCGUGAAUUGCUAGUCAUCAGGGAUUUAGAUUUGCUGAUUCACCAGGUACGGGGAGAAUGGGCGGUAAAAAAUUCCAAGAUUACUCCUUAUGUUGAGCUGGUACAGGAAUUAUGUGGAAAAUUCAAAGAAGUUGAUUUCAGACAUAUCCCAAGAAUACAAAAUGAGUUUGUUGACGCUUUGGCCACUAUAUCCUCUAUAAUUUGGCACCCAGAUCAGAGUUAUAUUAAUCCUUUGGAAAUAAGCUUGAAGGAGCAACCUGCGCAUUGUGCACGUGUUGAAGAGAAGCCCGAUGGAAAGCCAUGGUACUAUGACAUUAAAAGGUAUUUAGAAUCUGGAAUAUAUCCUGAAGAGGCCAGCAACAACCAAAAGAAACAACCCAGCGUUUGGCAAAAAACUACUUUCCAAGUGGGGAAUUUCUUUUUAAGAGGACACCUGAUUUAGGAUUUUUAAGAUGCGUAGAUGCUGUGGAAGCCAAUAAAUUGAUAAAAGAAGUACACACAGGAGUUUGCGGACCCCACAUGAAUGGGUUUGUCCUUGCCAUAAAGAUCCUGAGAACCGGCUACUUCUGGAUAACUAUGGAGAAUGAUUUAGUAAGUAUGUGCAGAGAUGUCCAAAAUGCCAUACACAUAGAGAUUUGAUUCGAAUGCCUCCACACGAGCUUCAUGAAAUGAAUUCACUUUGGCCUUUCGUAGCUUGGGGCAUGGAUGUUAUCGGACCGAUAGAGCCAUCAGCAUCGAUAGGCAUAAAUUUAUUUUUGUUGCCAUUGACUACUUCACUAAGUGGGUCAAAGCUGCAUCAUAUAGAUUCGUCACUAAGAAAAUGGUUGCAGCUUUCGUUAGGAAUAACUUGAUUUGCCAAUUCGGAGUACUGUAAUCAAUCAUUACUGAUAAUGGGGCAAACUUGAACAGUCACUUGAUGAAAGAAAUUUAUGAUCAGUUCAAAAUUGUGCAUCGCAACUCUACCGCAUAUCGUCCACAGAUGAAUGGAGCCGUAGAAGCUGCCAAUAAGAACAUCAAGAAGAUCUUGAGAAAGAUGGUCAAAAUGAUAGAUCAUGUCAUGAGAUGUUACCUUAUGCUUUGCUAGGUAUCGCACAACAGUUCGAACCUCCAUCUGGUCAACUCUCUAUUUGUUGGUUUACGGGAAUGAAACUGUGAUACCUGUUGAGGUUGAAAUACCUUCCCUGAGGAUUAUUCAAGAGGCCGGACUAAGUAACAAAGAGUGGGUUCGCGCUCGUUGUGAACAACUCAUGUUGAUUGAUGAAAAGAGAAUGGUUGCCAUGUGUCAUGGUUAGUUAUAUCAGCACAAGAUGAUUCAUGCUUUCAACAAGAAAGUGAGAGCUCGAACAUUUGAAGUUGGGCAAUUAGUUCUCAAAUGCAUACUCCCUCACCAAGAAUAUUACAAGGGCAAGUUCGCUCCAAAUUGGCAAGGUCCAUACAUAGUUCGCAAGGUACUAUCUAGAGGGGCUCUGAUUUUUCUGAGAUGGAUGGCCAUGAGUGGACCAAACCAAUCAAUUUUGAUGUGGUGAAAAGAUACUAUGUUUGAAGGGCGUUCUAGUUUUAUGGUUCUUAGUUUAUCUGUAAUCGCCAUGUAAUAAUGUGUUUUAUGAUGUGUAAUUGCCUAGAACACUUUUCCCUUUAUGUACGAACUAUGUUUGACCUGAAUUCCCAAGAAAGGGAUACGUAUGCGGCCUAUGUCGGAUUCGGUCAACCUCUUAGAGAAUUUAUUCUUUCCCUUUAUGUAUGAACUACUUGAUGACCUGAAUUCCCAAGAAAGGGAUACGUAGGCGGCCUAUGUCGGCUUCGGUCAACCCAUUAAUUUGUUUUGUAUAUUCCUAGCGUAAUCCUAAACUACAUUUGACCUGAUUCCUACUUCAACGGGAUACGUAGGCGCCCCAACGGUUCGAUCAUAUAACCCCAAGAAAUGAAAACUGGGGCAGAAUUUUUGAGAAGGAAUCUCGAAAAUUCACAAGAGAAGAUCAACAUCCAACAAAGAGAACGAAGAUCAGCAAAGACUUUAGAUCCACUCAAGAUGAUAUCAUCUCAGACUACUUUAAACUGGGGCAGAAAUUUUAAGGAAGACCUCAAAAUUUCAAUCAAAUACUGGAAUAUAUUUUAGAUUCCCCAGCACUAGAGGUCAAAGUUGAGAUUUGAGAAUAACCACCUGUGAUAAAGUCUAGGAAGACUGAAUCUCCAUCUUUGAUAAAACCUCUGGUAGAGAGCCUCGACAAUCUUGAAUCCCAGCUAUCCUCCGUCAAACGUCAGACAUUGUCAGAAUCAAGAUAAAGAAGGUCGUUGAGCUAGCACAUGACAUGACUGGCAAAGAUUUUUCAAAGUUUUGCAGGAGUUCUCAAAAUUAUUUUCUAAAAAGUAAGAGUACUAAAAUCUAUAUAAAUCUUUUACUUAGUUAUUGCCUAGACAUCAAUUAGGACGGAGAGUCAUAAGUAGAAGUCCCAACACGACGAAAUACCUGAAAAAUGGCGAAAGGUAAAUCAAGGAUCGAAGGAGGUCAACACGAAGUAGUUUCACUCAAACUAAUCAUUUUUUAUGGGCGCAAGGACCAAUACACAAAAAUGAAAGUCUCUUUCAAAAAUCUCCGAGCAAAUUGGGAGCCACACCAGAGCACUAAUGCUCAAGAACAGUAUUUUUGGGUAGCCCUAAAAAUGGGUUUAGUACCCAUAUAUUGAAGACCUUUUAAAGUUGUCCAUCUCAUUUCUUGAGAUCAUGGAGGACAAAUAAAAGUGUCUUGUCUUCUUUACAAAUAUUGUAUUUAGAAUUUUUCUAAAAAACAUUCGCUAGCAAAAACGACUUUGUGUCUACUAAUCGUCUACCUUGAGUAUAGGUACAUGCAGAAAGCAAGAUCCUGACAAAUGAUUUCAGUUGAAACUAUUUUUAAUUUACCGGAAGAACCAUUGCAUAUCAUUGCCGAAAGAACAAUUUGAGAGAUUAUCUAUAAGUCAUAUUGUAUCCAAGGUCGGAUGAUAUGCAGGAACCCCUGAAAGCUAGCGAUUGGAGGGAUAUCUGUAAGCUGUCUCUUAUCCAAAGUCGAAUAAUUUGCAGGAUUACCUAAAAGCUAGAAAUUCAAAGGAUAUUUGUAAGUUUCCUCUUAUCCAAUAUCAAAUAAUGUGCAAGAUUAUCCAAAGAUUGAUAAUUUAAAGGAAAUUUAUAAAUCAAUCAUCGUCAAUAACCAAAAAGGUUAUCCUUCCACAUACAACAAGAAUUAUAGGUGACCGAAGAAGUUACCACAUCUACACAAGAUUACAUGGUUGUGAGGACCAUUCUUCAUAAAAUAUCAUUGAUGUCCGAAGGGCCACCCCACUUUGAAGAUAUAUUCAACCGACAAAUGCCAUAAUUAUACAACUAUCAAGAAGGUUGUUGUGCCUGUUAUUUCAAGUUAUUUCCUUUCAAACAGGUACAAGAAAGGAUGACUUCGCUUUUUAGACAACAACUCACGCGGAGAUAUGGUAAAAUACUAUAUACCUCUUUCGUGAGUUAUGCUUAUCACUAAUGAUUUUUGUUUGAGAUAUUGUCGAGAGCAUCCGAGAGGAUAAAAAUCUCAAAUCAAAACCACAAGUGAGGACGACUCCAAAAAGGACGCAGCACAACGUGGAACUCUUUCUUAGCAGCAAAACGGGACAUAGUCUAGACAGGGAUGUCAAACUCUCUGGAUGCGAGCUAAAUGAUGAUUACCACCACCAUCUAACCACACCCCUUUUAGAAGGCAUGUGGGUAUUUUGGGAUAUUCUGGUUUCAGCUUCACCUUCGGGAUAUUUUCUUUACUCAUACCGAGGGUAACCUUCUCUUUCUUUCAAAUUUGGGUGACAACAUACUUAGAGUUUUGAAAAUUAUGUCCAGGUAAGUUCUUAUCUAUGGAUGUGAAGGAUCCCACAUUCAUGAUUAAGAGGUUACAAACCUUUUUUCCGCAACUCAGUCAACUUGUCACUUAUCCUGAUCCAAAGAUUGUCUAAAAAUAGAAGACUAUCUUUUCUACCGAUAGAGUCGAACUACAAGCAGUCUGAUUCCCUGAGUCUCGGGGAUAUGUAAGCUGGGCUCUAUGUAGAAAACUCAACUGAAUUCCAACCUCCCCCCAAAUCCCUCUAUUCCAUAGCUUUUUGAUUUUGUCAAAAACUCCAAAAAUCGAGACAACUUGUGAAUUUUUUAAAAAUCAUGCUUUAAAUCAUGCUUUAUGAACUACAAGUGGCCUGAAUUCUCAUGCCACCUGAGAUAUGUAGGAAACCUGAUGCCAAGGUUCGGCCAUAACUCAUUAAACUCGUGCUUAAGCCAACCUUUUUCAGAUGUGAAUUUGUGAUCAAACAAAAAUUAGGAACGUCAACCUCCCUUUGCCUAGGAUUACUUGCAUCCACCCUACCCAAAGGGAGGGGGCAGUUGUUGACACCUAAUUUUUACCCCCCAUAACUAAGUUUAAUUCCGAGUUCUUUAAUUUUUAAUAAGAUUACAACAUUUAUUUUAUAGAAUAAAGGAAAUUUUCAAAAAUAUUUAUCGAGGUAAUUUCGUCACUUUAAGUAGCAAUAACAUGUUAUCGUGCCCGACUAUAUGAAAUUAUAUGCUUUGGUUACUUAAAUGGCUAUUUUCUAUAAAAUAAUCAAAGUUUGUCUUGAAAUAAUUUCGAAUGGUUAAAAUCUUGGUCUAAACAUAAUUUAAUCUCAAAAAUAAUUUGUUCAUAUAAAUAUUUGUUUAGAUUUUAUUAAAUCAAGAAGCUCGAAAUUAAAGGAGAUAUUAAUUGAUUUCAAAUUUUGAUUCAAUUCGGCUAACCUGUCAGCUUCGACCACAAUUGAAAUUAGAUUGGUCAUUAUUGCGAGCAAUUGGCCAAUCGAUUUUAAAUUUGGCCAAAAUUUGAAUAAAUCAGCCAAAUCUCCAAUUACAUAAUCAACCCAUUUAAAUCAGUUUUGUCCCAUUUUGUAAACUACAAACAGCAGCCCACUUUCUUAAUUUAGCUUACUAGCUUUGCCAACCCAAUAGUUAAGAUAAGCCCUUUCCCCUUUCAGUUGGGCCAUACAGUUGGGCCGUUAAUCCAAAACUUUCAGAUGACCCAACAAUUUUCAAAUGACAUCAAACCCAACCCAUUUCCUCAGUAACCUUUUUCUUUAAUUAUAUUGACCGCCCCAGCCCAACAACAACAUCCAAUUCAUAACCAGGCCCAAUUUCAGCAUCCCCACCAGCCUAUUUUCCUCUUUAUUCUCAAACAGGCCCAAAUCAACCACCUGUUACCCAAUCCAGCCCAAUUCUCUUUACCUCCUUUAUCUUCUUUCUCUUCAAACCAAGGGAAAACCAAAAACAGUUGUAAUACUACGACACCACCACCUUCAUCGACAACAUAAGCAACCAACAAUGGCAAAAAAUUUGAAUCCAUCAACCAGAUAACCCGAAUCCACCAUCCCCAACCAUUUUGUUUGCUCUCCACAUGCGUAUCAGGCAUCAAAAAGACGAGAAAAGAAUCCAAGAAAAAAAUAGUCUCAAAUCUUCUAGAACGAGCCUAGGUGUCAUCCCCAAUGGUUCAAUCUCGUGUUUCUCAUAUAAGAUUGUACGAUUUCGUACAGAGUUGGAUGAUUUUCAUUGGUUCUUGAAAAUAGUCCAUUUUUCCUAAAUGGUAUUAGUCCACCUGUGGCAAAUUUCUCUAAAAAAAUCCAAAGUUGGUACGUUUUGGGCUUGAAAAUGAGGCUGUGGGAGAAUGGGAUUCUGAAUUUUGAAUUUCUCUUUUUUUUUCAAUCCCUAGAUUACCCCGAACUCAUUCCAUAUAUAAGAAUCCAUCGGGUUACUGUGAUGGGGGGAUUUUUUUUUUAGACGGGCUUCUCCUCCUUCUUUCUAGGUUCGCAACCUUAGAGGUAAAGGGAUUCCAACUAGGAGGUUUGGAAAAUUUUGCAGAAGUAUCGAGGGUUUUGGGGCCAAAAAAUUUUAGGGGAAAACUUCUUAAAUUAGGAAAUUGAUAGAGAGGGCUAAGUUCAGAAACCAAGGAGGAAGUUUCCAUAGAAAGAAAACAAAGUUUUUAGUAUAGGUGUCUUUGGUCGACGACUACUUCGAGCUUUCGUGGUCACCGUGUUAAACUUUCUAGUGGUAUUGAAAUCCUGUCGUCAGUUCGACAACCUAUUUUGAUGCUCCGAAACAGGUAAACGCGCCUUUUUCUUUGAGUUUGUUUUGCUUCUUCAUCUCAUUCUUUGUAGUUUUGUAAUCAUAGUGAUAGUGAGAUGGUUUAUUGUAGAUGGUUGUUAUGGCCAUAGGAUUUUCUUGCAAAGAUUGUCGUUAUGUUGUUCGUUGCAUAAAUGUCUACACUCUAAUCCUUCGCUCCACUUUCGAUUACGUAUGUUUCGAUUUGAUCGUUUUGACUCACCAUAUUAUUUUCAUGUUGUUAGUUAGUUUCAAUCCAUUCUUAAUAGUAAUCAAUAUUGUCAUGGCGGUAUUUUUUUUAGCAUAAAUGUUGCUGAUUUUUUCAGUUUAAAUAGUAUUACUUUCAAGCCAGAAUAUUGUUAUUUUUUUAGUCUAAGUAUUGUUGGGUUUCAACCCCAAAUAUUGUUGUGUUUUUUAGUCCAAGUAGUGCUGUUUUUAGGCCUGUUUAUUGCUGUUUUUUUAGCCUAAAUAUCGCAGGUUUUUAGCCUGAAUGAUGUUUCGGAACUUAAAUAUUUUUCCCAGACCUUGAACAUCGUCGUUGAACGCUUUGGAUUUGUUUUGUUGCGCCAAACAUCUAAAAUUUUCUUACGUAGCAUACAGUUGAGUCAGAUCUUGUUUGGUUGUCUUUAGAAUCGAUCAAUAACAUGUUUGUUGUUUUGUUUCGAUUUAAAUCGGUCUUCCUUUCAAAUUAUAGAUGACCAAAAUAGAUAAUGUGCUUCUUUCUUCUUGAAAAUGACGUUCAAAACUGUUUGUGCUUGAGGCGUUGAUUUAUUUUUCCUUUCCCCCUUUGUUAAAAAUAUGUCCAAUUCAUCUUUUUGUGUCGAUUAGAACAGUGGCUUGUCAAUAUCCUAUUCUUACGUUGGUCUGAUUUUCGCUCAUAGGCUUAAAACUCUUAAGGUUUUGCAAAGCUAUUAUGUAGAAAACAACGAUUCUAUUGUCUUUUGGAUACGAAUCUGCAUCCUCAAUAUUUCUUCCGAUAAAUUGUUUCGGAGUCUAUCGUUUUCUCUUUUUGUCUUUGUUAAUAUGUGUCAUUUGCUACUACUUGUUGAUUCUUUGUUUGUAAUACUUGUUUUUCGGUUAUCUUCUACCCUGUUUAAUUAUCUGGUUCAAUAUAUUAAUUUUUUUUAGCUUCAAGAAUCUUGUGAUGAACUAUCACUUGCUGGUCAUUGAUAUCAAAAUAAAGCAAGAUGUGUUCAAACCAAGCUAUAUAAUUGGUCUUUUCUCUUAAGUUUGUGCUUUCUGGUUGAUAAAUUUUAAGGUGAUAUUUCUAUGGGUGAAAUGAAUCAGGAGCUUUACAUGAUAUUUCUUUUAAUUAGAUCACACUAGUACUGUUUUAUUCAUGCACCAAAUGUAUUCUUUUCCAUGUCAUCACUUAUUUGUUAAGUAACCAACUUUCAAACAUAUAUUAAUUUUCUUACUUUUUACUUUGCAUGUGGAUACGUUUGAGUCCUAAACGGACUCCUUUUCACCUUUGCAUCCUCUCUAUGGGUCCUUGAGGCUCACCUCGUUGAACUAAGCCCAAAAGAAGGUCCAAAAGCCCAUCGUUUGAUGUAUGGUUACGAGAAGACGGAAGGAAAGGAAAUGGAUUAAAGCCCUACGUGUGAAGCGGCUAAGAGACAAAAGUCUCAAUUAUUAUUUCAUUCUACUUAUUGUUGCUUUUUUUUUUUAUUUAUUUUAUUUGUUUGUUCAUUUUAUUCAUUCAUUUGGUCCACGAAGUCGAAGUUGUAAAUUUAAUACAGGUGGAGCGAGACUCGAGCUAAAGACUCGAAAAACAUAGAAUUAGGAUAGGUGCAAAUGGGUCGAAAUCCUAACUAGAUUAGGAUAGGGUCGACGGUUUGGGCUUAAAAGCCUAAAUCAUUACUUUCCCACUUUUUUCCUUUUUUCUUUUCAUUUACUUGUUUGCUUGUCUCUUUGCGAAGUUAGUUAAAUCCCUAACUAAGUCACUAAAAAAUUGAUUUUGAAUGUCAAUAUCCUAUUCUUACGUUGGUCUGAUUUUCGCUCAUAGGCUUAAAACUCUUAAGGUUUUGCAAAGCUAUUAUGUAGAAAACAACGAUUCUAUUGUCUUUUGGAUACGAAUCUGCAUCCUCAAUAUUUCUUCCGAUAAAUUGUUUCGGAGUCUAUCGUUUUCUCUUUUUGUCUUUGUUAAUAUGUGUCAUUUGCUACUACUUGUUGAUUCUUUGUUUGUAAUACUUGUUUUUCGGUUAUCUUCUACCCUGUUUAAUUAUCUGGUUCAAUAUAUUAAUUUUUUUUAGCUUCAAGAAUCUUGUGAUGAACUAUCACUUGCUGGUCAUUGAUAUCAAAAUAAAGCAAGAUGUGUUCAAACCAAGCUAUAUAAUUGGUCUUUUCUCUUAAGUUUGUGCUUUCUGGUUGAUAAAUUUUAAGGUGAUAUUUCUAUGGGUGAAAUGAAUCAGGAGCUUUACAUGAUAUUUCUUUUAAUUAGAUCACGCUAGUACUGUUUUAUUCAUGCACCAAAUGUAUUCUUUUCCAUGUCAUCACUUAUUUGUUAAGUAACCAACUUUCAAACAUAUAUUAAUUUUCUUACUUUUUACUUUGCAUGUGGAUACGUUUGAGUCCUAAACGGACUCCUUUUCACCUUUGCAUCCUCUCUAUGGGUCCUUGAGGCUCACCUCGUUGAACUAAGCCCAAAAGAAGGUCCAAAAGCCCAUCGUUUGAUGUAUGGUUACGAGAAGACGGAAGGAAAGGAAAUGGAUUAAAGCCCUACGUGUGAAGCGGCUAAGAGACAAAAGUCUCAAUUAUUAUUUCAUUCUACUUAUUGUUGCUUUUUUUUUUUAUUUAUUUUAUUUGUUUGUUCAUUUUAUUCAUUCAUUUGGUCCACGAAGUCGAAGUUGUAAAUUUAAUACAGGUGGAGCGAGACUCGAGCUAAAGACUCGUAAAACAUAGAAUUAGGACAGGUGCAAAUGGGUCGAAAGCCCAACUAGAUUAGGACAGGGUCGACGGUUUGGGCUUAAAAGCCUAAAUCAUUACUAGAUUAGGACAGGGUCGACGGUUUGGGAUUAAAAGCCUAAAUCAUUACUUUCCUGCUUUUCCCCCCUUUUCUUUUCAUUUAGUUGUUUGCUUGUCUCUUUGUAAAGCUAGUUAAAUCCCUAACUAAGUCGCUAAAAGUUUGAUUUUGCAAAAAAAUUUUCCUUAAUCAACUAUUUUUCUAGCAAAUUAAUUUUCCAAAGUUAAUCAAAAGAAUGUUUUUAAACAGUCUGGGUAACCGCAAGUUAACGGACGUUUUAGGUUCCUAACACCUUCCUAAAACGUUAAUAGGAACCGCCUACUUAGAAUCUCUUAACUUAAACAAUUUUCCUGUUUUGAAUUGUUUGAAGUAAUUCUCUAAAGGUUUCUUAAUUCCUUUUCAAAAUUAAGUGGCUACUCUCUUUCAAAAUUCAAAAUUUUCGCAAAACAAUUAACUGUCAAAGUUUGAAUUUUGAAAUUCCGACCGAGCCACAUAAAUAAAACAGAGGGAGUAGUAAAAAGAUUAUGAAUUUGAUUACAUACAUAUUUAAUGAAUUUUUUAACACAUAUACAUAAUUUGGGCCAAAGCUACUUGGUUCUGUCAAACAGUAUGCUGAAGGCUACUCUGCCCCUGUUAAUAAGUGAUAUGAUUGUAUUAGUACUUUUUAUAAUGUCAAUGCAUAGAACUUAAUUUCCUUUCUAGUAAGUGUCAUGUAUAGCAUACUUUUAUCUUCUUCUUACUAUGUCCUUUUGGCUUUGGUCAUUACUAUGUGCCAUGUUUGGAACGAUGCCUCACUCUGUUAAAUAAGUUGUCACAUAUGCAUGCAAGGAAGGAACAGUAUACAAGAAAUUUAUGAAUUUGUUCAAAUUAAAGAUGCAUGGUUGAGCGGAGAUUAAGGAAGGUCAUGUCUAUUUCGGAGAAUCAGUUUGGAUUUAUGCUUAGUCGCUCGACGACAGAGGUAAUCCACUUGGCCAGGAGANNNNNNNNNNNUGGAAAGAAAGAGGGAUCUACACAUGGUGUUCAUCUACCUGUAGAAGGCGCAUGACAAAGUCCCUAGGGAAGUUCUUUGGAGGUGCUUGAAGGUGAGAGGGGUCCCGAUGACGUAAAUCAGAGUCAUUAAGGACAUGUACAAUGAAGGGAAGACUCGGGUGAGGAUGGCGGGCGGAGAAUCAGAUCAUUUUUUGGUCGAGACAAGGUUAUAUCAGGGAUCGACUCUCAGUCCGUGUCUGUUUGUGUUGGUGAUGGAUGUGUUGACGCAAAGUAUUCAAGGUGAGGUGCCUUGGUGUAUGUUAUUUGCAGAUGACGUAGUGUUGAUUGAUGAGACACUGGGAGGUGUAAAUAAAAAAUUAGAGGUUUGGAGGCAUACCCUUGAGUCUUAGGGGUUUAGGUUGAGUAGGUCAAAGAUAGAGUAUAUGGAGUGCAAGUUUAGUGACUCGAAGCAGGAGGCCGAAGUGGUGGUAAGGUUGGAUUCCCAGGAUGUUUGCAAGAGGGAUAGUUUUAAAUAUCUCGAAUCUAUGAUUCAGAGGAAUGGCGAGAUUGAUGAGGAUGUCUCUAAGCGUAUUGGAGCAGGUUGGAUGAAGAGGAGGCUCGCCUCGGGAGUGUUGUACGAUAAGAAGGUGCCCUUAAAGCUUAAAGGUAAGUUCUACGGAGUGGCAAUCCGCCCGGCCGUGUUGUAUGGUGCGGAGUGUUGGCCAGUCAAGAACUCCCAUAUUCAAAUAUUGAAGGUAGCGGAAAUGAGAAUGUUGCAUUGGAUGUGUGGGCUUACUAGAAGGGAUAGAGUUAAGAAUGAGAUUAUCCGGAAGAAGGUGGGAGUGGCGUCGGUGGAAGACAAGAUGAGGGAAAAAAGACUGAGAUGGUUUGGGCAUGUGAUAAGGAGGGGCACAGAUGCCCCAGUUCGUAGGUGUGAGAGACUAGCUUUGGAUGGUUUCAGGAGGAGUAGAGGCUGACCGAAGAAAUAUUGGAGAGAGGUGAUUAGACAUAACAUGGAGCUGCUACAGCUUACUGAAGACAUUACCCUAGAUAGGAAGGUGUGGAGGUCGCGAAUAAGGGUGGAAGGCUAGUGCGGGUGUGGGUUGUGACUUGUAGUUAGGGAGCUCUUCUGUAGUCGAUUUAGUAACCCUAGGACUGUCCUUUGGUAGGAGCCGCUAGUGUAUUCUACUACUAGGUGAGUGUCCUUGUCUUAUUUCUUAUUUCCUAUUUCUUAUUUUCGUAGUUCGCUUAUUUUCGUGUCGCUCUUAUUUUUAUUAUUAUUGUUUCUUAUUUCUUAGUUUUUGGUUAUGUCACCCAUCUUGUUUCAUGUAUUAAUAUGACCUUGUUAAUUAUUCUUUAUCUAGAGUCGGGGGUCUAUCAGAAACAACCUCUCUACUUCUUUGGAAGUAGCGGUAUGGACUACGUACAUUCUACCCUCCCCAGACCCCACUUGGUGCAAAUACACUGGGUUUGUUGUUGUUGUUGUUGUUGUAAAGAUGCUAAUUAAAUUAAGGUACACAUAAACCUAAGUAUUAUGACUUGGAAACUCACAUAGUAGUACUUGCUACGUUCAGACUACAAAACACAUUGAUUUUCCCUUUUAACUGAAAUGUCAUUGAUCUAGUAGUAAAAUGUUACGAUGAUCCUCUUUCACUUCUUGACAGAAAAAUGAGGAAUCAUGCAAUAAGCUUAUAUCGUUCAACAUUAUUAUUUGCACUGAUUUUGAGUAUUGCUUCUUGAGAAUUAAUUGAAUUCGAUAAGUUCCUCCGGUCUGUAAAUUUAAGUUUAAGCUUUUAACAGCUUUAUAGUUUUUCUAGUUACCAUAUCCCAAAUGUAGCUUCGGUCGUUUUUGCUAUGUUCUUUUUUUUUUCCUUUGAUAUGAAAGUGGCACUAUAUGAUUCAUGUCUUUGGAAAGUGAAACUCAGAACUACACCAUCAUUGGAAUAUAUCAAACAUUUAUUCUAUUGUCAACUCAAUCACAAUAACUUUACAAGGCCAUCAAGCAAUCAAAUUUUAAGAAUUAUAUGAUGAUAUUCAUUUUCCGGGAACAAAAUUUGUGGCGUAGGCCCAGGCAUUGUUGUUAACCGGAUCUGCUAGGUGGUCAGCAAGGUUCUCCAAUGGACCCUUUCCUGUAACAAUGGCCUGAACAAAGAAUCCAAACAUAGAGAACAUAGCAAGUCUACCGUUCUUGAUCUCCUUUACCUUGAGCUCAGCAAAUGCCUCUGGAUCAUCAGCAAGACCUAAUGGGUCAAAGCUGCCACCGGGAUAGAGUGGGUCGACAACCUCGCCAAGAGGCCCACCAGCAAUACGGUAUCCCUCAACGGCUCCCAUCAAGACAACUUGGCAAGCCCAGAUGGCCAAGAUGCUCUGUGCAUGGACCAAACUUGGGUUGCCCAAGUAGUCAAGUCCACCCUCGCUGAAUAUCUGGGAUCCAGCCUUGAACCACACAGCCUCACCAAACUUGACACCAUUACGGGCCAAGAGCUCGGGGAAAACACAUCCAAGAGCACCAAGCAUAGCCCAUCUGCAGUGGAUCACCUCGAGUUCACGGUUCUUGGCAAAGGUUUCUGGGUCUGCUGAAAGUCCAGCGGUGUCCCAACCAUAGUCACCAGGGAAUUCACCGGUCAAGUAGCUUAGGGGCUCACCAGAGAGUGGGCCCAAGUACUUAACACGGUCUGGGCCAUACCAUGGGCUGCUAGAUGGUGCAGACUUGAGAGCCCUUCUCAUAGAGAUUCUUCCAUUUCCAGUGAUUUCUGAGGGAGAGGGUGAGAGUUUCACUGCCUGUCCAGCAAAAGAAGGGGAAGAAAGAGCCAUUGUAGAAGCUGCCAUGGUUUUUCUCAAGAGAAAGGUAAGUGUUUGAUGGUAUGAAAUAUUGUUGAAGUUGGCUGUGAUGAGGUGAAGUUAAUUACAAGGGGCUUCACCAUAUAUAGGAGGAGUAAGAGCGGUAGAGGCCUUUAUCUAACGAUAUCUACAUCUUUUUCUUUUGGUGUUAACGAUAUCUGUAUCUGUGAUCUCAUUGGGUAAUAAGAUCACAUGUGUAGAAAUUAAUGCACACUUGGCAAUCUCCAGACUCCAAUCCAUCAAUUUUCCAAGAUGUUUACUAAAGGGACCCAUCCAAUAUUGUCCUCCUUUGUGUGGAUACGAGGGUAUUGACUCUAUUCUGUGAUUUGUUGAGCUUACAAUAAGAUAUCUCUUAUCGUUAUCCAUUGGGAAUUUCUCCGGAUUUUAUCUAAUAGCUGGGAAUAAGUUACCAACACUAUAGCUCAUUCAAUGUAGAAGUAGAAACUAGAACUAUGUUUUAAGCAUUCCACUAAAUAAAUUGUGGAAAAACUGAAUUUUUUAAAUCAGAUUGUCAGUUACUAAUGUUUAUCAAAAGAUUAAUUUGUAGUAAUUACUUAAUAAGCAAAAGUGGAUCAGAAUUUGAACUUUUAUGGGUUCUGUAGUCUAGGACGACGACCUUAAAUUCUACUAAAUAGUUUCUAAAUUUAACUUUUCUACAUAUUUAAUAAGUUUAUUAAAACAUACAUGGUUUGGGCCAAAGUUAGUUCUGUCAAACCGGUUUGCUGAAGGGUACCUCUGCGCGUCCAUGUUAAUAAGUGAUAUGAUUGUGUUAUGCGUAAGUAUUUUUACAAUGUCAGUGCAUAGCGUCUCUAUAGGGUCGUCUAUACCUUGUAUCUUCUGCUUACAAUGUCCAUUUGGCUCUGAUCAUUGCUAUGUGAACAUGUUCUUCUCUAAAGAUAGUACCGCAUGCAUGUAAGGAAGGAGGACUACACAAGAAAUUCAAGAAUUUGUUCAAAUCUAAGAGGCUAAUUAAAUUAAGGGCACAUUAGUAUAAUGACCUGGAAACUCAUAUAUUACUUGCUACGUUCAUAUUACAAAACAUAUGCAUUGGUUUUCCCCUUAUCAUUUAAAUGUCAAUGGCCUACGUAGUAGUGAAAUAAUAUUAUGUCCUCUUAAUUUAUCUCACUUCUCUACAGGAAAAUAAGGAAUCAUGUAAAUAGCAUCAUGUUGUUCAUUGUUAUUCUUGGCACUAAGAGUAUUGCUUCAUGAGAAUUAAUUGAAUUUCAAGCUUUACCACAUCCAAAUGUAUCUUGGGUUUUUUGUUUUGGCUCUGUCAUCUUUUUUUCUCGCCUUGAUAUGAAACUGGCAGUAUUUUAUUCAUGCCAUUGGCAAAUGAAAUUCAGGACCAUACAAUAGUUGGAAUAUAAGAAAAAUCCAUUCUAUUGUUAAGUAAACUCACAAUUACAACUUUACAAGGACAUCAAACAAUGAAAUUUUAAGAUUGUUUUAUGAUAUUCAUUUUCCAGGAACAAAGUUUGUGGCGUAGGCCCAUGCGUUGUUGUUAACUGGAUCUGCAAGGUGGUCAGCGAGGUUUUCCAAUGGACCCUUUCCGGUAACAAUGGCCUGAACAAAGAAUCCGAACAUAGAGAACAUAGCAAGUCUACCGUUCUUGAUCUCCUUUACCUUGAGCUCAGCAAAUGCCUCUGGAUCAUCAGCAAGACCCAAUGGGUCAAAACUGCCCCGGGGUAUAGUGGGUCGACAACUUCACCAAGAGGCCCACCAGCAAUACGGUAUCCCUCAACGGCUCCCAUCAAGACAACUUGGCAAGCCCAGAUGGCCAAGAUGCUCUGUGCAUGAACCAAGCUUGGGUUGCCCAAGUAGUCAAGUCCACCCUCGCUGAAGAUUUGGGAUCCAGCCUUGAACCACACAGCCUCACCAAACUUGACACCGUUACGGGCCAACAGCUCGGGGAAGACACAUCCAAGGGCACCAAGCAUAGCCCAUCUGCAGUGGAUCACCUCGAGUUCUCGGUUCUUGGCAAAGGUUUCUGGAUCUGCUGAAAGUCCACCGGUGUCCCACCCGUAGUCACCAGGGAAUUCACCGGUCAAGUAGCUUGGGGCCUCACCGGAGAAUGGGCCCAAGUACUUAACACGGUCUGGGCCAUACCAUGGGCUGCCAGAUGAGGCAGGCUUGGUGACAGCCUUUCUCACAGAGAUCCUUCCAUUUCCAGUGAUUUCUGAGGCAGAGGGUGAGAGUUUCACUGCCUGUCCAGCAAAAGAAGGGGAAGAAAGAGCCAUUGUAGAAGCUGCCAUGGCUUAUCUCAAGAGAAAGGUAAGUGUUUGAUGGUAUAAAAUAUUGUUGAAGUUGGUUGUAAGGAUGCUGAAGUUAGUUGGGUUCAGAAUGUAUAGGGGUUAAGUAGAGAGAAAAAAUCCUCUUAUCUAGUGCUGUCUAUAGCUAUGAUUUCAUUGGGUAUCAAGAUCCCAUGUAUAGCAAUUAAUGCACUCUUGGCAAUCUCCAAUCCAUCAAUUUUCCAAGAUGUUCACUAAGGGGAACCCAACCAAUUUUGUCUUCCUAUAUGUGGCUGCAAAGCUUGAAAUCUAUUCUAUGAUUUCUUGAGCUUCAAUAUGAUAUCUCUUAUCCAUUGAGAAUUUCUCAAGAUUUUAUCCACCAGGAGUAUAGCUCAUUCAGUGUAGAACUAUGGCUUAGCAUUUCACUAAUUAAAUUGAGGAAAAGCUGAAAUUCAUUUGUAUCAGAUCAUCAAUUACUAAUGUUUGUCAAAAGAUUAACCUGUAAUUGCUUAAUAAGAAAAGGUGGAUCAAGAAUUGAACUUUAUGAGUUCUGAAAUCCUGGACUAGACCUUAAGUAGUAUAUCCUCCGCCUCAAUUUAUGUGACACAAUUGAAAUUUCGCGAGUCUACCAAGUUUUUUUUUGAUGGAAAUAUCUUUGUAUGUCUUUUAAAUAUUUCAAGUUGUUAAUUAUUGAUAGUAGUACUUUUUGUUUUUAGAUGACCGUGGUGUCCCAUACUUGCCACCUCCCACCAACAUGGGAUUUGAACCUAAAACCUUUGAGGUUCUCAACCCACUUCAUUGACCAUUAGACCUUGGGUGCAUUGUGAUUUACAGUAUUGUUUUAAUAGUUUCCAAGUACAUAGAUUUUAUUUCAAAAAACUUAAAACUUUUGUGUCCAAAUUGACUGUUAAAAGUUUGAAUUUUGAAAUUCCUACCGUGCCACAUAACAGAGGGAGUAAUAAAAAGAUUCUGAAUUUGAUGUACAUACAUAUUUAAUGGUUUUUGUAACACAUAUACAUAAUUUGGGCCAAAGCUACUUGGUUCUAUCAAACAGUAUGCUGAAGGCUACCCCUGCACCUGUUAAUAAGUGAUAUGAUUGUAUUUAGUAUUUUUUAUAAUGUUAAUGCAUAGAACUUAAUUUCCUUUGUAGUAAGUUUCAUGUAUAGCUUACUUUUAUCUUCUUCUUACUAUGUCCUUUUGGCUCUGGUCAUUACUAUGUGCCAUGUUUCGAAGGAUGCCUGCCUCUGUUAAAUAAGCCGUCACACAGGCAUGCAAGGAAGGAAGGAAGAGUAUACAAGAAAUUUAUGGAUUUGUUCAAAUAAAAGAUGCUAAUUAAAUUAACGUACACGUAAACCUAAGUAUUAUGACCUGGAAACUCAUAUAGCAGUACUUGCUACAUUCAGACCACAAAAAUAUUGGUUUUCCCUUUUAACUGAAAUGUCAUUGGUCUAGUAGUAAAAUAAUAUGAUGAUCCUCUUUCACUUCUUGACAGAAAAAUGAGUAAUAAUGUAAUAACAUCAUAUCGUUCAACAUUAUUCUUUGCACUCAUUUUGAGUAUUGCUUCUUGAGAAUUAAUUGAAUUCCAUUAGUUCCUCCGGUCUGAAAAAUGUAAGUUUUAGCUUUUAACAGCUUUAUAACUUUUCUAGUUACCAUAUCCCAAUUGUAGCUUCGGUCUUUUUCUGCUAUGCUCUUCUUCGUUUUUCCUUUGGUAUGAAAGUGGCAAUAUAUGAUUCAUGUCUUUGGAAAGUGAAACUCAGAACUAGACCGUCAAUGGAAAAUAACAAACAUUUAUUCUAUUGUCAACUCACUCACAACAACUUUACAAGGCCAUCAAACAAUCAAAUUUUAAGAAUUAUAUUAUGAUAUUCAUUUUCCAGGAACAAAGUUUGUGGCGUAGGCCCAGGCAUUGUUGUUAACCGGAUCUGCUAGAUGGUCAGCAAGGUUCUCCAAUGGACCCUUUCCUGUAACAAUGGCCUGAACAAAGAAUCCAAACAUAGAGAACAUAGCAAGUCUACCGUUCUUGAUCUCCUUUACCUUGAGCUCAGCAAAUGCCUCUGGAUCAUCAGCAAGACCUAAUGGGUCAAAGCUGCCACCGGGAUAGAGUGGGUCGACAACCUCGCCAAGAGGCCCACCAGCAAUACGGUAUCCCUCAACGGCUCCCAUCAAGACAACUUGGCAAGCCCAGAUGGCCAAGAUGCUCUGUGCAUGGACCAAACUUGGGUUGCCCAAGUAGUCAAGUCCACCCUCGCUGAAUAUCUGGGAUCCAGCCUUGAACCACACAGCCUCACCAAACUUGACACCAUUACGGGCCAAGAGCUCGGGGAAAACACAUCCAAGAGCACCAAGCAUAGCCCAUCUGCAGUGGAUCACCUCGAGUUCACGGUUCUUGGCAAAGGUUUCUGGGUCUGCUGAAAGUCCAGCGGUGUCCCACCCGUAGUCACCGGGAAAUUCACCGGUCAAGUAGCUUGGAGACUCACCUGAGAAUGGACCCAAGUACUUGACACGGUCUGGCCCAUACCAUGGGCUGCCAGAUGAGGCUGGCUUGGAGACAGCCUUUCUCAUAGAGAUCCUUCCAUUUCCAGUGAUUUCUGAGGCAGAGGGUGAGAGUUUCACUGCCUGUCCAGCAAAAGAAGGUGAAGAAAGUGCCAUUGUAGAAGCUGCCAUGGCUUAUCAAGAGAAAAGUAAGUGUUUGAUGGUAUGAAAUAUUGUUGAAGUUGGCUGUGAUGAGGUGAAGUUAAUUGCAAUUAAUGCACUCCUGAGAAUCUCCAAUCUAUCAAUUUUCCAAUAUGUUUAUAAAGGGGGACCUAACCAAUUUUGUCCUCCUAUAUGUGGCUGCAAGGCUUGAAAUCUAUUCUAUGAUUUCUUGAGCUUCAAUAUGAUAUCUUUUAUCCAUUGGGAAUUUCUCAAGAUUUUAUCCACCAUGACUAUAGUUCAUUCAGAGUAGAACUAUGUCUUAGUAUUUCACUAAAUAAAUUGAGGAAAAGCUGAAAUUCAUUUGUAUCAUAUUAUCAAUUACAAAUGUUUGUCAAAGAUUAACCUGUAAUUGCUUAAUAAGAAAAGGUGGAUCAAGAUUUGAACUUUAUGAGUUCAGUUCUGAAAUCUAGGACUAGACCUUAAGUAGUAUACCCUCCGUCCCAAUGUAUGUGGCACAAUUGGAAUUUCGAGAGUCAAUCAAAUUUUUCUUUGAUGAAAAUUCUUUGUCUUUUAAAUAUUUCAAGUUGUUAAUUAUUGUGAUUUGUUGUAGUACUUUUUAUUUUUAGAUAACCGUGGUGUGAGGUAUUUGCCACCUCCCACCAACAUGGGAUUUGAACAUAAGACCUUAAUCCACUUCAUGGACCAUUAAGCCAUAACCUUGGGUGCAUUGUGAUUUAUAGUAUUGUUUACAUAGUUUCCAAGUACAUAAACUUUAUUCUUCAAAAAACUUAAAACUUUUUUGUCUAAAUUGAUUGUCAAAGUUUAAAAGUUUGAGUUUCGAAAUUCUGAUUGUGCCACAUAAAUAAAACAGUGGGAGUAGUAAAUAGAUUCUGAAUUUGAUUUAUAUAUCUAUUUAAUGAUUUUUUUAACACAUAUACAUAAUUUGGAUCAAGGCUACUUGGUUCUGUCAAACAGUAUGCUGAAGGCUACGUCUGCCCCUGUCAAAUAAGUGAUCUAAUUUUAUUAAUAUUUUUUAUAAUGCCAAUGCAUAGAACUUAAUUUCCUUUGUAGUAAGUGUCAUGUAUAUCUACUUUUAUCUUCUUCUUACUAUGUCCUUUUGGCUCUGGUCAUUACUAUGUGCCAUGUUUCGAAGGAUGCCUGCCUCUGUUAAAUAAGCCGUCACACAGGAAUGCAAGGAAGGAAGAGUAUACAAGAAAUUUAUGAAUUUGUUCAAAUUAAAGAUGCUAAUUAAAUUAACGUACACGUAAACCUAAGUAUUAUGACCUGGAAACUCAUAUAGUAGUACUUGCCAGUAGGGCUGGGCAUAUUUUGGUUUAAACCGAAAAAACUGAAAAAUCAAAUCGAAAUUUUAAUUUCGAUUUAGUUUUUCGAUUUCUUGGAUCGGUUUUGAUUUUCAAUUUUUGAAAUUCGGUUAAACGGUUUGGUGUUCAUUUUUUCAAAAAACAAAAAAUUUGGAUAAACCGAUUAACCGAAAUUCUAUAAAUAAUUAAUAAUAUAUAUAUAUAUUAUUUAAUAUAUAAUAAAAUAAUAUAAAUAUAUAAUAGCCACCCUAAUAACUAAUAAGUAAUAGCACGCCACAUACAGCUAAAAACAUACAUCAGUCCAAUAUUAGAACAAUCGAUUGAACCAUCGACCGCCAGCGAGAUCGUCGUCUGUACAACGACACUAGAGCGGGCGACCAGACGACCACUGUGGGCUGCAGCCUGCAGCGCCGUCUGUGGUCUUUCCGGCAGCGACCACUCUUCCGAGUUUCGACUGUUUAUGCAAACUUAUGUUAUUUUCGUUUGUACUUCGGGUACACAGAAUCUGUAUAUGCAGAAACAGCAACUUCAACUAAAGUUCAAGUAUAUAAACAAGAACACAAUGAAGUAUAUCAAAUACCCUCAACACAAGAUCAAAAUGACCUUUCCAAGAGGUGUAUUUUAUUUUUCAGAAAAUAGAUGAAACAGAAAUGAAUAAGACCAAGCAGUCCGAAUUCACGGACUUUCCUUAAGGAAUAAUGCCCCUCACUGUAUCCGAGGUUAUGGAAUCUUCCUCCCAGGAUAAAAUGGCCUUCAAUCCGACUAUAGCGGUACCUCAAAUAAGCGGAUUCUUCAAACACACAGAACGCUUUGAUUGAUCACACAGAAUAUUUGUAAAGAAAAGAAGAGAGUUUUUAUUCUGCAAAAUUUUUAUAUCAAAACCUGUAAAGGUAAGCAGGUUUAUAUAGCCUAGCAAAUGCCUCUUCGAAAAGGUGGCAUUGGUUCACUUAAAUGGUGUGAUAUUUCUGAAAAUGCAUGUCUGCAACAUUUUUGCUGAAGCAGUAUACCAUUUCACCAAACAGUGCACCUGUUCGAAACAGUACAUCACUUCAUUGAAGAAUUGUAUCUGUUCAGUCGAAGCAAAAAUAGUAUAUCAGUUCAGUGCAUGCAUCAGUUCAGUCAAAACGAAACAGUACAUCAGUUCAGUCAAAACAGUGCAUCAUUUCUGUUGAAACAUUGCAUCUAUUACAGUUACUACAUGUAUUUCGUUAAAUAAAGUUUGUCCAAAAAAGAUAGAUCUCAUCGAUCUAUCAUUUUCCAAAUUCGAAUCCAAAUUCGAAGCCGAGAGAGCGACGACGACGACGGCACGAGGCAUCUCUUAUUUCUUGCCUCACUUAUCAUGUGGAGUAAGUAUUCAUCAUUAUAAACACUCCAAAGUUCCCUUCUCCCAUAAAUGUGGGAGAAUUAGUGAACUUUUUAAUUUUGGGAGUAUACUUUCCAAAUUGGUGUCUCCUCUUCUCCACCAUUUUUUUCUCUAUUUUCCAUUCACACUUUUAUGAAACUAACAAUCCCCCACAUGAAUGGGGAAUGGCUAUUUUUUGUAAAAAUUUUACGGACAAGAAUAUGAUCAUCAAGCAAAGACUGAUUUCAUCUGGAUAAGUGGGUUUCCCUUUGAACUUUCCGUAGUGAACAUGCAUCAGAUGCACUCGGUAAAUUGAUAGAUUUGAUAUCUUUGAACCGUCGAGCUUUAAUGUACACCUAGACAACACAUAUCACACAACCAUCCUUUUAACAUUUAUGGUUCUUACAAUUUUGUUCUUUUCAUCCAUGAACACGUCCCGGUUUUCAUGAGGGCUUAGAGAAUAGGCCUUUACUAACAUUCUCCUUGAAGCGGCUUUCACUUCACCCUUACAUAGGUGAUUUCUAAACGUUCUAUCCUGCAGAUUAAAAUAUUUGGUCAAAUCUGCCAAAUUUAGAUAAUCAUUAAAAGACUUUUCACCUUAAGUUUUAUCCUAGUUUACUAUACAUUAUCUACAUCAUGAGAAUGGGUUGGGUAAUUGACAAUGUUGAACCUGUCAGACACAACUUUGUUUGAUCUCCUUUAACCUAGUUGGGAUCGCCAGUCUGCUAGGUAGAGUUAUCGCUAUGCUGACUCGUCCUAGGCCUUAAACCCAUUCUCUUGGAUGUUCUUUCCACUCCUUCUCUAGAUAGGCCUUUUGUAAGUGGAUCCGACACAUUAUCAUUUGACUUUACAUAGUCAAUAAUGAUAAUUCCACUAGAGAGAAUUUCCCUAACGGUAUUAUGUCUCCGUCGUACGUGACGAGAUUUACGGUUGUACAUCAUGCUCCCUGCCCUACCUAUUGCCGCUUGGCUAUCAUAGUGUAUACAUACUGGUGCCACUGGUUUGGGCCAAUACAAAAUAUCUCCCAAGAAAUUUCGGAGCCAUUCUGCUUCUUCACCAGCUUUAUCUAAUGCGAUAAAUUCAGAUUCCAUUGUAGAGCGAGUGAUACAAGUCUGUUUGGAUGAUUUCCAAGAAAUUGCUCCUCCACCGAUAGUAAAUACAUAUCCACUUGUGGAUUUUACUUCGUUCGAUCCGGUGAUCCAAUUUGUAUCACUAUGUCCUUCAAGUACCGCAGGAUAUUUAUUAUAAUGCAAAGCAUAGUUUUGAAUGUAUUUUAAGAUACCCCAAAACUCUUUUCAUUGCCAUCCAAUGAGUUUUGUUGGGAUUACACCUGUACCGACUCAAUUUUGUAGUUGCACAUGCUAUGUCCGGUUGUGUACAGUUCAUUAUAUACAUUAAAAAUCCCAAUACUCUUGCGUACUCCAAUUGUGAAUCACUUUCACCUUCAUUCUUUCGAAGUGCAAAGUUCACGUCCAAUGGAGUCAUGGCAAUACCGAAUUCCAUAUCCUUGAACUUGUCAAGUACUUUUUCGAUAUAAUGAGACUGUGACAAUGCUAACCCUUGUGGAUUUUGAUGGAUUCUUAUACCUAAGAUUACAUCUGCAACUCCAAGGUCUUUCAUAUCAAACUUGCUCUCGAGCAUUCGUUUGAUUGCAUUUAUGUCACAAAUAUAUCUGCUGAUGAUCAACAUAUCAUCCACAUAUAAACAAACAAUGACUUGGUGAUUUGGUGUGUCUUUAAUAUAUAAACAUUUGUCACAUUCAUUUAUCUUGAAUCCAUUUGCCAACAUGGUUUGGUCAAACUUUGCAUAUCAUUGCUUAGGUGCUUGUUUUAGUCCAUAAAGUGACUUAACAAGUUUACACACCUUAUUUUCUUUUCCUGGCACCACAAAACCCUCAGGUUGUUCCAUGUAUAUUUCUUCCUCCAAAUCUCCAUUUAGGAAUGCGUUCUUCACAUCUAUUUGAUGGAUUUGAAAAUCAUAUACCACCACCAAGCCAAUUAACAUUCAAAUCGAGGUUAUCCUUGUUACUGGUGAGUAUGUAUCAAAGUAAUCAAGGCCUUCCUUCUGUUUGAAGCCUUUUACUAUAAGUCUUGCCUUGUAUUUGUCAAUUGUACUAUCUGCCUUCAUUUUUCUUUUGAAGAUCCAUUUAGAACCUAACGGUUUAUUUCCUGGAGAAAGGUCAACCAAUUUCCAUGUAUGGUUGCUUAAGAUUGAAUCUAUCUCACUAUUGACUGCCUCUUUCCAAAAGGAUGAGUCUGACGAUGGCAUCGCUUCUUUAAAUAUUUGAGGCUUAUUUUCUUAGAGAAAUGUUACAAAAUCUGAUCCAAAUGAAGUUGACAUUCUUUGAUGUGUACUAUGUCUUGGAUUUUCUUCAUUAUGUACAUUCUCACUUGGUUCAUCUCGAGGUCGCUUAGAUCCUCCACUAAACUGUUCAUGUCUAAUUUUAUACGGGUAAAUAUUUUUAAAGAAUUCAGCAUUGUCUGAUUCAAUAAUUGUAUUUUCAUUAAUAUCCGAAUGUUUGAAUUUAUGAACCAAAAAUCGACAUGCUUUACUACUUUUAGCAUAUCCUAUGAACACACAGUCCACUGUUUUAGGUCCUAUCUUAACCCUUUUAGGUACAGGAACUUGAACCUUCACUAGACACCCCCACACUUUGAAAUAUUCAAGCUGGGUUUCCUUCUUUUCCAUUUUUCGUAAGGAAUUGAUUGUGUCUUACUAUGGAAAACUCUGUUGAGUAUACGAUUGGCCAUAAGAAUAGCCUCCCAUCAUAAGUUUUGUGGUAAAGCAGAACUUAUAAGUAAGGCAUUCAUCAUUUCCUUCAAAUUUCGUUUUUUCCUUUCCGCAAUUCCAUUAGAUUGAGGUGAAUAUGGGGCCGUAGAUUGAUGGAUUAUUCCAUUCUCUACACAUAUUUGCGCAAAGGGAGAUUUAUAUUCUCCGCCCCUAUCACUUCUUAUCAUUUUGAUCUUUUUNNNNNNNNNNNNNNNNNNNNNNNNNNNNNNNNNNNNNNNNNNNNNNNNNNNNNNNNNNNNNNNNNNNNNNNNNNNNNNNNNNNNNNNNNNNNNNNNNNNNNNNNNNNNNNNNNNNNNNUAAACGCAUCUAUUGCUUCAUCCUUACUAUUUAUCGAGUAGACAUAACAGUAUCUAGUGCAAUCGUCAAUAAAAGUUAUGAAAUAUUUUUUCCCACCACGAGAUGGUGUUGACGUUAUAUCACAAAUGUCAGUGUGUAUUAAGUCUAAGGGAUUGGAAUUCCUUUCAACGGACUUAUAAGGAUGCUUUGCAUACUUCGAUUCCACACACGUUUGACACUUUGAUUUAUUGCACUCAAAGUUUGGCAAAACUUCUAAGCUAAUCAGUUUUCAUAACGUUUUAUAAUUAACAUGGCCUAAACAUUCAUGCCAUAAUAAGACUCAAGAAAAUAAGAAGAAUUCAAACUUUUAUUUAUUUCAACAGUCAUUACAUUCAUCUUAUAAAGUCCUUCGGUCAAAUAGCCUUUUCCUACAUACAUUUAUCCUUUGCUAAUUACAAUUUUUUCAGAAACGGUUACACAUUUGAAUCCGUUCUUGUCUAGAAGUGAAACAGAAAUUAAAUUCCUACGUAAAUACGGAACAUACAAGACAUUGUUAAGUGUCAAGACCUUUCCGGAAGUCAUAUUUAAGAAAAUUUUUCCUAUUCUUUCUACCUUAGCCGUAGCGGAGUUAGCCAUGUAGAUCAUUUCUUCUACUUGAGCAGAAGCAAAUAACGAAAACAGCUCCUUGUUGGCACAUACAUGGCGGGUGGCACCAGAAUCCAUCCACCCUUCACUAGGAUUCCCCGUCAAGUUGCAUUCUGAGAACAUAGCACACAGAUCAUCGAAUUCUUUGUUGGAUUCAAUCAUAUUUGCUUGAUCCUUCUUCUUUCCUUUCUUUGGGGCACGACAAUCUGUGGACUUGUGGCCAAUCUUGCCACAGUUGAAGCAUUUUCCCUUGAACUUUUUCUUGGUUUGAUUGCUUCCUUGUUUAGCUUUCUUCCUUUUCUUGAAAUUGUUUUGGUCAUCUUCUACAAUAUGUGCUCCAUUAAUUGUAGAAUUCCUCUUUGACCUUCUUUCGGAAGCUUUAUUAUCCUCUUCAAUACGAAGUCGGACAAAAAGUUCUUCAACAGUCAUCUCCUUGCGUUUAUGCUUUAAGUAGUUUUUGAAGUCUUUCCACAAAGGUGGUAGCUUCUCAACUAUCACUGCUACUUGGAAAUCAUCAUUCACAAUUAAACCUACAAUACAGUUUAUGUGAGUAUUAAGAACAUUUUUAAUUUGUUCAACUAAGGUAUUUUUCAAAGAUAUACCUUCUGCUAAGAGAUCAUGUAUGAUGACUUGCAACUCCUNNNNNNNNNNNNNNNNNNNNNNNNNNNNNNNNNNNNNNNNNNNNNNNNNNNNNNNNNNNNNNNNNNNNNNNNNNNNNNNNNNNNNNNNNNNNNNNNNNNNNNNNNNNNNNNNNNNNNNNNNNNNNNNNNNNNNNNNNNNNNNNNNNNNNNNNNNNNNNNNNNNNNNNNNNNNNNNNNNNNNNNNNNNNNNNNNNNNNNNNACAUAAAGUGGUGAGGUAAAAGAACAUCUUUUGCUGCCACCGCUUGAAGUCAAUGCUUGAAAAUAUUUUGGGCUACUCCGUCAGUGCCAUUGUUGGCGGAGCAUUUGUGUGACUUGAUGUGGCAAUAUUAGUUACCCCCAUAGACGUUGUCGCAUCUAUUAUUUCACUUUCGUUAGUCAUCUUUCCUGUCAACACAAGACAGAAAAAUUUAGUAUUUUCAGAAUAUUACUUAUAAAGUUAAAUAACUUUUCAACUUUUCUUCUUGUUUCUAAUUAACGACGAAGCUUUUAUAACUUCAAAUCGUCAACUGAGUGAACUUUAACUUGUGAUGAAGAUUUUAUGUCUUCUAAUCACUAGUUAAAUUCAAGCGGAGUAAAAAGUUUAAAGCUUUAAUCUCCAAAAACAAGUUAUACAGAUUCUGUAAAAGGAAUUAUUCCUUAAGAUUCUUAUUUUUGUUUUACUUUGGGUACACAGAAUUUGUAUAUGCAGAAACAACAACUUCAACUAAAGUUCAAGUUUAUAAACAAGAACACAAUGAAGUAUAUCAAAUACCCUCAACACAAGAUCAAAAUGACCUUUCCAAGAGGUAUAUUUUAUUUUUUAGAAAAUAGAUGAAACAGAAAUGAAUAAGACCAAGUCGUCCGAAUUCAUGGACUUUUCUUAAGGAUUAAUUCCCCUCACUGUAUCCGAGGUUAUGGAAUCUUCCUCCCAGGAUAAAAUGGCCUUCAAUCCGACUAUAGCGGUACCUCAAAUAGGCGGAUUCUUCGAACACACAGAACGUUUUGAUUGAUCACACAGAAUCUUUGUAAAGAAAAGAAGAGAGUUUUUAUUCUGAAAAUUUUUUAUAUCAAAACCUGUGAAGAAAAGCAUGUUUAUAUAGCCUAGCAGAUGCCUCUUCAAAAAGGUGGCAUUUGUUCACUUAAAUGGUGUGAUGUUUCUGAAAAUGCAUGUCUGCAGCACUUUUACUGAAGCAGUAUACCAUUUCACCAAAUAGUGCACCUGUUCAAAAUAGUACAUCACUUCAUUAAAGAAUUGCAUCUGUUCAGUCGAAGCAAAAACAGUAUAUCAGUUCAGUGCAUGCAUCUGUUCAGUCGAAAAGAAAUAGUACAUCAGUUUAGUCAAAAUAGUGCAUCAAUUCUGUCGAAACAUUGCAUCUGUUACUAUUACUAAAUGCAUAUAAAUGGAGUAUUUAUCAGAUUUCAUCAAAUAAAAUUUAUCCAAAAAGACAGAUAUCAUCGAUCGAUCAUUUUCCAAAUCCAAAUCCAAAUCUGAAGUCGAGCGACCGACGACAACAGUGGCGCGAGGAAUCUCUUAUUUCUUGCCUCACUUAUCAUGUGGAGUAAGUAUUCAGCAUUAUAAACACUCCAAAGUUUCUUUCUCCCACCAAUGUGGGAGAAUUAGUGAACUUUCCAAUUUUGGGAGUACACUUUCCAAAUUGGUGUCUCCUCUUCUCCAUAAUUUUUUUCUCCAUUUUCCAUUCACACUUCUAUGAACCCAACAAUCCCCCAUAUGAAUGGGGAAUAUAUAUUUUUCGUAAAACUUUUACGGACAAGAAUGUGAUCAUCAAGCAAAGACUGAUUCCAUCUGGAUAAGUGGGUUUCCCUUUGAACUUUCCGUAGUGAACAUGCAUCGGAUGCACUCGGUCAAUUGGUAGAUUUGAUAUCUUUGAACCGUUGAGCUUUAAUGUACACCUAGAUAACACAUGUCACACAACCAUCCUUUAACGUUUAUGGUUCUAACAAUUUUAUUCUUUUCAGUCAUGAACACGUCCCGGUUUUCAUGAGAGCUUAGAGAAUAGGCCUUUACUAAUAUUCGCCUUGAAGCAGCUUCCACUUCGCCCUCACAUAAGUGAUUUCUAAACGUUCAAUCCUGUAGAUUAAACUAUUUGGUCAAAUCUGUCAAAUUUAGAUAAUCAUUAAAAGACUUUUCACCUUAAGUCUUAUCCUAGUUUACUAUACAUUGUCUACAUCAUGAGAAUGGGUUGGGUAAUUGACAAUGUUGAACCUGUCAGACACGACUUUGUUUGAUCUCCUUGAACCUAGCUCUUGGGAUCUCCAGUCUGCUAGAUAGAGUUACCGCCACGUUGACUCAUCCUAGGCCUUAAACCCAUUCCCUUGGAUGUUCUUUCCACUCCUUAUCUAGAUAGGCCUUUUGUAAGUGGAUCCAACACAUUAUCCUUUAACUUUACAUAGUUAAUAGUGAUAAUUCCACUAGAGAGAAUUUCCCCAACGGUAUUAUGUCUCCGUCGUAUGUGAUGAGAUUUAUGGUUGUACAUCAUGCUCCCUGCCCUACCUAUUGCCGCUUGGCUAUCACAGUGUAUACAUACUGGUGCCACUGGCUUGGGCCAAUACAAAAUAUCUCCCAAGAAAUUUCGGAGCCAUUCUGCUUCUUCACCAGCUUUAUCUAAUGCGAUAAAUUCAGAUUCCAUUGUAGAGCGAGUGAUACAAGUCUGUUUGGAUGAUUUCCAAGAAACUGCUCCUCCACCGAUAGUAAAUACAUAUCCACUUAUAGAUUUUACUUCGUUUGAUCCGGUGAUCCGAUUUGCAUCACUAUGUCCUUCAAGUACCGCAGGAUAUUUAUUAUAAUACAAAACAUAGUUUUGAAUGUAUUUAAGAUACCCCAAAACUCUUUUCAUUUUCAUCCAAUGAGUUUUGUUGGGAUUACUCCUAUACCGACUUAAUUUACUAAUUGCACAUGCUAUGUCUGGUCGUGUAUAGUUCAUUAUAUACAUUAAACAUCCCAAUACUCUUGCAUAUUCCAAUUAUGAGUCAUUUUCACCUUCAUUCUUUUGAAGUGCAAAGUUCACAUCCAAUGGAGUCUUGACAAUACCGAAUUCCAUAUCCUUGAACUUGUCAAGUAAUUUUUUGAUAUAAUGAGACUAUAACAAUGCUAACCUUUGUGGAUUUUGAUGGAUUCUUAUACCUAAGAUCACAUCUGUAACUCUAAGGUCUUUCUUAUCAAACUUGCUCUAGGGCAUUCGUUUGGUUGCAUUUAUGUCACAAAUAUCUCUGCUGAUGAUCAACAUAUCAUCCACAUAUAAACAAACAAUGACUUGGUGAUUUGGUGUGUCUUUAAUAUAUAAACAUUUGUCACAUUCAUUUAUCUUGAAUCCGUUCGCCAACAUGAUUUGGUCAAACUUUGCAUGCCAUUGCUUAGGUGUUUGUUUUAGUCCAUAAAGUGACUUAACAAGUUUACAUACCUUAUUUUUUUUUUCUGAAACCAUAAAACCUUCAGGUUGUUCCAUGUAUAUUUCUUCCUCCAAAUCUCCAUUUAGGAAUGCGGUCUUUACAUCCAUUUAAUAGAUUUGAAGAUCAUAUACCGCCGCCAAGGCAAUUAACAUUCGAAUCAAGGUUAUCCUUGUUACUGGUGAGUAUGUAUCAAAGUAAUCAAGGCUUUCUCUUUCUGUUUGAAGCCUUUUACUACAAGUCUUGCCUUGUAUUUGUCAAUAGUACCAUCCGCCUUCAUUUUCCUUUGGAAGAUCCAUUUAGAACCUAACGGUUUAUUUUCGGGAAGAAGGUCAACCAAUUUCUAUGUAUGGUUGCUUAAGAUUGAAUCUAUCUCACUAUUGACUGCCUCUUUCCAAAAGAAUGAGUCUGACGAUGGCAUCGCUUCUUUAAAUGUUUGAGGCUUAUUUUCUUAGAGAAAUGUUACAAAAUCUGAUCCAAAUGAAGUUGACGUUCUUUGACGUGUACUACGUCUUGGAUUUUCUUCAUUAUGUACAUUCUCACUUGGUUCAUCUCGAGGUCGUUUAGAUCCUUCACUAGACUGUUCAUGUCUAAUUUAUACGAAUAAAUAUUUUUAAAGAAUUCAGCAUUAUCUGAUUCAAUUAUCGUAUUUUCAUUAAUAUCCGGAUGUUUGGAUUUAUGAACCAUAAAUUGACAUGCUUUACUAUAUUUAGCAUAUCCUAUGAACACACAGUCUACCAUUUUAGGUCCUAUCUUAAUCCUUUUAGGUAUAGGAACUUGAACCUUCGCUAGACACCCCCACACUUUAAAAUAUUCAAGUUGGGUUUCCUUCCUUUCCAUUUUUUUUAAGGAAUUGAUUGUGUCUUACUAUGAGGAACUCUGUUGAGUACACGAUUGGCCAUAAGGAUAGCCUCCCAUCAUAAGUUUUGUGGUAAACCAGAACUUAUAAGUAAAGCAUUUAUCAUUUCCUUCAAAGUUUGGUUUUUCCUUUCCGCAAUUCCAUUAGAUUGAGGUGAAUAUAGGACCAUAGUUUGAUGGAUUAUUCCAUUCUCUACACAUAUUUGCGCAAAGGGAGAUUCAUAUUCUCCGCCCCUAUCACUUUUUAUUAUUUUGAUCUUUUUGUCUAAAUGAUUUUCAACUUCAGUUUUAAUUGCCUAAAUGCAUCUAUUUCUUCAUCCUUACUAUUUAGCAAGUAGACAUAACAAUAUCUAGUGCAAUCGUCAAUACAAGUUAUGAAACAUUUUUUCCCACCACGUAAUGGUGUUGACUUCAUAUCACAAAUGUCAGUGUGUAUUAAGUCUAAGGGAUUAGAAUUUCUUUCAACGAACUUAUAAGGAUGCUUUGCAUACUUUGAUUCCACACACGUUUAACACUUUGAUUUAUUACACUCAAAGUUUGGCAAAACUUCUAAGUUAAUCAAUUUUCGUAACGUUUUGUAAUUAGCAUGGCCUAAACGUUCAUUCCAUAAAUCAUAACACUCAAGCAAAUAAGAAGAAUUCAAACUUUUAUUUAUUUCAACAGUCAUUACACUCAUAUUAUAAAGGCCUUCGGUCAGAUAGCCUUUUCCUACAUACAUUUCUCCUUUGCUCAUUACAAUUUCUCCAUAAAUGGUUACACAUUUGAAUUCGUUCUUCUCUAGAAGUUAAACAGAAAUUAAAUUCCUACGUAAAUACGGAACAUACAAGACAUUGUUAAGUGUCAAGACCUUUCCGAAAGUCAUAUUUAAUCAAAUUUUUCCUAUUCUUUCUACCUUAGCCGUAGCGGAGUUAGCCAUGUAGGGAGCGAAUGACGAAAACAACUCCUUGUUGGCACAUACAUGGCGGGUGGCACCAGAAUCCAUUCACCAUUCGCAAAGAUUCCCCAUCGAGUUGCAUUCUGAGAACAUAGCACACAGAUCAUCGCAUUCUUUAUUGGAUUCAAUCAUAUUUGCUUGAUCCUUCUUCUUGCCUUUCUUUGGGGCACGACAAUCUGUGGACUUGUGGCCAAUCUUGUCACGGUUGAAGCAUUUUCCCUUGAACUUUUUCUUAGGUUGAUUGCUUCCUUAUUCAGCUUUCUUCCUUUUCCUGAAAGUAUUUUAGUCAUCUUCUACAAUAUGUGCUCCAUUAAUUGUAGAAUUCCUCUUUGACCUUCUUUCGGCAGCUUUAUUAUCCUCUUCAAUACGAAGUUGGACAAUAAGAUCUUCAAUAGUCAUCUCUUUGCGUUUAUGCUUUAAGUAGUUUUUGAAGUCUUUCCACAAAGGUUGUAGUUUCUCAAAUAUCAUUGCUACUUGAAAAGCAUCAUUCACAAUUAAACCUACAAAAUAGUUUAUGUGAGUAUUAAGAACAUUUUUAGUUUGUUCAACUAAGGUAUUUUUCAAAGAUAUACCUUCUGCUAAGAGAUCAUGUAUGAUGACGUGCAACUCCUGUACUUGAGAGACAAAAGAUUUGCUAUCUAUUAUUUUGAAGUCCAAGAACUGUGCAACAAGAAAUUUUUUAAUUCCCGCAUCCUCCGUCUUAUAUUUUCGUUCAAGCGCCCCCCACAGUUCCUUUGAUGUCUUGGUUCCACUAUAAACAUUGUAGAGGUCGUCUUGGAAACUACUCAAAAUAUAAUUCCUGCAAAGAAAGUCCGAAUGUUUCCAAGCUUCUACAAUAACGAAGCGUUCUUUGUCCGAGGUUCCCUCGGGCACCUCAGGAGCGUCUUCGCUAGUGAACCAUUGCAAACAUAAAGUGGUGAGGUAAAAGAACAUCUUUUGCUGCCACCGCUUGAAGUCAAUGCUUGAAAAUAUUUUGGGCUACUCCGUUGGUGCCAUUGUUGGCGGAGCAUUUGUGUGACUUGAUGUGGCAAUAUUAGUUACCCCCAUAGACGUUGUCGCAUCUAUUAUUUCACUUUCGUUAGUCAUCUUUCCUGUCAACACAAGACAGAAAAAUUUAGUAUUUUCAGAAUACUACUUAUAAAGUUAAAUAACUUUUUAACUUUUCUUCUUGUUUCUAAUUAACACUGAAGUUUUUAUAACUUCAAAUCGUCAACUGAGUGAACUUUAACUUGUGAUGAAGAUUUUAUGUCUUCUAAUCACUAGUUAAAUUCAAGCGGAGUAAAAAGUUUAAAGCUUUAAGCUCCAAAAACAAGUUAUACAGAUACUAUAAAAGGAAUUAUUCCUUAAGAUUCUUAUUUUCGUUUAUACUUCGGGUACACAGAAUCUGUAUAUGCAGAAACAACAACUUCAACUAAAGUUCAAGUAUAUAAACAAGAACACAAUGAAGUAUAUCAAAUACCCUCAACACAAGAUCAAAAUGAUCUUUCCAAGAGGUAUAUUUUAUUUUUCAGAAAAUAGAUGAAAGAGAAAUGAAUAAGACCAAGUCGUCCAAAUUCACGGACUUUACUUAAGGAAUAAUUUCCCUCAUUGUACUCGAGGUUAUGGAAUCUUCCUCCCAGGAUAAAACGGCCUUCAAUCCUACUAUAGCGGUACCUCAAAUAGGCGGAUUCUUUGAACGCACAGAACGUUUUGAUUGAUCACACAGAAUAUUUGUAAAUAAAAGAAGAGAGUUAUUAUUUUGAAAAUUUUUAUAUCAAAACCUGUGAAGGAAAGCAUGUUUAUAUAGCCUAGCAGAUGCCUCUUCGAAAAGGUGGCAUUUGUUCACUUAAAUGGUGUGAUGUUUCUGAAAAUGCAUGUCUGCAGCACUUUUGCUGAAGCAGUAUACCAUUUCACCAAAUAGUGCACCUGUUCAAAAUAGUACAUCACUUCAUUAAAGAAUUGCAUCUGUUCAGUCGAAGCAAAAACAGUAUAUCAGUUCAGUGCAUGCAUCUGUUCAGUCGAAAAGAAAUAGUACAUCAGUUCAGUUGAAAUAAUGCAUCAGUUUUGUCGAAACAUUGUAUCUGUUACUGUUACUAAAUGCAUAUAAAUGGAGUAUUGAUCAGAUUUCAUCAAAUAAAGUUUGUCCAAAAAGAUAGAUCUCAUUGAUCGAUCAUUUGACAAAUCCAAAUCCAAAUCCGAAGCUGAAGCCGAGCGAACGAUGACGAUGACGACGCGAGGCAUCUCUUAUCAUGUGAAGUAAGUAUUCAUCAUUAUAAACACUCUAAAUUUUCCUUCUCCCACCAAUGUGUGAGAAUUAGUGAACUUUUUAAUUUUGGGAGUACACUUUCCAAAUUGGUGUCUCCUCUUCUCCACCAUUUUUUUCUCUAUUUUCCAUCCACACUUCUAUGAACCCAACAAUCCCCCACAUGAAUGGGGAAUGACUAUUUUUCAUAAAUCUUUUAUGGACAAGCAUGUGAUCAUCAAGCAAAAACUAAUUCCAUCUGGAUAAGUGGGUUUUCCUUUGAACUUUCCGUAGUGAACAUGCAUCGGAUGCACUCGGUCAAUCGGUAGAUUUGAUAUCUUUGAAUCUUCGAGCUUUAAUGUACACCUAGACAACACAUAUCACACAACCAUCCUUUUAACAUUUAUGGUUCUUACAAUUUUGUUCUUUUCAGCCAUGAACACGUCCCGAUUUUCAUGAGAGCUUAGAGAAUUGGCUUUUACUAACAUUCUCAUUGAAGCAUCAUCCACUUCGCCCUCACAUAGGUGAUUUCUAAAUGUUCAAUUCUGUAGAUUAAACUAUUUGGUAAAAUCUGUCAAAUUUAGAUAAUCAUUAAAAGACUUUUUACCUUAAGUCUUAUCCUAGUUUACUAUACAUUGUCUACAUCAUGAGAAUGGGUUGGGUAAUUGACAAUGUUGAACCUGUCAGACACAACUUUGUUUGAUCUCCUUGAACUUAGCUCUUGGGAUCUCCAGUCUGCUAGGUAGAGUUACCGCCAUGCUAACUCGUCCUAGGCCUUAAACCCAUUCCCAUGGAUGUUCUUUAGCCUAGUAGAUGCCUCUUCAAAAAGGUGGCAUUGGUUCACUUAAAUGGUGUGAUGUUUCUGAAAAUGCAUGUCUACAGCAUUUUUGCUGAAGCAGUAUACCAUUUCACCAAACAGUGCACCUGUUCGAAACAGUGCAUCACUUCAUUGAAGAAUUGCAUCUGUUCAGUCGAAACAGAAAUAGUAUAUCAGUUCAGUGCAUGUAUCAGUUCAGUCGAAAAGAAAUAGUACAUCAGUUCAGUCAAAACAGUGCAUCAGUUUUGUCGAAAUAUUGCAUCUGUUAUUGUUACUGCAUGCAUAUAAAUAAAGUAUUAUCGAAAAAGAUAGAUCUCAUCGAUCAUUUUCCAAAGCCAAAGCCGAGCGAGCGACGACGACGACAGAGCGAGGCAUCACUUAUUUCUUGCCUCACUUAUCAUGUAGAGUAAGUAUUCAUCAUUAUAAACACUCCAAAGUUCCUUUCUCCCAGCAAUGUGGGAGAAUUAGUGAACUUUCCAAUUUUGGGAGUACACUUACCAAAUUAGUGUCUCCUCUUCUCCACCAUUUUUUUCUCCAUUUUCCAUUCACACUUCUAUGAACCCAACAACUUAUACAUAAUAAAGUUAUAUAUUAUGUUAAACUAAUGGUUAUAUCAUUUAAUUUCAUCUAUGUUGAGUUAUUUAUAUUUGGAAAUGAAAAAUAGGUUUGAAAAUAAUUAUUUUAUAAGAAAAAUCAUUAAUUUUAAAUGUCCAGUCAUAACAAAGAGGGGUUCACUAGUUUAAUCUUCAAAAUAAAAAUAAAAAUCUGAAAUAAUCGAACCGAAUUUGUAGAAACCGGACCGAACCGAAUUUAUUUCGGUUUGAUUACGGUUGUCAUUUUUGUCAAUUCAAAAAUCGAAAAACCAAACCGAUAUUAAACUAUCAAACCGAACGAACCAAAUGUCCAUCCCUUCUUCCCAGGGGCGAACCUACGUAGAUUCAAGUGGAUUCAUAUGAGCCCACUUCGUCGAAAUAUCACACCGUAUGUAUCAAUGUUUGAAAAUGUACAAGAUAUAUAUUAAUUUUUUAACCCAUUUUAAAUAGCUCAGCCUAGUGGAAAGGCGGGUUCAAGAUUUUUGAUAGGUCAAACUUUCCGACACCAACAACCUUUUUGUUAAAUGUCAGAUAAUUUUUUCUUUCUAAUUUUUUUUUAUUAUAAUAUAACUUUAAAAUUUAUUUAAUCAAAAUUUGUUUAUUUAUUUCUCUGGGUAUUCAUUUUUUAUAUAUUUGAACCCACUUUCCUGAGCAGAAUCUAUGUUGCUAUUAUUGUAUAUUUGAACCCGCCACUGGUACUUGCUAUGUUCAGACUACAAAACAUAUUGGUGUUCCCUUUUAACUGAAAUGUCAUUGCUCUAGUAGUAAAAGGUCAAAGUCAUCAAUAGACACUCAAACUUAUUGUCAAAAUUCACUUAGACACCUAAACUAAGGCAUGUUCCUAUCAGGCCCCUAAACCCCCCACAUUUUGUUCAAAUUGGGUUUUUUUUGCCCUAUCAGCAAAAAACUCAAAGUGUGUUGCACACAAGCGAUGACAUGGCAAAAUGAGCUAAUUAGAAGCUGACACGUGGCAUUAUGGGUCCAAUAAUUAUUAAAAAUUAAUUAUAAUUUUAAAAAAAAAAAGUAUAUACAAAUGGCAUUGAAUAAAUUAUUAAAAAAUAAUUCUAAAAUUAUUUAAAAAUAAAACUGAUUAUUUAAAAAAAAUUAUAAAAAUUUUCUAAAAAUGAAAUAAAUUAUUAAAAAAUUAUUUUAAAAAACAAUUAAUUAAUAAGAAAAAUUAUAAUUUUUUUUUAAAAAUGGCGAGGAUAUAAAUUAUGAAAAAAUAAUUAUAAAAUUAUUUGAAAAAUAAAAAUAAAAAAUUAAUUAUUUUAAAAAAAUAUAAAUUUUUUAAAAAAUGAAAUAAAUUAUUAAAAUAUUAUUUAAAAAAUAAAAACUUAAUUAUUAAAAAAAAUAAAAUUUUUUAAAAAUUGAAAAUGAAAAAUGGCAUAGAGGAUAUAAAUUAUGAAAAAAUAAUUAUAAAAUUAUUUUUUAAAAAAACUAAUUAUAAAAUUAUUUUUUAAAAAAACUAAUUAUUAAAAAGAAAUCUUAAAUUUUUUUAAAAGAUGAAAAUAAAGAAUUAAUUUUUUUUAAAAUUCAGUUUAUUAAAAAUAAAAUAAAAUUGGGGCCUUCUAAUGCUUUUUGGGGCCUUUAGUGUUUCAAAAAAAAAAGAAAAUUUGUUAUUAAAAAAAUUUUGGGGCCCUCAAUGCCACUUGACAACUUUUUAUUCGUAAAUUAGUAAAAAAAAAUGCUCCUCACACGCCUUCCACAAUGGCACUGCACACGUAGUGUCACAUAGGCAAAAAAUGUCUAAUUGGAACAAAAUUCAGGGAUUUAAUGGUCUGAUAUGAACAUGUCUUAGUUUAGGGGUCUAAUUGAAUUUUUGCAAUAAGUUUGAGUGUCUAUCGAUGAGUUUGACCUUUUCAAAUUGACACAUGCGUAACCAAUUCUCUAAAUACCAAUUAUUUCUCCUUCAAGUGAUGUCAUCUUCCACAUGGUGGACCCCAUGAUCCUAAGAAUUAUUUAAAAAAUAAAAAAAUAAUUAUUAAAAAUAAAUUAUAAAUUUUUUAAAAAAAUAAAAAUCCCCCACCUAUCCCAGCCCCCAACGUAUUGUUUUAUUAAAAAAAAAAAUUGGAACCCCCUAAUGCUUUUUGUUUUAUUAAAAAGUGUCUUUAGUGUUUAAAAAAAAAUUGUUAUUAAAAAAAUUUUGGGGCCCUCAAUGCCACUUGGCAUCUUUUUAUUUGUAAAUUAGUAAAAAAAAUUGCUCCUCACACGCCUCCCACGAUGGCACUGCACGCGUAGUGCCACAUAGGCAAAAAAGGCCCAAUUGAAACAAAAUGUGGGGGGUUUAGGGGUCUGAUAGAAACAGGCGUUAGUUUAGGUGUCUAAGUGAAUUUUGACAACAAGUUUGAGUGUCUAUCGAUGUCUUUGGCCAGUAGUAAAAUAAUAUGAUGAUCCUCUUUCAUUUCUUGAUAGAAAAAUGAGGAAUCAUGUAAUAACAUCAUAUCGUUCAACAUUAUUCUUUGCACUAAUUUUGAGUAUUAUGUUAAGGUUUUUAAACUGAUUUUCUUAUCAAAAUUAAGUUUUACUUUUUUCUUGUAAGGAAAAUAAAAGUAAUCAUAAAUAUUUUUACUUUUCAUAAAAGAAAAUAUAAAACUUUUUCAUAUUUGGCAAACCUCUUUCUUAGAGGAAGGUUUUGGACAUCUAUAAGAAUUAAGAUCCCCUCUUCAUACCAUAACAUUGUAACAUUCUCAAUGUAGUCAUUGAAGAGUCUUUGUUUAUGAGUGAUUUCUCUCAAUAGGUUUAAUGUUUUUCGAUAUUAGGUUUUAUAAUAUGCAGGCCGAUUGGCCAAAACAUAUAAUAAUUUUAUGUUUUUUAAUAUUGUUUUCUUUGUCGCCUGAUUUAUCAUCUCAUAGUUUGCAACUAAUAGCUUCCGCAUGACAUCCUCUCGUUUUUGAACCCAACAAAUGGUAUCAGAGUCGAUGGUUCAAAGAUCCGAUGGUUCGAUUGAGGACUUUUUAAGAUCAAAGUUGCAAUCAAUUUGGCGAUGAUGAAGCUUUUGUCAAAAAAAAAAAAAAAGGUUCAAAAACUACAUGUGGAGAAAAAGUUUCAAACAAAAUUUCAACAAUCUUGGUGCUAAUCCAUCUUUAAAACCAAAAUCAAUUUCAACUCAUAUUUAUGACUUCAAUUUUCAAUCUAUACUUGCUUUAACGCUUGGGCUCCUUUCAACUCGUGCAUUUAUUUUUAAUGCAUGAGCUCCACUCUUAACCUGUGCUCACUUUCAAUGCACAAAGUUCUACUUUCAAUCUUAUCAACCGUGCUUUUAUUUUUAAUGCAUAGGACUCUAAUUUUAACCCAUAUCAAUUUUUAAUCAUGGUUGACAGCAGUGAUAUAUGAAGAAUAUAUGAAAAACGAAGAUCAUGCACAAGAAAAAGGAGGAUCAAGAAUAUUUUGCAGAAAAUCAAGCAAAAAAGGGAGAUUUGUUAGGGUUUUUACUCUAAUUUUCUUACCAAAAUUAAGUUUUACUUUUUCUUAUAAAAAAAUAAAAGUAAUCAUAAAUACUUUUAUUUUUGUUAAAAGAAAAAUAUAAAACUUUUCUAUAUUUGGCAAACCUCUUUCUUGGAGGAAAGGUUCUGGACAUUAGGAUACUCUUCUCAUGCCAUAAUACGGUAGCAUCCACAAUGUAGUCAUUGAAGAGUUUUGUUUAGGGAAAUUUAAUGUUUUUUCGAUAUUAGAUUUUAUAAUAUGCAGGCCGAUUGGCCAUAACAUAUAAUAAUUUUAUACUUUUUAGUGUUAUUUUCUUUGUCACCUGAUUUAUCGUCCCAUAAUUUGCAACUAAUAGCUUCCGCAUGACGCUCUCUCGAUUACGAUCCCAACAUAUUGUUUCUUGAGAAUUAAUUGAAUUCCAUAAGUUCCUCCGGUCCGUAAAUUUAAGUUUUAAGAUUUUAACAGCUUUAUAGUUUUUCAGUUACCAUAUCCCAAAAUGUAGCUCCGGUCGUUUCUGCUAUGCUCUUUUUUUUUUUUUUUUCCUUUGGUAUGAAAGUGGCAAUAAAUGAUUCAUGUCUUUUGAAAGUGAAACUAAGAACUAGACCGUCAUUGGAAAAUAACAAACAUUUAUUCUAUUGUCAACUCACUCACAACAACUUUGCAAGGCCAUCAAACAAUCAAAUUUUAACAAUUAUAUUAUGAUAUUCAUUUUCCGGGAACAAAGUUUGUGGCGUAGGCCCAGGCAUUGUUGUUAACCGGAUCUGCUAGAUGGUCAGCAAGGUUCUCCAAUGGACCCUUUCCUGUAACAAUGGCCUGAACAAAGAAUCCAAACAUAGAGAACAUAGCAAGUCUACCGUUCUUGAUCUCCUUUACCUUGAGCUCAGCAAAUGCCUCUGGAUCAUCAGCAAGACCCAAUGGGUCAAAGCUGCCACCGGGAUAGAGUGGGUCGACUACCUCACCAAGAGGCCCACCAGCAAUACGGUAUCCCUCAACGGCUCCCAUCAAGACAACUUGGCAAGCCCAGAUGGCCAAGAUGCUCUGUGCAUGGACCAAACUUGGGUUGCCCAAGUAGUCAAGUCCACCCUCGCUGAAUAUCUGGGAUCCAGCCUUGAACCACACAGCCUCACCAAACUUGACACCAUUACGGGCCAAGAGCUCGGGGAAAACACAUCCAAGAGCACCAAGCAUAGCCCAUCUGCAGUGGAUCACCUCGAGUUCACGGUUCUUGGCAAAGGUUUCUGGGUCUGCUGAAAGUCCAGCGGUGUCCCACCCGUAGUCACCGGGAAAUUCACCGGUCAAGUAGCUUGGAGACUCACCUGAGAAUGGACCCAAGUACUUGACACGGUCUGGCCCAUACCAUGGGCUGCCAGAUGAGGCUGGCUUGGAGACAGCCUUUCUCAUAGAGAUCCUUCCAUUUCCAGUGAUUUCUGAGGCAGAGGGUGAGAGUUUCACUGCCUGUCCAGCAAAAGAAGGUGAAGAAAGUGCCAUUGUAGAAGCUGCCAUGGCUUAUCAAGAGAAAAGUAAGUGUUUGAUGGUAUGAAAUAUUGUUGAAGUUGGCUGUGAUGAGGUGAAGUUAAUUACAAGGGGCUUCACCAUAUAUAGGAGGAGUAAGAGCGGUAGAGGCCUUUAUCUAACGAUAUCUACAUCUUUUUCUUUUGGUGUUAACGAUAUCUGUAUCUGUGAUCUCAUUGGGUAAUAAGAUCACAUGUGUAGAAAUUAAUGCACACUUGGCAAUCUCCAGACUCCAAUCCAUCAAUUUUCCAAGAUGUUUACUAAAAGGACCCAUCCAAUAUUGUCCGCCUUAGUGUGGCUACGAGGUUAUUGACUCUAUUCUGUGAUUCGUUGAGCUUACACUAAGAUAUCUCUUAUCGUUAUCUUUUGGGAAUUUCUCCAGAUUUUAUCCACCAGCUGGGAAUAAGUUACCACCACUAUAGCUCAUUCAAUGUAGAAGUAGAAGUUAGAACUAUGGUUUAGCGUUGCACUAAAUAAAUAGUAGAAAAGCUGAAUUUUUCAGAUUAUCAGUAACUAAUGUCUAUCAAAAGAUUAAUUUGAAGUAAUUGCUUAACAAGCAAAAGUGGAUCAGAAUUUGAACUUUCAUGGGUUCUGUAGUCUAGGACGAGUUCUACUAAAUAGAUUCCAAAUUUAACUUUUCUACAUACUCGCUCCGUCCCAUUUUACCCGUCCCAAAUUGGCUAAGUUGAUGUUUCAUUUUAGUUGUCCCAUUUUACUUAUCAAGAUAAGACAAACUUUUCUUUCCAUGUUUUACCCUUUGCAUUAAUUAUCUUUUCUUUAAAUUAAAAUGUAAACAUCAUUUAAUAGGGGUACUUGGGUAAACUAGCCAUGUUAUAUAUUAUUUUUCUUAAUUGUUGUGCCAUCCUAAUUUGGGACAAGUAAAAUGGGACGGAGAGAGUAUUUAAUAAGCUUAUCAAAACAUAUGCAUGGUUUGGGCCAAAGUUAGUUAGUUCUGUCAAACUGGUUUGCUGAAGGCUAUCUGCGCAUGUUAAUAAGUGAUAUGAUUGUGUUAUGUGCAAGUAUUUUUACAAUGUCAAUGCAUAACCUCUCUAUAGUGUCCUGUAUAGCUUGUAUCUUCUGCUUACAAUGUCCUUUUGGCUCUGGUCAUUGUUAUGUGAACGUGUUCUUCUCUAAAGAGAAUACCACAUGCACGUAAGGAUGGAGGACUAUACAAGAAACUCAUGAAUUUGUUCAAAUCUAAGAUGCUGCUUAAAUUAAGGACACAUAAGUAUAAUGGCCUGGAAACUCAUAUAUUACUUGCUACGUUCAAAAUACAAAACAUAUACAUUGGUUUUCCCCUUAUCAUUAAAAUGUCAAUGGUGUACGCAGUAGUGAAAUAAUAUUAUGUCCUCUUAAUUCAUCUCACUUCUCGACAGGAAAAUAAGGAAUCAUGUAAAUAACAUCAUGUUGUACAUUGUUAAUCGUGGCACUAAGAGUAUUGCUUCUUGAGAAUUAAUUGAAUUCCAUAAGUUCCUCUGGUCUGUAUAUUCAAAUUAUAAGCUUUUUGUCAAAAAACAAAGGGAGCGGUAGAGUUAAGCUACAAGGAGAAAAAUAUAAGGAAAUUGCAGCUGUAAAUUGCUACAAAAAAGACUGCAGUAAAGAACAAGAAGCUGAAACUUUUUGAGUGUUUUCUAUUUUUUGGAUAGUUAUAAAUGUCUAAUGUCAUCCCUUAUUUAUACUUAUGUAGGGAUGAUUCUAGAUACUACAAAUCUAGAGUGUUCGUAUACAAAUAUCUCCCUCAAAUAUCUAGCACCCUCUAGAUCUUUCCUAAAUAUAAAUAUCAAAUAUACUACACUAUUCCUUUCUAGAUUCUUCUAACUAGAAUUACCUAAAUAUCUAGAUAUUUCUUUAGCAUGAUCAUCCUAGAAAUUUUACUAGACUAUUCUACAGACUGAACUAGAAAUCUAUGAUUCCAAAAAAUCUACUUUAAUAUUUUCACACUCCCUCUUAAAGUGAUUUUUUUGGAAGCUAUCCUAAACUUGUUGCGGAAGAACUCAAGUGAAGCUUUGAACCGUACUUUAGUGAAAAUCUUGAUAGUUUUUGCAUGACUCCUCUUUCUUCUUCAAAUGAUGAAGAUUUCUCGUUAAUGAUUGGCCCUUGUUGAGUUUUAUCAUAUUGAGUUCUCGAGCUCCCCCUUUCUCUGAACUCCUCCGUAACUUCAUUAUCUGGUGACCCAAAUAUGAUGGAAAAGUUUGAAACUCUAGGAUUGAAGAUUUUAGAACUUACUCUUUCUGAAGCAACUCCAUAACACAAGAAUAAUUUUUUGGUAUCAACCUCCUUAUUUGAUUUGAUGACGAUCUUUUGUUCGGGCCUAUCAACUAGCUCCCAAGUAUUAUUUUUUUAUCAUGGCAAGCUCCUCAUCCAUUGCGGAAAUCCAAGUUUCAUGACUUCUGCUUCUUCAAAAGAAGAUGGUUCCACAAGAGCAAAAUUGCAUUGCUCAUAAACUUCAGGUAGUGACCUGGUCUUCAAAAUAGGAGAAUCUGAAGUUAAUUCAACAUCUGAAUUGUCUUCUUUUUCAAUAAGAGGAUUGGAAGAAAUAUUACACGUCUGUGGAUUUUGAGCUGCAACUGAAGUACACUCAUCUUGGUUCUUUACAACAAUAUCUCGAUCCUAAUCAUAGUGGCUAGACUCAUCCACCGCAAGAUCUCUACUGAUAAGCACCUUUUACGCACGAACAUUAUACACUUUCUACCCUUUUGCAGCUGUGUUAUAGCCCAACAAAAUACAAAGUCCUGCCUUGUUAUCCAAUUUACCUCUUUUAGCAUCAGGAACAUAUGCAUAACAGACUGAACCAAAAACUUUUAAGUGUCUCACAGAUGACUUUAUACCUUUCCAUGCUUUAAAUGGUGUCAUGUCUUGGAGUGCUCUAGUUGGUAAUAUGUUUAGUAAAUAGACUGCAGUACUGACUGCCUCAGCCCAAAAACAUUUGGGUAUCUUCUUUUCUGCUAGCAUACAUCUCACCAUCUCCAUCACGGUUCUGUUCUUUCUCUCAGAAAUACUGUUUUGUUCUGGAGUGUAGCUCACAGUAAAUUGUUGUUGAAUGCCCACAUCUUUACAAUACUUGUUGAACUAAUGCGGAGUAUAUUCAGUUUCAUUAUCUGACCUGAUAUACUUCAAUCGGCAACCACUCUUCCUUUCUACCAUAGCCUUGAAUUCUUUGAAAACAGAAAACACCUGAACUUUGUUACUUAAAAAUAGACCUAUGUCAUUCGAGUUAGAUCAUUUAUAAAGAGAAUAAAAUAUUUAUUCCCACUCAAAGAAGUUGUCCUCAUUGGUCUACAUAUAUUUGUAUGAACCAACUCUAGUUUUUCCUUCGUCCUCCAAAGACUUCUUUUAGGAAAGAAUUAUUUAUGCAAUUUACCAAAUUGACAUGACUCACAAACAUCUCGGCACAUGUCAAUUUUGGGUACAUCAAGCACCAUACCCUUGGAUUGCAUAUACACCAAUGAACUAAGAUUGUAAUGACCGAAUCUUUUGUGCCAAAGCCAAAUAUCAAUUAUUUCAACAUUGAAAGAGCAACUUUCAACAGAAUAGCAUGAAAUUGGAAAGGAAUUACCAAUCAUGCUAAUUUUAGCUACUUCACAACCUUUAGGAUCAUAAAUGACACAUUUUUUAUCCUUAAAAAUAAGUGAAUAAUUAUUGUGAAGUAACUGAGCAACACUCAACAAGUUUUGAGUCAAGCUUGGCACAUAAAAAACAUCGUUUAUGAUUUUCAUACCUUCGUCCGUAGGAAAUUUCACUGAUCCUCUUCCUUGAGCUUGCACCAGUGCACCAUCUCCUAGCUUCACUUUGAUCCUAUCAGACCUGUCCAGGCUAACAAAUAGAUUUUCAACAAUCGUCAUGUGCCUUGUGCACGCACUAUCGACAUGCCAAUUAUAUCGAUCGACAUGUGAUAUGUGUGAAGCCAUGAAUACCUCUUCCUCUAUUUUUUGAACUUGGUGAUCUUCCGCAAAAUUUACUCAUUGAAAAGACUGACCAAUUUGAGUUUGCUUUUGCCUGCAAUGCUUCUCAAUGUGCCUAUACUUCUUGCAGUAUCUGCAUUGAAUAGGAGACCUCUUGGACUUCUGCCAACAAUUUUUCUAUAAGUGGUUUGUCUUCUUACAAAUACCACAAGGUGGAAAUUUUUCUCUCCUCAACGAUUCACCUUGGUAUCCACCAGAUUUCACCUCUCCAGAGUGGUCUAAAAAGACUUUUUUGCCUUCUUUUUGUUGCUUGAAAGGCAUAUUCGACUGUUCCUUCGAUUCUCAUAGUUACCCAUUGCUCUUGGAUUUGCAAUUUAGAGAUCAACUCAGCUAUUGAAAGAAUAGUCAAGUCACAGGACUCUUUAAUAGCUGAGAAUUUGUAUUUAAACUUGUCUGGAAAGCUGACCAUAAUCCCCUUUAUAACCUUCUAAUCUAAAAAGUUUUCACCAAGUAUCCUUAUGUGGUUCACAAUAUCCAUUAGCUUAGAAGAGUAUUCUUUUACACUAUCCGGAUCCUUCAUCUUCAAGAGCUCAAACUCCCUCUUCAAAGCUAAAACCUUAACAGACUUAACUCUGUUGCUGCCUUCAAACUCCUUCUUUAGCUUAUCUCAGGCUUCUUUAGCUGUCUCACAAGCCAUAAUCCUUGUAAAUAUCACUUCCGUAAGGGUUGAAUGUAUGCAAGUGAGUGCUCUUGGAGAUCUAGUCACCAAUUCAUCAUACUUUUUGAUAUCAUUUAGAGUUGAGUUGUCUCUCAAUGGCUGGACAGCAGGUUCUCCUCUCUAAACAAUAUCCCACAAGUUGAGAGUCUUCAAAUAAGCCUUCAUUUUAAUGGUCCAAAUAUGAUAAUUCUCCCCCGAAAAAAUCGAAGGACCCAUUGUUGGUUGAUUUUCUGGUGCCAUGUUUUUUCAGUAAAUAGAUUCAAGAAAGGAGCUAAAAAUAAGAUGAGUCAAUCAACAAAAAACAUAUUCAGAUCCCGUAAGAAAUGGGCUCUGAUACCAUGUCAAAAAAUAAAGGAAACGGGGAGAGUAAAGCUACAAGGAGAAAAAUAUAAGGAAAUUGCAACUGCAAAUUGCUACAAAAAAGACUGCAGUGAAGAAGGAGAAGCUGAAACUUUUUUAGUGUUUUCUAUUUUCUAGAUAGUUAUAAAUGUCGAAUGUAAACCCUUAUUUAUUCUUAUGUAGGGACGAUUCUAGAUACUACUCCCUCCAUCCCAUUUUACCCGUCCCAAAUUGGGAUGGCACAGCUAUUAAGAAAACAAUGAUUGGUAAUGUUACUUUACCAUUUUUUCUCUCUUAAUUGUGUCUUGUUGUUAGUUCCAAUAUUGAUGGAUGACCAAUACAAAAGCACCAUUUAUAUUCUUAAUGGUGUACUCCUAAUGGUACUCUUCUUUGCAACGUUUUUCAAAAAUGUUAAUAACAAGGAGUAAGCAAUUACACUGAGGAUAAAAUGAAAAAAAAAGUUGUCUUAUCUUGAUAAGUAAAAAAGGACAACUAAAAUGGGACAUCAAAUUAGAAAAUUUGGGACGGGUAAAAUGGGACAGGGAGUACAAAUCUAGAGUGUUCUUAUACAAAUAUCUUCCUCAAAUAUCUAGCCCCCUCUAGAUUUUUCCUAAAUAUAAAUAUCAAAUAGACUACACUCUUCCUUUCUAGAUUCUUCUAACUAGAAUUACCUAAAUAUCUAGAUAUUUCUUCAACAUGAUUAUCCUACAAAUUUCACUAGACUAUUCUAGAGACUUAACUAGAAAUCUAUGAUUCCAAAAAAUCUACUUUAAUACCAUCACACUUUUACCACAUCCAAAAUGUAUCUUGGGUUUUUUUUUUUUUUGGCUUUGUCAUCGAUUUUUCUCCCCUUGAUAUGAAACUGGCAGUAUUUAUUCAUGCCAUUGGAAAAUGAAAUUCAGGACUACACAAUAACUGGAAUAUAAGAAAAAUCCAUUCUAUUGUCAAGUAAACUCACAACUACAACUUUACAAGGGCAUCAAACAAUGAAAUUUUAAGAUUGUUUUACGAUAUUCAUUUUCCGGGGACAAAGUUUGUGGCGUAGGCCCAUGCGUUGUUGUUAACUGGAUCUGCAAGGUGGUCAGCGAGGUUCUCCAAUGGACCCUUUCCGGUAACAAUGGCCUGAACAAAGAAUCCAAACAUAGAGAACAUAGCAAGUCUACCGUUCUUGAUCUCCUUUACCUUGAGCUCAGCAAAUGCCUCUGGAUCAUCAGCAAGACCUAAUGGGUCAAAGCUGCCACCAGGGUACAAUGGGUCGACUACCUCACCAAGAGGCCCACCAGCAAUACGGUAACCUUCAACGGCUCCCAUCAAGACAACUUGGCAAGCCCAGAUGGCCAAGAUGCUCUGUGCAUGAACUAAGCUUGGGUUGCCCAAGUAGUCAAGUCCACCCUCGCUGAAGAUUUGGGAUCCAGCCUUGAACCACACAGCCUCACCAAACUGGACACCGUUACGGGCCAAGAGCUCGGGGAAAACACAUCCAAGAGCACCAAGCAUAGCCCAUCUGCAGUGGAUCACCUCGAGUUCUCGGUUCUUGGCAAAGGUUUCUGGAUCUGCUGAAAGUCCAGCGGUGUCCCACCCGUAGUCACCAGGGAAUUCGCCGGUCAAGUAGCUUGGGGGCUCACCCGAGAAUGGGCCCAAGUACUUAACACGGUCUGGGCCAUACCAUGGGCUUCCAGAUAGGGCAGGCUUGGAGACAGCCUUUCUCAUAGAGAUCCUUCCAUUUCCACUGAUUUCUGAGUUAGAGGGUGAAAGUUUCACUGCCUGUCCGGCAAAAGAAGGGGAAGAAAGAGCCAUUGUAGAAGCUGCCAUGGUUUAUCUCAAGAGAAAGGAGAGUAUUUGCUGGUUUGAAAUAUUGUUGAAGUUGGCUGUGAUGAGAUGAAGUUACAAGGGGCCUCACUUUACCAUAUUAUAGCAAGUAAGAGGGGAAGAGUCCUUAUCUAGUGAUAUCUAUUUCUAUGAUCUCAUUGGGUAUCAAGAUCCUUUGUCUAGCAAUUAAUGCACACUUGGGUAUCUCCAAUCCAUCAAUUAUCCAAGAUGUUUGCUAAGGGGACCCAUCCAACAUAGUCCUCUCACAUGUGGCUACAAGGCUUGAACAAUAUUCUGUGAUUUGCUGAACUUACAAUGCUGAUAUCUCUUAUCAUAAUCCGUUGAGAAUUGCUCCAGAUUUUAUUUAUCAGCACUACAGCUCAUUCGAGGUAGAACUAUGGUUUACCGUUUCACUAAUUAUAUUCAGGAAAGUUCAUUACUUGAUAUAUAAAUUGUGUAAAAAUUAAUAAUACAUGUUUGGAACUUUAUUAUAUAAGACCUUAAUAUAUAGUAAUAUAAGAGUCAGUAGCAUAGUAAAUUAUUUAACCUGCAAUUCAUAUAAAAGUGAAGAUACUGUUUUGGGGGUUUUACAAAUUUAAUAUUUACAGGUGCAUGCAAAGCAAGAAUAUGAUCUUCCCUUUCAAAACAUUUAACAUAGGUUCAUGCUUGGAUCUUUAUUAAUCUGAUCAUGAAGAGGUAUAUUAAGUUCUAUAUAUGUUGCACUGUUAAUUUCAUGUUUAGAUAUUUAAUGACGGGUUAGAUUCAUUUUAACUACUGCACAGUGCUUAGACUAAUUGGAAAGAACUUGUUCAUGAGCGGGGGUUGGCAAACGGGCGGGUUGACUCAGAUAUAAACAAAUCAAAAAUGAGCCAACAAAAAUGGAUAAAAUAUCCGACCCACCUGUAUUUGAUAUGGAUGAAAAAUGAGAAACCAACGGGAUAUUAUUUCAUAUUAUGUAAAAGAAAUAAGUACUUCCAAUAUGAGAAAGGCAGAGUAUGUACAUGGAUUAAUUAAUUAAUUGGGAUUCACCAGCAGCACAAUAUGACCAAUUAAUUGUGUUAAGGGCAGGAACAUUUGCCAAUAAUGGAUCAGGUUAUUUACGGGUUUGGAUAAAAGGAACUUUAACUUGACACCAAAUUAUAACUAUGUGCUUUUAACUUUGUUAGUACACAAGUAGACCCUUUAACUAUAUAAAAAUCAAAUAAAAAAAUAGUCUAAUUCAGCAACUUACAUGCGUAAAAUUCAAUCACUCCUACGUGGAUUAAUAAUCCACUCAGAUGCUGCCACCUAAUAAAAAAGACGCAUUAUAACUAUGAUCAUUAACUUUGCGCACAAAUAGACGCUUUAAUUAUACAAAAGCUGAAAAAAAAAACACUUCAAUUUUAACUCUGACGCUCGUGAUUUUGAGUGUAUACAUGCAUUUUGCCAGGUUACGAUUGGAGUGUUUGUUUGUUCAACUUUUGUAUUGUUAAAGGCCUACUUGUACAUUGAUAAAGUUAAAGAUCAUAGUUAUAAUUUGAUAUCAAGUUACAUGUUUAUGUACUGAGUUUAAGUUCUGUGCACCGUCAGUGCACAAAAUAUUUUAUACUAUCAGUUAACUUGACCUGCUAUUGCAGGUUACCCAAUUAUUUAUAUAAAAAUUUAAAAAUAAAAAAUUGUUAUUGCAGGUUACCCAAUUAUUUAUAUAAAAAUUUAAAAAUAAAAAAUUAGAUAACCUGCAAUAGCAAGUCAAGUUUACCUAAUAGGAUAGAAUAUUUUGUACACUGAUGGUGCACAAAACUUAAAAAUUUAGGUAUUAUGCCUAUUUACAACUUAUGGAGUAAAUAUAAGUUGUAAAUAUUCUCUUUUUUCACACAGUAAUUUUUAACUUGUAAUAGCUGAUAAGUCCCCGUUGUUACAAGAAACUUUAAGAUUUUUUCCAAAGAUGCAUCAAAUUAAGGACAUAAUUAUAAUGGUCUGGAAACCUAUAUUAUAGCAUGUUGAUUACUACUUGCUAUACCUUCAGACUACAAAACAUAUUGGUUUUCACUUAACAUUGAAAUGCCAAUGGUCUAUAUGGUAGUGAAAUAAUAUUAUGUCCUCUUAAUUGCUCUUUCACUUCCCGAUAGGAAUCACGUAACAACAUCUAUGCUCAACAUUUCUCUGUGCACUAUUCUCUGUGCACUAAUUUAAUGUGUUCCUUCCUGGGAAUUAAUUGAAUUCCAUAACUUCCUGUGGUCAGUAAACUUAAGUUUGAAGCUUAUAACAGCUUUAUAGUUAUUCUAGUUACCACGUCUCAUAUUAAUCUACAGUUUUUCUUUACUAUGUUCUCUUUCUUUAAUUCCCCUUUAGUAUGAAAGUGGCAAAAAAUUUUAUUCAUGACUUUGGAGAAUGUAACUCAGAACUACACAAUUAUUGGAAUAUGAGACAAAAAUCCAUUCUAUUGUCAAGUAACUGCUCAUAACAACUUUACAAGACCAUCAAACAAUGAAAUUUUAAGAUUGUUUUACGAUAUUCAUUUUCCGGGAACAAAGUUUGUGGCGUAGGCCCAGGCAUUGUUGUUAACCGGAUCUGCUAGGUGGUCAGCAAGGUUCUCCAAUGGACCCUUUCCUGUAACAAUGGCCUGAACAAAGAAUCCAAACAUAGAGAACAUAGCAAGUCUACCGUUCUUGAUCUCCUUUACCUUGAGCUCAGCAAAUGCCUCUGGAUCAUCAGCAAGACCCAAUGGGUCAAAGCUGCCACCAGGGUAUAGUGGGUCGACUACCUCACCAAGAGGCCCACCAGCAAUACGGUAUCCCUCAACGGCUCCCAUCAAGACAACUUGGCAAGCCCAGAUGGCCAAGAUGCUCUGUGCAUGGACCAAACUUGGGUUGCCCAAGUAGUCAAGUCCACCCUCGCUGAAUAUCUGGGAUCCAGCCUUGAACCACACAGCCUCACCAAACUUGACACCAUUACGGGCCAAGAGCUCGGGGAAAACACAUCCAAGAGCACCAAGCAUAGCCCAUCUGCAGUGGAUCACCUCGAGUUCACGGUUCUUGGCAAAGGUUUCUGGGUCUGCUGAAAGUCCAGCGGUGUCCCAACCAUAGUCACCAGGGAAUUCACCGGUCAAGUAGCUUGGGGGCUCACCAGAGAGUGGGCCCAAGUACUUAACACGGUCUGGGCCAUACCAUGGGCUGCCAGAUGAGGCAGGCUUGGCAACAGCCUUUCUCAUAGAGAUCCUUCCAUUUCCAGUGAUUUCUGAGGCAGAUGGUGAGAGCUUCACUGCCUGUCCGGCAAAAGAAGGGGAAGAAAGAGCCAUUGUAGAAGCUGCCAUGGCUUAUCUCAAGAGAAAGGUAAGUGUUUGAUGGUAUGAAAUAUUGUUGAAGUUGGCUGUGAUGAGAUGAAGUUACAAGGGGCCUCACUUCACCAUAUUAUAGUAAGUAAGAGGGGAAGAGUCCUUAUCUAGUGAUAUCUAUUUCUAUGAUCUCAUUGGGUAUCAAGAUCCUAUGUGUAGCAAUUAAUGCAUACUUGGGUAUUUCCAAUCCAUCAAUUUUCCAAGAUGUUUGCUAAAGGGACCCAUCCAACAUAGUCCUCUCACAUGUGGCUACAAGGAUUGAACAAUAUUCUGUGAUUUGCUGAACUUACAAUGCUGAUAUCUCUUAUCAUUAUCCGUUGGGAAUUUCUCCAGAUUUCAUUUAUCAGCACUACAGCUCAUUCGAUGUAGAACUAUGGUUUACCGUUUCACUAAAUAUAUUCAGGAAAGUUCAUUACUUGAUAUAUAAAUUGUGCGGAAAUAAAUAAUACAUGCUUAUGUUUGGAAAGAAAUGCGUUUGGAACUUAAUUAUAUAAGACCUGAAUAUAUAUAAGCAAGAGUCAGUAGCAUAGUAAUUAUUUACCUGCAAUUCAUAUAAAAGUGAAGAUACUGUUUUUUGGGGUUUUACAAAUUUAAGAUUGACAAGUGCAGGCAAUGAAAGAAUAUGAUCUUCCUUUUCAAAAUAUUUAACAUAGGUUCAUGCAUGUAUAUUUAUUAAUCUGAUCGUGAAGAGGUAUAUAAAGUUCUAAAUAUGUUGCACUGUUAAUUUCAUGUUUAGAUAUUUAACGACGGGUUAGAUUCAUUUUAACUACUGCACAAUGCUUAGACUAAUUGGAAACGCGCAGAUUGAGUCGGAUAUGGACAGAUCAAAAAUGAGCUAGUGAAAAUGGAUAAAAUAUCUAAUUCACCCGUAUUGAUAUGGAUGAAACAUGAGAAACCAACGGAUAAUAUGGAUAUUAGUUCAUAUUAUGUAAAAGAAUAAGUACCUCCAAUAUGAGAAAGGCAGAGUAUGUACAUGGAUUAACUAAUUAAUUGGGAUUCAUCAGCAUCACAAUAUGACCAAUUAACUUUACGAGAAUUGUGUUAAGGGCAAGAGCAUUUGCCAAUGAUGGAUCAAGUUAUUUACAUCUUAUGCCUUAUGGUGUAAAUAUAAGUUGUAUAUAUUUUCUUUUUGGCAUGAUACACAAAUAUGAUCCUAAACUUAUAUCAAAUUAUAACUUUGACCUUAAACUUUGAUAGUGCACAAAUAGGACCUUUAACUAUUCAAAAUUUGAACAAAUAUGACCUCCGAUUUUGCAACCUCCAUGCGCGAGUUUCACUCGCGCCUAUGUGGAAAGCUCAUCAAUCACACGGUGCCACGUCGUUAAAAGGGCUGACUUGGAGGGAGGUCAUAUUUGUGCAAUUUUGAAUAGUUAAAGAUCAUAUUUGUGCACUGUCAAAGUUUUGCUUUUUGUGUUAAAACAACGUUGUUUUAUUAUUAUUAUUAUUAUUAUUAUUAUUAUUAUUAUUAUUAUUAUUAUGAAUAUUACUAUUUAUUUUUUUAAUUUUAUUUAUUUAUUUCUAUAGCAGCUAGGGGUGGGCGUUCGGUAUUCGAUAUUCGGUUCGGUAUUUUCAAAUUUCGGAUUCGAUAAUUUGGUAAUUGGUAUUUGAACGUAGAUACCAUAUACCAUACUAAUAAAUAUCGAUUCGGUAAUCGAUAAAUUAAAUUUCGGUUCAGUACGGUAUUUGGUAAUACCAUAUUAAAAUUGAAGAUGUGCAAAUAUACAUUUAAACUUCAAAGAGUAUAUUUAAAAGAAACCCUAUUUAGCAUUAUUUUGUUGCUUUUUACGAAUAUAUUAUCAAGGUCUAAGAGAUUCUUUGAGAUGACUAAUACUAUUGUUUAUUGGGUUGGUUAGACAUAUAGUAUAUAUAUAUAUAUAUAUAUAUAUAUAUAUAAUUCGGUAUUCGGUAUUUACCGAAUACAAAACGGUAUUAAUAUCUUGUACCAAAUUCAAUCCCGAAAUAUUAAAAUUUUAUUCUCAAAUACCAUACCAAAUACAAAAUUUUUUGAUUCGGUUCGGUAAUUCGAUUUUCGGUAUUUUAUGCCUAGCCCUAAUAGUAACAACACCUAACUUUUUUUAAUUAAAAAAAAAAAACCACUAGCAGGGAUCGACCCCACGCAGUAGGUUGAAGGAAGCACCCAAGAAGAGCAAAUAACACCACUGGAUUAUCUAAGUGCAAUGUUUCAUGUGGUUCAACAUUAAUAUACGUACAUAAAUAUAGAUUAUCUACCUUAUAUAUACAACAUAAUUUUUUUACCGAGGGGGUUCGGGUGAAUCCCAUGGCGACCACGUAGGUCCGCCCCUGCGUUAAUUUAAUAACGUUAAUUUAAUAACAUUUUAAUAACGUUAAUUUAAUAUACUACUAUUAUUAUCUUUAAUAACGUUAAUUUAAUAACAUUUUAUUAAAACUAUAAUUUUUUUAUUAUUAGUAUAGUUUCAUCUUUAAUUUAAUAUUUAAAUAAAUUAUAUUUCGAUAUAUUAUAUAACAUAAAUUCUCCCUCUGCUUUAUAAUAUGUAUAUAUACCCGCAAUUUUUUCGUAUGAGGCUAACCCACUUAAUUAAUAAAUCUUCAAUAUUGCACUUUUUCCGCAAUGACAAAAGAAAUUGAAUGUCAUUUUCAUCUUUGAGCUGAAAAUAAUGAAAAAUAAUAGUGAAAAGUCAUUUAAAGAUUAUAUUUGUGCAGUUUUGAAUAGUUAAAAGCCACAUUUAUGCACUCUCAAAAUUUAAGGUCAAAGUUAUAAUUUGGUGUCAAGUUUAGAAUCACAUUUAUGUAUUAUGUCCUUAGAUUUUAAACAGGACGCGCCCAAUUUUGCAUGUUGAACACGCAUUUUACCACAUAGGACCGAAGGUUAUAUUUAUGUAAUUUUAAAUAGUUAAAAAUUAUAUUUUUGCACUAUCAAAAUUUAAGGUUAAAAUUAUAAUUUGAUGUUAAAUUUAAGGCUUUAUGUAUUAUGCCUUUCUUUUUUCACACCAUCAUUAAAUUUUAAGUUGUAAUAGUAGAUAAGUCACCAUUGUUACACGAAACUUUUAGAUUUUUUCCAAAGAUGUUAAUCAAACCAAGGACAUAAUUAUAAUGGCCUGGAAACUUAUAUUAUAGCAUUUUAAUUACUACUUGCUAUACCUUCAGACUACAAAACAUAUUAGUUUUCACUUAUCAUUGAAAUGUCAAUGGUCUAUAUGGUAGUGAAACAACAUUAUGUUCUCUCAAUUGCUCUUUCACUUCUCUACUGGAAACAUAUAAUAACAUCAUAUUGCUCAACAUUUCUCUUUGCACUAAUUUACUGUGUUCCUUCCUGAGAAUUAAUUGAAUUCCACAAGUUGCUGUGGUCAGUAAACCUAAGUUUAAAGCUUAUAACAGCUUUAUAGUUUUUCUAGUUAUCAUAUCUCAUAUGUAUCUACCAUUUUUCUUUACUAUGUUCUCUUUCUUUAAUUCCCCUUUGAGAUGAAAGGGGCAAAAAAUUUUAUUCAUGGCUUUGGAAAAUGUAACUCAGAACUACACAAUUAUUGGAAUAUGAGAAAAAAAUCCAUUCUAUUGUCAAGUGACUGCUCAUAACAACUUUACAAGACCAUUAAACAAUCAAAUUUUAAGAUUUUCAUUUUCCGGGGACAAAGUUUGUGGCGUAGGCCCAGGCGUUGUUGUUAACUGGAUCUGCAAGGUGGUCAGCAAGGUUCUCCAAUGGACCCUUUCCAGUAACAAUGGCUUGAACAAAGAAUCCAAACAUAGAGAACAUAGCAAGUCUACCGUUCUUAAUCUCCUUUACCUUGAGCUCAGCAAAUGCCUCUGGAUCAUCAGCAAGACCUAAUGGGUCGAAGCUGCCACCGGGGUAGAGUGGGUCGACGACUUCACCAAGAGGCCCACCAGCAAUACGGUAUCCCUCAACGGCUCCCAUCAAGACAACUUGACAAGCCCAGAUGGCCAAGAUGCUCUGUGCAUGAACCAAGCUUGGGUUGCCCAAGUAGUCAAGUCCACCCUCGCUGAAGAUCUGGGAUCCAGCCUUGAACCACACAGCCUCACCAAACUGGACACCGUUACGGGCCAAGAGCUCGGGGAAAACACAUCCAAGAGCACCAAGCAUAGCCCAUCUGCAGUGGAUCACCUCGAGUUCCCGGUUCUUGGCAAAGGUUUCAGGGUCUGCUGAAAGUCCAGCGGUAUCCCACCCAUAGUCACCAGGGAAUUCACCAGUCAAGUAGCUUGGGGGCUCACCAGAGAAUGGGCCCAAGUACUUAACACGGUCUGGACCAUACCAUGGGCUGCUAGAUGCGGCUGGCUUGGAGGCAGUCUUUCUCAUGGAGAUCCUUCCAUUUCCAGAGAUUUCUGAGUCAGAUGGUGAGAGCUUCACUGCCUGUCCGGCAAAAGAAGGGGAAGAAAGAGCCAUUGUAGAAGCUGCCAUGGUUUUUCUCAAGAGAAAGGUAAGUGUUUGAUGGUAUGAAAUAUUGUUGAAGUUGGCUGUGAUGAGGUGAAGUUAAUUACAAGGGGCUUCACCAUAUAUAGGAGGAGUAAGAGCGGUAGAGGCCUUUAUCUAACGAUAUCUACAUCUUUUUCUUUUGGUGUUAACGAUAUCUGUAUCUGUGAUCUCAUUGGGUAAUAAGAUCACAUGUGUAGAAAUUAAUGCACACUUGGCAAUCUCCAGACUCCAAUCCAUCAAUUUUCCAAGAUGUUUACUAAAAGGACCCAUCCAAUAUUGUCCGCCUUAGUGUGGCUACGAGGUUAUUGACUCUAUUCUGUGAUUCGUUGAGCUUACACUAAGAUAUCUCUUAAAGAGCCAUAGUAGCAGCUGCCAUGGUUUAUAAAGAGGAAAGUGAGGGGGUUACUAGUUUGAUAUGUCAAAGUUGGUUGUGAUGAGCUGAAGUUUGUUGGGGUUCAGAAUAUAUAGCAAGGAAGAUGGGAAGGGUCCUUAUCUAGUGAUAUCUAUAUCUAUGAUCUCAUUGGCUGCCAAGAUUACUCUUCAUGCACACUUGGCAGUCACAAAUCCAUCAAUCCUCCAAGAUUUUUACAAGGGGGACCAACAAAUGUUGUGUGGCUACAAAGAUUGCUCUCUGUCUUGUGUGUUGUUUGGCUAACAGUAAGACAUCUUCUACUUUUUCAUUGGGUAAUUGUUUAGAUAUUUUUCUGCCGGCAUGGUAAAAGACACCACCAAUUACAGGUAUUUUCAAGUAAUUACAGUUCAAAUUUAUCCCUUCUUAGUGGGAAAUCAAAAGCUGAAAAAGAAAAAGAACCACUUGGUUAGUUCAUUGUCAUGGUUCUGUUUAAAAAAAAAACUGAUAUUAGCUGUGAAAUUUGUCGGUAAUCCAUCACUAAAUUGCUGGUUGCUAUUUAACUAUGGAAUUUCUCUGUUGCUGAUUACUAUUUCUUUUUGUAGCAGUAGGCAUAUAAUUCACAAUUCAUACAGGUGGUCCUGCCUAGGCACACACAAACAUGUGAAAUGCCAAUGCUAUCAAAAUGUGAUCCACCAGCUGAACAGAGAAAUAAGGACCUAGUGCCAUGCCAGCCCAACCAUAUUUAUUCUCUUAUGUUUGGUUACCUAUAGAGGUUUUUUUCUCUUUUAAUACUCCCUCCAUCCCAUUUUAUCAAUCCCAAAUUGGGAUGGCACAGCUAUUAAAAAAAAAAAAGGUAAUGUAACUUUACUAUUUUGUUCCUUUUAAUUAUGUUUUGUUAUUAGUUCUAAUAUUGAUAGAUGACUAAUAACAAGGAGUAAUCAAUUACAUUAAGGGUAUAAUGAGCAAAAAAAAAUUGUUUUGUCUUGAUAAGUAAAAAAGGACAAGUAAAAUGGGACAUCAAAUUAGGAAAUUUGAGACGGAUAAAAUGGGACGGAGAAAGUAUCUUAUAUAUUACUCUAUCUAAAGUAGCUCUAGGGCAAUAUCAAUCCACCACAAUGAAAUGGAGACCAAAGAAAUUUGGAUGAAAUUUGAUUUUUCUCAUCUGGUGAUUCAACUAAUUAUUACUAUUUCAGUAAGUCUGAAAGGAGAAAAAGGUUUGUGUGACAAACCUCAUAGGUAAAACAUUGAGGAUAAGGAAGGGUUGAUUUCUCAAAUAAUCAUCCACUUUCUUUGUUGAAAAAAAUUGGAAUCGAGAAGGCACCUUUCUAAGAUAAUAACUUAUUUUUCACCGUUAUACGUAAACAAAUAAAUACUCUUUCCACAAAACUUCAGCAGUUAUGUUUUCUCCCAGUUCCAUUAUUCAAUAACUCUUAUUAGCAAAUAUAUGAUCCAAGGUAUAAAACAGACACCAGGGAAGUCACUUGCAUUGAUAGAUCAUCAUUCAACCUUCUAAAAUCAAUUUUGGAUGCUUUAAGUUCAUUGAGUAGUAUGAAGUACAAACGCUAGCAUAAAAGAGAAUGUGAAGAAUACUAGAUCAAGUUAAAGCAAUCAAAUAAAAGAUAGCUCAACGCCAAAAUAUUAUUUCAGCACAAAGGGAUUGGAAAGUUAAAGGGCAUAUCAAUUAUUGAACUUUCGAAGAACAUUAGGUGGUUCAAAAUUUUUAAAGGCAUUAGCUGAACAGACUCUUGAAAUCCAAAUGAAGUUGUAAAUUCUAGUGUUGAUCUUUUACACAUAUUAGUUUUACUAAAUGAAUGAUAAAAUUGAACCAAAUCAACCUCAUUUCUAGGGAAUUAAAUAAAAGGAACUUGGUCUUUCCGGUAUUAAAAUUCAACUAUCCACCACUGACAACGGAAUACAACAUAACCAUGGUAACCUCACAAUGCAAUUCCGCAAAUGCUACUGCUGAUUUCAUUUUACUUUUGACCUUCUUUCUAAAUAUGUUUUGUUUCAAAUUAGUUGUCCACUUUCACAAAUCAAGAGUGUUAUAUUACUUCUUUUCCAUAUUAUCCUUAGUAUUAAAUAGCUAAAAAAAAUACUCCUUCCGUUUUGAAUUAGUUGGUCCGUAUGGCGUUGACACCUCCAUUAACAGCCCAAUAAUUAGAAGUGUAUUUUACUCUUUUACUCUUAUUUGCAUUUUAAAGUUCAAUAAUUAAUGCAAUAAUUAAACAUAGAAAUUUGGUGCAAUUACUCCAUUUCAUGCAUGCACCAACUGCUUGUUUGUGAUUGCUUAUUUCCUGCCAAAAGCACUUAUUUUGAGAAAAAAAUAUCUUUUUUAAAAGAAGGGUGUUUGGUAAACCCGCAAAAGUGUUUUUAAAAAUAAGCAGAAACAGUUUUCUAUUUCUGGGAAGAAACAAAAAAAAAAUUACUUUUAAAAAAAACAGAAGUAAAAAAAUAUUUUUUUAUGAUAAAAAUAUUUCCAUCACACACACAUCCCUUGUUAAUUAAUUAACAUAUCUUAUAAAUUUGAUUAAAAUUUAAUUUUAAAAUUUUAUAUUUCAUAUUUACAUCAUAAUUUCUUAUGAUUUAUAUAUUGUUAUUUUAUUUUGACUCAUUUUCUUCAUAUAAAUUUGAAAAUAUUCAUUUUUGUUUGAUAUUUUUAAGUAAUGUUUAAAUUAUUUAAAUAAUAUAUCACUAUUUAAUAUUUUUUAAUGUAUUAAUGUAUAUAAAUAUUCGUUGUAAAUUUUAGAAUAUGUACUUUUUAAUUAAAUAAAUAUAAAACUUUAAUUAAAAAUAUUAUAAUNNNNNNNNNNNNNNNNNNNNNNNNNNNNNNNNNNNNNNNNNNNNNNNNNNNNNNNNNNNNNNNNNNNNNNNNNNNNNNNNNNNNNNNNNNNNNNNNNNNNNNNNNNNNNNNNNNNNNNNNNNNNNNNNNNNNNNNNNNNNNNNNNNNNNNNNNNNNNNNNNNNNNNNNNNNNNNNNNNNNNNNNNNNNNNNNNNNNNNNNNNNNNNNNNNNNNNNNNNNNNNNNNNNNNNNNNNNNNNNNNNNNNNNNNNNNNNNNNNUGUAUUCAUUUUUGUUUGAUGUUUUAAGUAAUGUUUAAAUUAUUUGACCAAUAUAUCACCAUUUAAUUUUUUAAUGUAUUUAUAUAUAUAAAUAUUAAUUAAAAAUUUUAGAGUACAUGCUUUUUAAUUAAAUUUAAAAAGAUUAAUUAAAAAUAUUAUAAUAGAUAUUUAAAAUAAAUUUUCUUUAUAAAUUGAUUUUAGUAAUAAAAGUCAUUUGAUACAUGUCUUUUUUGGUUAUUUGUUUAAAAAAAAAAAAACACUUCUUGAAAAAAACUAUUCAAACACAAUUUGUUUAUCAAAAAAACUUUUCAAAUGAAUUUAUCAAACAAAAAUUAUUAUUUUCAAAAACACUUUUCUGAUCCUGGAUAGGAAGGUGUGGAGGAGGCGAAUUAGGGCAGAAGGUUAGUCUGGGUUAGGAUAUUGUAUGUUUUGAUGUAUACUUGGAGUAUCUUGCUUUAGGUAUUAUUGUGUAUGCUAAUUUCAAUUGCAUCUUGUUCUAUUACUAUUCCUUAUCUUAUCCUAGAUUGCUAUAUUUUAAGUCGGGGGUCUCUUGGAAACAACCUCUCUAUCUCACAAUUGAGGUAGUGGUAUAGACUUCAUACACUUACCCUCCCCAGACCCUACUUGAUGAAAAUAUACUUGUUAUUGUUGUUGUUUCUCAAAUAAACAGUUUUAUAACAGCAAUUUCAAACGGACUCCAAGUCUAGAACCUACAAAUUUAGAAUUGAAACUAUAAUGAUAGUUUUGAAAAUGUAAUAUUAUUUAAUUUCAAUAAUCUUGAAAAAUAAAUAGUAUUGAUUUAUAACUUGCACAAUUAAAAUGGAAUAAAUACUUUUAGCAAGAAGGCCAAUUAAUUCAAAAUGGAGAGUAGUAGUAAUAGUUUGAGCCCGUUUGAAAUUACUGUUACAAAAUUACUUAUUUGAGAAAUACUUUUAUAAAAUAACUUUUCAAAAAAUUACUUUUCGAGAAAAGCAAUUUGUGUUUGGGAAAUUCAUUUGAAAGUACUUUUGAUAAACAAACUGUGUUUGAAUAAUCUUUUUCAAUAAGUGUUUUUUUGGGGAUAAAUGAUCAAAAAGGACAUGCAUCAAUAGAUUUUAUUACUAAAAUUAAUUUAUAGAGAAAAAUUAUUUUAAAUAUCUAUUAUAAUAUUUUUUUAAUUAAAAAAUAUUUUUAUUUGAUUAAAAACUACGUACUCUAAAAUUUUCAAUCAAUAUUUAUAUAUAAAUACAUUAAAAAUACUUAAAAUGAUAUAUACUUAAAUGAUUUAAAUAUUAUUUAAAAAUACCAAAUAAAAAUAAAUAUAAAAAUUAUUCCAUAAAUUAAAUCACUACAUCUGAACAAACUAACGACAAAAAUAAUUAGUCUUUCAUACAUCACAAAAAUUUUAAAUGAUUUUAUUCCUAAUUUUAUCAUGCAAUAUCUCCAUACUAGUAGAAGAUCUGUUUUGUAUUUCUAAAGAUAUAUCAAAAUGCUCAUGUCCUUCUAUGAUCUUUGUGAUGAUGUCUUCGUUAACAUAAUAGUUAAAUUAUUUAUCAAUAAUAGAGCGUUGUCGUAUGAAAUAAAGUAUAGCCAUAGUAGUUGUAACAAGAUAAACUUGAUUGUCGAAUUUAAAAGAUGGCAUUGAACAUAAAAAAAACAAAUUUAUUUUUUCAAGCUCCAAAUAUUCUUUUAGUUGUACAUCUCAAACUGGAGUGAAAGAAAUUGAAAGUCUUAUUUGAAUUUUUGAAGUUAGAGUUACAUCUGAAACCAGGGAGAUGAUAACGGUCCCCUUUAUAUAUGAUCCUAAAUAACUAAUCUUCGUUGAAUAAUUUGAGUCCACUAAAUAAUAUUUAUCUACACUAAAAAAUUAUGAAACCAAUCGUUGUUAGAUAAUUCGAGUCCAUUAAAUAAUAUUUAUCUACACUAAAAAAUUAUGAUGUAAAUAUAAAGUAUAAAAUUUUAAAAUUAAACUUUAAUCAAACUUAUAUAUGUGUGUGUGAUAGGAAUAUUUUUGUCAUGAAAAAAAUAAUUUUCUGUUUCUGUUUUUUUGUAAAACAAAAAUUUUCUGCUUCUUUCCAGAAGCAAAAAAAUUGCUUAUACUUCACUCUACUUUCUAAAAGAAUGUCUUUUUCUCUUAUUUAUAAGAGGCAGUUUAGCAGCUUAAGCAGGCAAGAGGUCGAUAUGCCUGCUUCAGCUGCUUCAAUUAUGAAUUUACAAUAUUAUUCCUAAUUAAUUAUUAUAAGUCAUUUAUGUAUUAAAAAUAAUAAUAUUUAAUAAAAAAAUAAAAUAAAAAUUUAUGACAUGUCUGCUUCAGCUGCUUCAAUCGUAAUUUUACGACAGCACUCCUAAUUAAUUAUUAUAUCCCUAAUUAAAUAUUAUAAGGCAUUUACAUAAUAAAAAAAAUAAUAAUAUUUAAUUAGAAAAAAUAAAAUAGAUAUUUAUGAAAUGUCUGCUUCAGCUACUUCUACCAUAAUUUUACUGUAUCACCCUUAAUUAAUUAUUAUAAGUAAACUAAACAUUAAAAAAUUAAUAAUAUUUAAUAAAAAGGUAAAAUAGACAUAAACUGGAAAUUAACUAUUGAUGUUCUAAAUUAACUUGACGACUUAUAUGAGACUUUCUUAAACUUUUUUCACAGGUAUUUCUUUAAAGUAAUUUUGAUAAAUGGAGUUCAUCAGCUGAAGCAGGCAGCAAAUCGAUAUGUCUGUUUCAGCUGUUUCAAUCGUAAUUUUAUUGUAUCACCACUAAUUAAUUAUUAUAAGUCAUCUGCUUCAAUCGUGAUUUUACUAUAUCACCCAUAGUUAAUUAUUAUAAGUCAUCUAAGUAUUUAAAAAAUUAAUAAUACUUAAAAAAAAAAACAGAUAUAAAAGAUAAUUUUACUAUGUCACUUCUAAUUAGUAGAAUGGAUGAAAAAAUAUUAUAAAUCACAAUAAUUUAAAACUUAAAUUAUUUUUAAAAUAUAAUUGACUAUCAAUGCCACAAAAAAAUGAACAAGGAAAGUAACAUAUAUUAUUUGAAAAUUACAUAAAAAAAUACUAAAAAUUACAAUAGUUAACAACUUAAAAUAUUUAAAACAUAUUAAAAUUAUGAUUAAUUAUAUAAAUUUUAUCUGUAUCACAUAAAUUGAAGCAAAAAAAAAUAAUUUAUGUAUCUAGUUCUUAAAAUAAGUAGUACUAUUGUUUUAGAAAACUAAGCAAUCCCAAACAAACACUUAACCACUCAAAACGUGGUAGUGUGCAAAAAUCGAACCAACCGAUAAAUCGAACCGAUAAAAAUGCUAUUGGGCUAUUGGUAUUGGUUUAUUUGGUUAAUGGGUUUUUAUUGGUUUUAUAAAAAAAUUUAUUGGGUAAACGGUUCGAUUUUGAUUUUAGCUUAUUGGGUUAUCGGUUAAACCGAUAACCUUAACCGAUAACCCAAUAAGGAUUCACUAAAUUAUUAUUUUAUUCCUAUUUAUGUUAUAUACAUAAAUAUCUAAAUUACUUCUAUAUCUAUCUAUCUCUAUAUGCACUAUUUAUUCACAAUUCAGUGAUUCACAAAGUAUUAAGCUAUUCAGUGCAACAAAGGAACAAUAUAAAGCUCGAGUAUUAUCGUAUUAGAAAGCUUGAAGCAUUUAGUAGUUUCCAACAAUUAGGAUUUAGUUUUUUUCCAAACUAACAUUCAGUUCAAGUUUGAAGAUUCUUGUAAAUUAAAAUGCAUUGUAUAGGAUUUUAGUGGUAACUAAGAUUUUAUUUUUUAUGUGAGUUGUUACUAUUUUUAUUUUAUGAGUAUUUUCUUAUUAGUUAAAUAAAAAACAAACUAUUAAGAACCAAAAACUGAUAAAUCGAAACCGAUAAAAACGUAUCUUAUUGGUUGGAUAUUGAUUCAAUUGUCCUCUUCAGCAGUUGGCGCUCUUUUCAUUCCUUUCUCUUCUUUACCCUAACCCUAAAUCCCAAAUUCAAAUUCUGAUUCUGCCAAAAAAAAAACACAGAAGAAAUGCAAAGACCUUCUCCACAUUCCAAUUUCUUCUCUUCUCUCAAACAAUUGGAGAAAAGAUUGAAACUUGAGAACAACCCAUCUCAAAAAGAAGCUAUCAACACACCGACCCAGUCUCUGAUGAGCCCAUUGUACCUCAACUGUGAUGACUCCAUCACCAGCAACACAAACCUCAAAGAAAGCGAAACCCCACUUCGGUUUCUCUCUAAUUCCCCGCUUGACCAAGAAACCCCACCUCACAUAAGUCCUAAACAAGUUCAAGAAAGAGUUGGUGUGGUUGAAGCUGAUGGCGAUGGGGUUGAUGAGAUUCAACUGUUGAUGCAGCUAUUGGGUUUAACGGAUCGUAAAAGGGAGGGAUCCAAGAAGAUGGAAGUGGAAUUUGGUUGUGAUGAUGCAUUUUAUGGAAAGGUUGUUGGGGUUAAGGGACCAAAAAGUGAAAAAGAAGUGGAGAGGUUACAAGGUUGGAUUGAGCAUUUUAUGGAUAGGAAUAGUGGAGAGCGGAGAGAAUCGUUCAGGUUGGCUCAUCUGCUUUUAGGCAAAGCUGC
This 93398-nucleotide long non-coding RNA is filed under the name Capsicum annuum. RNAcentral describes it as "long non-coding RNA (CANN_LNC021999)". Lineage: Eukaryota; Viridiplantae; Streptophyta; Magnoliopsida; Solanales; Solanaceae. The record is from RNAcentral.